Molecule: long non-coding RNA, 158791 nt
Filed under: Olea europaea (common olive)
Lineage: Eukaryota; Viridiplantae; Streptophyta; Magnoliopsida; Lamiales; Oleaceae
Description: long non-coding RNA (OEUR_LNC007197)
Source: RNAcentral
AAAAUUGGAGAUGAUUCCUUCUGAAUUUAGCAACAUUCCAACACGACAGAAGAUUGAGGCAUAUCGUUGUGGUGAAAAUGUUGAAAGUUCAGCUUUGCAAAUUCGAGAAGAGCAACUGGAGUAUGGUAACCAAGACUUUGAGGUGACAAUCAGUAAAUGAUCGUUACAUCAACCUUUUUUCCCCCCCUCCAGAAUUUACCUAAUUCCUUGACAUCCAACACUCACAUGGUGAGAAAAAUGAUACAACUCCCUGCUCCAUGUCAAUUGUCAGUUGUUCUUAUUCAUAGUAUUUUCUUUGUAAUGAAAGUCAAAUUUUGACUUCUAUGUAAAGUUAAAUAAUGGUUCUAUUGCAAAUUGUGCAAUAUUAUGGUUAAUAUGACAAGUGGUCGGAUCUUGAUCUCAACCUUGAAUAUUUUGCCUUGUUAUUUUCCUUUUAGGUCUUUCUCUACUACUGUAUUUUUCCAUAAUCAACCAUUAUAUGUGUGAAAUGAAAUUCAUUUGCUUUUAACUAAUUUAUUUUUUUUGCAUAAUACCCCAUCUAAACUUAGGAAAAUAUUAAAAUCAGCAUUACGUGUAAUGCGCUCGUUCUAGCAUUAUUUCAAACGUAAAGUAAUUAUAACAUUACCUUUUUUCAGCAAUAUCCCAAAACUUAGGGCCUCUGUUUUCGUUCAAGUUUCAUAAUGAUAAAUGUUUUAUUUAUUUAUUAUUAUUAUUAUUUUGAUGAUUGUUCUGCACCUUGGUGAGAUGCCACACGACAAUGUGCGACUCAAUCGAACUAGGCCAUACAAACUGACUUUCUGAUCCAAGUAGAUUAGGUAUAACUCCAAGUAAUCUACUUCUAGAGCCUAGUUCAAUCCAUUGCUUUCCAUUCCGAGUGAUUACAAAAAAGCUACUUGGAUUGUGAGUUUCUAGCCAUUGCUUGACAUUUAUUUGCCUCAAAUUUAGAUUGUCUUACUAACGGAAGAGAACAUAAGAAUUAUUUUGUCGAAUUCUUCAAAUUGAGUUGUCUUGCAUUUUUAAUAAUUCUCAAUUACCCACCAUUUGUUGCACAUCGGGAUAAAAAAAAAAAAGGAAAGAAGAGAAGUCGACUCUUCAGGUAUUCUGAAUUAUCUAAGUCAAAUAUUUCAAAAUGUUUGCACAAAUAGAAAAUCAUGUGCAGUUUUCAUGGCCUGUAAAAUUGACACACAUCUUCCAAACGCAAAAGAACGAGGUUACUAGCUUAAUUUGAAUAUACAAGCUUUAAGCUGCCAAAUUCACUUUUGCUCUUGGGGCAAUGUAAAACCAAAAUUUAAGGUACAGAUACCUCAAUUUGAUAGAAGAUGCUGCAGUUUCAGGUGAAGCUGUUGAAAAUCAAGAACCUUUAACAUAUGAAGAAGUCAUUGAUUGUUUUGAAUCAAAUUAGACUGCAAGUUAUGAGAGAAGAAAUAUAUUCUUCAAUAAAGAAUAAGAAUUGGACACAUGUGAAUAAACUUAAAGAAAGGGUCCCCCCUGCAAAUAGAAGGAAAGAUAUCAUAAAUCAAUGCUAACAAACGGCUAAAUGAAAGCAGGAACGCAAUCAACGUAGUGAAUGGUGGUGGUGGUAGAGAAAGAGGAAGAUGAAAUGAAUUUUUUUUAUCGUUUUAAUUUUUUAAUUAUUUAUUUGGGACUCAUUUGUAAUUUUUUGAAAUUUUUGGGACCAUGGUUGUAAUUAAUUUUUAUUUUCUUCUUUUUGUUUUAUUUAAAUUGGGGGGGAGAGGGGGGUGCAUAUUCAUCGUUUCAUAAUUUUUUAUUAAGAAAAUAGANNNNNNNNNNNNNNNNNNNNNNNNNNNNNNNNNNNNNNNNNNNNNNNNNNNNNNGAUUCCCUACUAGAUGUUUCAAACUAGGAUGUUUUGUGAUAUUUCCAAAAGAUAGGGGGUUUUCAACAAUUUUGUCAAUUGGUAAGGGGUAUUUUGUUGUUUGGCCUUUAAGAAAUAAUAAACCUCAUAUAAUUUGCUCAACUAAUAAGACUGUAAAAUUCGAAGAAAGAGGUAAAUAAACCUAGCGAUAAGGCUCAGCCAAUAAGACUGGUGGAUAAAAUUGAAAAAGGGAAAGUUUCAUAUCUAAGAGGUUAAUUAUAACACAUUUCAAAACUAAGAAACAAGUUUUAAAACUUUAAAAACCAGAUAUUAUUAAAACUUAUUUAUGAAAUAAUUAAUUAAAAAUAUAUUUUAUUAAUUAAAUAUCUUAAAAUCACAUUUCUAUAUAAUUUGAUCACAGAUUAUUGAAUUAAUUGGCCGUGAAUUAUUUUUCGAUCACGAAUAAAAUUUUUUAAAAGUCUCAAAUUAUUUCACAAUCACAAAUUAAAAAUAAAUAAAUGAAAUUGAGAAGGUGAAAUCACGGAUAUAUUAAAGAAAUCAAAUAUACCAAUGAUUAAAAAAAAAAAAACCCAAAGGUUGUUGGGGAAAAAAAACUAAAUUAAAAUCAAACAAUCAAUCAAUAUUCAAUUCAAGACACAAGAACAAAAACCCAAAUUGUAAAAUCGAAAAAGAUGAGAAGAUCAAAUCAUGGACAUUAAAGAAAGCAAAUGUACAAAUCGUAAAAAAAAUCCCUAAGAUCUACGACUAAAGAAGACUAAAUGAAAAUAAAACCAUCAAUUGAGAUUCAAUUCAAGGCAUAAGAACAAAAACCUAGAUUGUAAAACCGAAAAAGAAAAAGAAAAAACAAACCACAUUGAAAAUGAAAAAGAAUCUUGAAAAUUUUGUGCGAGCACACUUCAAAGAAAAUUAAAAAAUUAUUUUGACAUGAAAAAUAUAAAUAACAAAAUACUAAAAACUCACCAGCUAAAAUCACUUCGAUUUUCAAGAAAACAGAAAGUUCCAACUCUCUCUUCUAAAAAAUAGAUCUAAACUUUGAUAGAGAGAAAUAUAAAUGAAUAAAUUCGAGUGUGAGAAAUUGGAACUAAGCGCCAAUAAAGUAAAGAGGCAUGGGUCUAGAGUAAAGAAUAACUAUCGUUGCGUGGAGUAAUGGAGAAAAAACUAACAGAAGACAAUUAAAUGGAUUAAAAUACGCAAUGAUGUGGUGCUUAAUCUUAAGAAAUGGCUUCAAAUAUGCCUUCUUUUGGUCUUAAAAAGAGAAAUUUGGUUAAAAUAUGAUGUCAGCAUUACAUCAUGAUGAUGCCUCAUGAAUAGGAAUGAACUUUGCCCUUUUAUAUAUUGUAGGGAUUUUAACUUGAGAAGAAGAUGGUGAUCCAUUGGAAAAGGAUCUCAAAGAAUUUGAUGAUCUCAUAACAGGACAAAUAGAUUCAGAGAGUGCAGGCCAAGCAAAUCAAGUAUUGAUAAAAACAGAACAUAAAGGCUUAUAACUCGAGUCGAGAGAACAUAGAAGCUACUCCGUGUCACAAAAAGAACAUAUAAACUGCAAAAUAAAUUAGCGUGUCCAACCACAUUAACAAAACUUCAAGAACAUACUUCAAAUAGAAAUGAGCAAAGAACGGAGAUGUGAACAAUGAUACAGUUUUACAUCACACCACACAAAUUCAUGUCGAUCAAAAAUGUUUCACAGCAAACUCUGUUGAUAUAGAUUCAAAGCAACAGAAAUCAGAUAAAAAGAAAUGGAAUGGACAUAAGGGUUUUGGCAUGUUGAAAGGAUCACAUAGCAGUUCGAAUAAAUCAAAUAAACAGAACAAACCCCUAAAUUAAACAAAAGCACUAGAAAAUUUUAUUGGACUUGAAGAAAUAGAAGGCAGUGAAGGUCUUUGGAGAAAUGCCAUGGCUUCAUUGUGACGACGGCGACAAUUAUAGAACUGAUUACAGAAAAUGAGCUCGAAUCUUGCAUCAUCUUGUUCUGUAAUGGUUGCAUCUAAAAUAGUUUCAAAUAAUUAGAAAUUUAUCAACUUUAUACUAAAAAAUUCAAAAUCAUCUCAGAGAUUAAAGAUCGAAACUAUAUGCAUAUAUAUAGAAAAAUAUGGAGUAAAUUUAACCAAUAAUCACUGAACUUUACACUUCAUUACUACUUGCUCACUCAUCUUUCACAAAUUACUGAAUGCUCACUCAUCUUUUCAUAUAAUUUCUCAUUCAUCACUCGUCUUUUCAAAUAAUUGGGUGACUUUUGCGACAACUUUUCGACAACUUCCGACCACAAAGAAUGUCGAAUUUUGAUACCGUUGGAAAGUCCACGAUGUCCUCUUCAAUUACCACCCAAAAUCUCAUUAUAAUUCCAAGGGAUUCGAUCGGAAAAUUGCCUUAAAAGUCGUCCAAAAAUUCUGAAAAUCUGCCCAGAUUUUCAGAUUUUUUGGGCAACUUUUAAGGCAAUUUUUCGACAACUUUCGACCAUCAAAACUAUCGAAUUUUGAUACCAUUGGAAAGCUCACAACGUCCUCUUCAAUUACCAUCCAAAAUUUCCCCAUAACUCCAAAGGAUUCGGUCGGAAUAAACUCACAAAGUCAGCAUCCUGAACUUUGUCCAGAUUUUCGUCUUUUCAAGAUGCUGAUUUUGUGGGUUUAUUCCGACCGAAUCCUUUGGAGUUAUGGGGAAAUUUUGGAUGAUAAUUGAAGAGGACGUUGUGGGCUUUCCAAUGUAUCAAAAUUUGAUAGUUUUGAUGGUCGAAAGUUGCCGAAAAAUUGCCUUAAAAGUCGCCCAAAAAAUUUGGGCAGAUUUUCAGAAUUUUUGGGCAACUUUUAAGGCAAUUUUUCGAUCGAAUUCCUUGGAGUUAUAAUGAGAUUUUGGGUGGUAAUUAAAGAAGAUAUCGUGGGCUUUCCAACGGUAUCAAAAUUCGAUAUUCUUUGUGGUCGGAAGUUGUCGAAAAUUUGCCGUAAAAGUCGCCCAAUUAUUUGAAGAGACGAGUGGUGAAUGAGUAUUAUAUGAAAAGAUGGGUGAGCAUUCAGUAAUCUGUGAAAGAUGAGUGAGCAAGUAGUAAUGAAGUGUAAAGUUCAGUGAUUAUUGGUUAAAUUUACUCGAAAAAUAUGUUACAAGAAAACUAUAUUAAUCAUGGGGAAAAAAAAAAAAAAAAAAAAUAGCAAACACAUGCAAUGUCCUCCAAAUUUCGAUCCUCAUGUAUUGAUCACAAGAAUAUAAUAGAACAAGGGUUAAAAAGAGAGCAAUGACAUAUGCCAAUACAAAUAUUUUAUUCCAUUUAUGAAGAAACGGCCUGCAAGGAUCUAGAAUUUCCUUCCUAGAUCCUACAUUUUGGCCCGAAACCUAUUCAGUGAGAACGAUUCCAAUCCUUCUAUAAAACUUUUAGUUCUUUCAGAAGCAUCUCCAACCCUCUGUGUAAUUUGUCUACAACACAGUUCAACAUUGAUCUAAGUUUGGUUGGUUUCGCUCCAUCUUCGGUAGGAGAUUGCCGCUUGAGCUUUUUACAGAUUCCAAUCCUGAAACCUGAAUUAGAAAAAAAACUAAGAAUCUGAACAUAAAAAUGCAUGAGAAGUAAAGUGAUACGUCAACUGUUGCAGAGGAACAGAACUAAUAAGAACCAAAAUACAUAGAAAAAUUUCCACGACGUAGUUGGAAGGCUAUAAUGCUCCAUUCGAUAAGCAAGGUAUGGUAAAAUUUAGCGUGGGAGCUCAUGCAUAAAGAUGGUUUUUCAAAGCAUUUCUUUAAAAAAGAACCACCUGGAAUAUCCAUAGAAUUACCACAAUUACCCAAUAGUGAUUGACCACUCUCCAAUCUAUCAAGAAACAAUACACGUGUCAAAGACAAGAAAGAAGGUCUAGGUUUUCCAAAACAUUGCAAUUGAUUUCUUCUGCAUAAACCUUGUGAAACUUUGCUACCUCAAAUUGACUCAAGGAAAAGCAAAUGAUAAGGGCCAUCGAGAACUAACCUCCUAAACCUAUUUUGCCGAAAAUUUAUCAUUUUAGCUCACGUGAGAAUCUGUGGAAAGACAUAUCUACUACUAAACUAUUGAAAAAAAGGAAUUCAUGGAAAAUCUUCUUAUGAUUGAGUUGAUCAAGAUAAAGUCCUGGAGGAUAAUCAUUACAACCGACUGAUUAUGUUGUCUUCCAUAAUUGAAUCAUAAAAAAGUAAAUAACCUACGUUUCAGUCAUCUAUUAACCAUGAUAGUGGAAAUUGUACAUUAUCUGAAGCAAGUCAAGUAAAAAAUUACGGCAAAAAAUGGAUAAAAAAGUGUAAGGCAAGUAAAUAACAAAACCAAAGUCCAAAUUAGACAAUUCUCAAAAUGAGAAUAAAAUCGCAAUAAGCCUUUGUUCGUCAACCAUUCUACCACAUUCUACCGUAUUAUUUUUCUACCGUACUCAUUUUCAACCACACAUUCUUCAUUAAAAUAAUAUUACACAUAAAUUAAUAAAAAAUUCAUUCUUUUUUAACCACACAUUUUAAACAUCAAUCACUAUUCCAUAAUACACUUUUUGAAAUUAAAGGGGCACAAAUAGGCCUAAGAAAAUAAUCAAGCAACUCCUCAAAAUGAUAUUAUUGUCAAAUUAAAACCAAACAAACAAAAAUUUCCAAGUUUCAAGUUGUUGAAUAAGACUAUAAAUUGACUUCAAUGAACACAUUUUCUCCAAACCUCACAGAAAGAGUAGCUAAAAAACAAUUGAAAAAUUUCCAUAUUAAUUAAAAACGUGCAAAUCUAACCAUAAAAAUUAUGAUUCUUCCAAAAAGAAAAAAAAAACUCACCAGUCUUUAAAAUAUGAGUAAGAAAAGUUCAUUGUGAGGGGAAAAAAAAAAUGAAACUUGCGUAUAAAAGUGGUGAAAGACUGUGACAAGAAAAAGACCACAUGCUAGAGAGUGAAAAAACAAAGGAUAAAACACUACUCAAAAAUAUGGCUUCAGGCACGGAUUUCCCGUUCUUAAAAUCUUGAUAUCCGUUGCUAUUACUUUUUACCAACGGAAUAUUUGCAAUCACAAAUUUGUUGUUAAUUUGAGGACCACUGAUAAUUACCAAUGGAUUGUGCCGUAGGUAAAGAGUAAACAUUUUACCAACGAAAAUUUCGUUGGUAAUGUGUGAAUUUUUUACCAACGGAAUUUUCGUUGGUAAAAAUCUUAACCAAUACCAAUUGACUUUCCGUUGGUAAAUGUAUACCAUUUCAAUUUGUAAAAAUAAAUGUUGGAAAUAGUCAUAUAGGUGUGAGGCAUGAUAAAAAAAAAAUUAUUUACUUAUUUUUUAUUAUUGUUAUUAUUAUUUAUUUAAUAAUUAUAAUUUUUUUAAAACUUUUAAACAAUUGAAUUGAAAAGCCAAAAUAUUGUUUAACCACUUAUUGGACCACAAAUUUAUAGAGGACAAUUCCAAAGAUUUUGUUGUAAAUUUUCGAUGUGGGAUAAUUGAAUUACUUUUACCAACGGAUAAUCUAUUUUUAAUUACCAACGGAAUAUCCGUAGGUGAAAGAUUCAAAUGUUAAACGGUCAUAUUAGGCACAGAAUAUCCGUUGGUAAAGAGAUAUUAUCAUUAUCAAUGGAAAAUCCGUGGCUGAUUGUCGUAGUUGAAAGUAAAUUACUUUUAUCAAUGGAUAAUCUGUUUCUAAUUACCAAAGGAUUGUUUCCGUUGGUAAUAUUUGGUACGUGACAGAUCCAAAUGUUAAACGGUUACAUUAGGCAUGAAAUAUCUGUUGGUAAAAGAAUACUAACCAACGAAAAAUUCGUUGCUGAUUAUCGUAGUUGAAAGUGAAUUACUUUUACCUACGAAUAAUCCAUUUCUAAUUACCAACGGAUUGCCCGUUAAUAAUUUUCCAUAGGUGAAAAGCUGUUUUUUAGUAGUGAAAUGAUGCAAGGGGAAAAAAUAAUGCAAAAAUUUAUAUACACAUUUAUGACUUUAGGACGAUGAUUUAUGAAUAAUAACCUAUUUUGUUCUUUUAUAUAUUGUAAGGAUUAUACAAUUAGGAAGAAAAAAUGCAGUAACUAAGUUUUAAAUAAAGAUAAAAGUGUCUAUAAGAAUAUAGUGAAUAGUUAUGUACAAAGAUGUCUUUGAAAUUCAUAAGUAAAAAGGAAUCUAUAAAUUCUAUCGAAACAAAAUCUAAAUUUGCCUAGCUUUAAUUUAAGGCUACCUGAAGUGAUUUGCACAAGUGAUCGAAUCCAGAUGUAUUCAGUCAACUCAUGUUCUAACUACGAAAUUCCAACUUGUUGUUUCCAAAAAAUGACAUUUUUACAGAGACCAGAAACUAUAAAGCAUGACACACCAAAUACAUCAUCUAAUUGCCAAGGGAAAAUAACCAAAUACGGUGAAAGAAAAGACUCCCUAAUUUGAACUACUACACCUAAAUCUUAAUCUAAUAAAUCCUAUCACCUAAUUGGACCGUGAUUGCAUUUGAUGCUUUAAGUUUAUUAUUUAAUUGUACAAGAAGUCAGUCACAAGCAUGGAUAAAUGAGGGGGAUUGUGCUAAGUUCAUGGUCAGCACAAAACUUUGUCAACUUUACAUGAAUACUUACAAAUGUGCUGAACUGAGUGGCAAUAGAGUACUAAUGCAACUCACUCUAAAUUUAUUAACCAGCUAAAAUCAUUUCGAUUUUCAAUAAACGAGGAAAUUUUAAUUUCAUUUCUCAAAAACUGAUAAACAAAUUAGAAAGAUCUAAAUAAAAUAACACCAAUAUAAGCAUACAAUAAUGACCAUAAUACUACAUAUAAAUCAAGAAAUUCAGAUAUGGAAAAUUCAGAAAUUCUGCUUAUUGAGUGUGACUUCCAAAAUAUCCCCCCUCUGAUCCAUAUUUUGUUCUUGCACCAUUUCGUUCACAUUAAACAAAACCAACGAUGACACAUUUUUCCUGCAUAAGUUAAAAAAGAAAAUAUUAACACCCAACAAUGUUAAUCGUUUCAAGUUCAUGUAUUGCCUUAUCCACUUAUCUACAUACUAACAUCAAAUCCCCUUCACCAUCAUCAUUGUCAGAGUUCUUGGCGGCACAUAAUAUCUUAAAAGUUAAAAACAAACUGUUAAUUGAUUGAGCUUCAUCCAAAAUCACGAAAUGUACAUAUAAUAAAUAUAAAUGAAAAGCUAAAUAUACAAGUAAAAUCAAGGCAUCGAUUCACAUGGUAAAAUAAAAAAUAAAAAUAAUAACCCAUCCAUGACAUCAUCACUGGUAGAUAAACUGAACCUUAAGCAAUUAACAAUAUUAGUAGGCUAGAAAGGAAUUUGCAACUUAUUUUCAGUUAUUGCUUCAGAAACCAAUUAAUUGGCAUACAGUUACAACUUUGGAACUUGCUUGUAAAAGGAGAAAUUUUUCAUUGCUCUUCCCUUGUGAUAGGAAUUGUUAUUCAAUUAUCAAUCUCUCUUAUGUAAUCGAUAUUUCAAAGUUCCACCAAAGCUAAAAUAAUUCUGUUCGCAGAAGUUUCAAACUCUUUCUGUUAGACCAUUGAACAAUUACCAGCAACUACAACAUCAUUUUAUUUCUUAUGAAGUGUUGUAACCUCCUGAAAAUUUUAGAAUAAAAAAAUAUUUAUGUUAUAUAUAUUAUAUAUUUACAUUUUAAAGUUGAGGACUAAAAUGAAAAAUGUUUUAAAAUUAUAUUUUAUUUGGGUCAAAUAAUUAAAUUAUAAUAGAGUAAGUAUAAAUAUAUCAAUAUUAUACUGGUUGGAUAGAUCCUAAUUAAUUAUGUAUACUAGGCUAGAGAAAAAAUCAAUUCGAAAAAGUUAACUCUAAGAUAUUUCAAUUAGAAGAGGUUGAAAAAAAAAAUUUAUUAAUUUUCGAAUUUAAUUAAAACUCGGAAGUCCAGCCAAGGUGUUUUUUUUUUUUUUGGGGGGGGGGGGGGGGGGUUUUCAUAGGAUAAGUAAUCACUUGACAUGAGUAGGGUAGGUGGUAGAUAAUGUACCUUUAUAUGAUUUAUUGCUUUUGUUUUGGGAAUUGAUAAGAAUUGUCAAGUAGCCUUAUUUUAAUAUUAUUUAUUUACCUUGAUUUUGGGAAUAGAUAGAGAUGUUUUGACACGGUAGAAAUCUUUGCACUUUUCAAUUAGGAUAAAAGGCCAAUUGUAAUGCACUAGAACUCCUAGUUACUUUAUUGUUACCCAAUUAAAUUAGAAUAGUAGAAAUCUCAAAAUUUAUAGUUGAAAUAGUACGAAACAAAUCAUACAUUUUGCUUAUGGGACACGGCCAUUCUAAUCCUUUUGCUGUAAAUGUGAUAAUUACCUUACCUAUUGGUUAGAAAUAAUUAAUUUAAAACAAUUCAAAACCCAAUCAUCUAUCACUAUCUUCCAUUUUCCUAUUUUGUUAAAUGAUUAAGACUUAUCUAAACAGAGUUCUGAUGUAAUUAUACUAAAAGAUUUUGGCUUAUCACAUAUUAUUGAUAAACCUCAACUAGCAUGCACGUAUUUUUGCAAUUUCACUUUCAUAGGGACUCUGCCCUAUUUAAACCCUGCAAAGUCAAGUUGAAAGUACACACUAUUUCAAGUAGAAAGAAAUUUUUUAUCAGAAAGUUUCUUGAAUCAAUUAUUACAGUUAAUCAAUAAUCUUUCACUAGAGUAGAGGAAGGAAUUUUGGAACGUGCAUUCAAAUACUUUUUCUAUAUUUCAACAACGAGGUAAGAUGCAUAUGUGCAAAUUGUUUUCAUUUCUAUAUGCUUUUAUAUGCAAUUAAAUAUGCAUGUAUUGCUAGUGGACCCUUCGGAUUCUAUAUAAAGAGAGAUGAAAUACUACAGGAUAUAAGAGGACCUAAGAUAGAUGUGUCGCUUGGUCAUCGCUAUACUCCAUAAGAGUAGAGUGGUAUGAAAUGUAGAUUUUAUUGUUAUAUAUCUGUAUAUGAAAACUGCACGUAUCCUGCUGGGUGUUUUGAAUACUCACUCUUACAAAUUUUACAGGUUAGUUCGGGUCGAUUGGAACAGUAACGAAAUGGUGAUGCGGACUGCAAAGUGGAUCAAAGGAAAAGAAAAAGAAAUAAGUUUGCUGUCUUUAAAUUUACCAACUAGUUUAAUUUUGUUUCAGAACGUGUUAUUUGAAUUAGUUAGGAGUUUAUGUUAUGUUUAGAUACGAUUUCCAUGAUUUAAAUUUAAAUUUUUAAAUGUUACAGUUAUUUGUUUAAUGAAGAAUUUUAUUUUUUAUAGUUCCGCAUUUAAAAUAAAGAAAAGUGAAUUUUUUUUUGGUAACGUUCCGACGUUUACCGAAAAUUGGGGCGUUACAAGUAGGGGCGAAUCUAGCAUCUAAGUUUAGAUAGGUCGGAGCUUGACCGUUGACCGUCGACAAUCAAAAUCGUAAUAGACUUGUCCUUAUUAAAAUUUGAUUAAAUGAUAUUAAAAAUUAUUCAAAUAUAUGUAAAUGUACGAGUUGUAUACUAGUUUAGUAACUCGAUUAGAUUUUCUCUAUUAAGAGACUUGUUCGAUUCAUCGUGACCACAAAAUGGCAAUCCUUAAAAAAUCAAUUAGAAGUGAUUAAAAUUCAUAAUUCUUAGACUCUCAGCAAUAAGUCCUAAUUUCCCUUAUCCAGUAAACAUCAUCGCAUCAAACAACACUCAAGAGUCUCAACUCAACUCUCAACAGACAAGUGAGACAACAAAUCAACAAUUCAAGCUCUUAAACACAUUUGGAUAUGAUUAUGUUCUCGGGGGAGCAAGAUGCCAUAUUGCGAAUUUGAACACCAAAACAGAGCAAAGGAAUACAUUAAAGAAAGAAUUUGACUCAGGCAACCAAAAAAUAUCCUAAUCCUUUACCCCCAAAAUUUUUUUCCUGUAAUUAAAUUGUAAAUAAAACUUAAACCAACUAGUCCAACAAAAACAAAAUCCCCAAAACAAAAAGAGAUUCUGAUUUCGUACUUCGCAUAAAACAGACAACAAAAACAUGGAAAUGGAUGGGUUUGCAGUUGCACAAUUAAAAAAAAUCAACAAUACAACAGACAACAAAAACAAUUUGACUCUCCAUUGAAUUGCAAGCUGCUUGCUUGGGCCUUGGAGACUCGAAGUCGCACUUUCUGAUUUCGCACUUCGCACAUGGUGACAUGGUCCACGAAUAUACACAUCGCAAAUCGCAGGCGCAGCUACAACUGCUUCAAAUGGAAAUGGAAGGGUUUGAACUUUGCACUUUGUGUCUUUGGCGGUUUCAAAUUAUGACUUCGAUUGGAUUAUUGGAUUUGGAGUUUGGACCAUUUCCAUAUGUUGUUGAUUUGGGUUAGAUACUGGAUUGAUUCAUUGAUUUCCUCAUUGGGCCUAAUCUUUUAAACAAAAUGAGGCCUAUUCUAUCAUCAGCCCAAAGAAAAAGUAAAAUAAAAUUUGGAACUCGUCUUUUUCCCUUCCAAUUCCGUCUCUGGUUCUCUGCAACUGCUGCGCCUGCUCCUGGUGGCAACUGGACAUUCUGGCGGAUCUAGCACACCCAGCUGCGGGUGCUCGCCAAGAGCUGGAUCCACCACUAGUUACAAGUGCCUUUUACCUUGAACGAACUCGUCUCAAAUCAAUGAAACACUACAUUUAGUUCUUAUACAGAGAGAAUAUAAAAUUGAUAUGAGAAAAAUGUAAAUUAAUUUAAGAAAUAAUAAUUUUAUUUAUUUAUUUAUUAUUAUUAUUAUUAUUAUUAUUAUUAUUAUUAUUAUUAUUUUUUGUUGGGUUCUAUUAGUACUUCAUCAUUCUGAGCAGUAAAACAAUGGAUAUAAGCGCUUACUAGGAACAAAUUAUAGUAGUAACAUCCUAUUGUUAAUAUCCAGUUCCACGAGACAAGGGAUCCCAUUCCAAGAAACCAAGAAACCAAAAUUGCCUUGUAUUUUGCCUGAUACAAAAGUUAAUUUUCCUGUAAGAAUUUUAAUGUCUCAAAAAAGAUUAAACAAAAGAAAAUAAUUAGAAGAACCUCAAGCCUGCUUGAACUUGGAACUCCAAUUGAAUCAAGAUUAGUCAGGGUUGCCCAUCUUCUAUUCAUACUGCAUAAUGUACAGAAGAAAAUAAAGCCAUGUUUGGUAGGGAUUUUUUGCCCCAAAAAAUUAAUUUUUUGACCGUUAUUUUACUAUUCAAGCCGUAGUUUUUGACUUCUUAUCUCACAUAUGGACCCCAUUUUUCUUUUAACGGUCAAAAAAUCAAUUCUCAAAAUCCCGACCAAACGGGCCCUAAGUAUAAUGAAUGGGAAAAAUGCCAAAUCUCAAAAACAGCAGGGAAAAUACUCAGAAAUUUACCAAUUCUCUAGAAGAAAAUGAAAACCUAGGUUGAAUGAUCAAGAAGAGCAUGUAAUAUGAACAAAGAAAUGAACCCUUAUCAAGAUUAAGACAUGGACGGACUAUUGUUCUUGGAGGGUUUCGAGUGGAUGUUGACUGCUGAAGUAUGAAAAAGAGAUUCAGGUAUGGGCCUGAUAACGAGGCAUGGGUCUAACAUGGAAAGAAGAAAAAGAAAAAGGAAAACAAAUUAAAAUUAAAAAAAUUUGACAUCAGCAUGAUGCGUCAUGAACAGUUGCCAAAGUUUGCUCUUUUAUAUAUUGCGGUGAUUUACUAAAAUUUUGAUUUUAAUCACUAUCAAACAGAGGCUAAGUACUUGUUCUCGGAUCCAACAAAAUAUCUAAUAAACUAGUAUAGAUCCGUGUUGAAUGGUAAGAAGGUCGUUUUGCUCGUGAUUUGGUAGAUUUUUGCCUUCAUUGACGUCUUCGGAUGAAGAAUUGUGAUUUCCGAAGUGGGAAUAUCAUAAUCACCUUUCUAAACUUGAAUUAAACUACUUUGCCCGAAAUUUUUCGACAUAAUGGUUGAUAUCCUCUCACAUGCACAUGGAUUCCACGUGAAUAAAAAAGUCCAAAAAAUUUUGGGCCCCCUCCCAUUGUGUCAAACAAAUUCGGGGCAGCAUAGCAUGAUUGGCUUGCUGAAAUUUUCUACUUUCACUUUGUUGAUGCAAAAGAUUUAUUAAGGUUCAUCUCAAUGGAAGAUUACGUCAUCUUCAACCGUUGCAGUAAUUCAAUAGGAUGAAAUGAAGUUUACAAGAGAAUUGCACACCUAUCUUCUCUUACCUCUAUUUCUCUCUUUUAUGAGGCCAAAUCCGCACUGGCUACAUAUAGAGACAAUAAUUAAACUCUACAACUACAAACCCAUGUUCAUAUCAAACAAAAAAGGAUAAUAAAAUCGUAUGAUUUGGAGAACAUUAAAUUGCAAAUUAUAAAUAGCAACCCAGAAGAGAUUCUCCACCUAAAACAAGGUUAUUUCCCAUUACAACUGAACCAUUUUCGAACUAAGCUUAUAGUUCAGUUAAUAUGAUUUAUCACUUAUCAGUAUAGUACCAAUACACCAAAAAAUAAUAAUAAACAAAUAAAUAUAUAAAUUCUCCUAACAAAUUCUUAAUAUAUAUUAAAAAAAUUCAAUAAAAAACAUCCAGAUAAAUUGCAGUUGCAGCAAAAAAUAUGGAGCAAAUCAGAAAAAUGUAAAAAUUGACACUUCCAGAAUAGGAACUGUGGUCGUUGGUGCCAGCAGGAGCAGACAAGCACGAGGGAGGUCAAGAGGUUUCCAUCAGGCUGCUAGUUGCUGUGUCUAUGCUGAUUGCUGGAGCCGGUACUGACUCGCCAUGGGGUUGGUAGGUUUUAGGAUAGUUUAAAACCAAGGUUAAGGCCCAACCUCCUUGCUGGACAACACAGUAGUCCAAAUAAAUACACUGAACAGAUAAAAACUCCACAAUAACACUUCAUUUUUAUAACUAACAAAAGAGGAAUUUGAAAGUGAUCUACAUCUAAAAAACUUCAUGAAGUUACUUUAACUUCGAGCCCUUAUUUGGGAAUUUCAUAGGACUCAGAGAGAUUUGUGGAGAUUUCUUAUAUUUACAGAGCCAAUUUCUAAGUCUCCGGAGAAUUUGGAGAAACAGUAGAAAAUAAUAAGAUGAUUCGAUGAGACAGAAAUGAGUCAAAAACUUAGGAGACUUAAAAGAGUCAAAUAUUUCAACACCCACCCCAACAUUGGGUACGGUCACAUGGUACUAACUAAACUUCUUCCCAUUGAUUACUCAACUUUAGGGUGUUGCACUCCAUCACUCAUCAGACAAAUUUCAUUUCUCUUUAAGACUACAUGGAUCACAGAACACCUAUGUGGCGGUUAACACGGUCAAAAAAUUAAAAUCAAAUGCUAGUGCAUGAAAUUGCAAAUCCGAAACACGCGUCAGCCAAAUAAAAUCAUAAUAUGCCUUCUUCAUUCAAAACCCCAAAGCUUUAAACUCCAAAUCCUUCUAAACCCUGACCCCAAAUCGAUUCUGCCCCCACAAUCGAGGCCCCACUCAAAGGACCACAAAGCUUGGAUUUUUGAAGCCGUGCACAUGGAGGUAAUUCCCAAACCUUUUUUUUUUCUUCUUCUUUUCUGAGUUUUUGCUUUCCUGAUGCGUGAUCCACAAGAUCAAAUCAACCGAUGCUUUCAUUUGGUGUAUUGUACUUAUAGCCUCUUCCCCUAGUGAAUUGAAUAAAGGAAGUAUUCAAUGCCAAAGAUGAUACGAUAUGAAUUUUUCAAAAAGAUAAAGGUUGUGGGAUUGCCUGUGUAGCAAUAGAACUUGUUAUUUUUUAUUUCAAAAUAAACCCAGUUUGGAGGAUGAGACAUUCAGGAAUCUACGAUGGAAUGCUUGUAUGUAUAUUUGGUGGUUUAAAAAUAUUUUAGAGUUUUAAUUUUACUUUGCUUCCAUUUAAAGAAGGAUUUUAGGUUCUUCCCGGAUACUUGUGAUUUUUUUGCCAUUCUCUGCUGAUGCUGUUGAGAAAUGAAGUUUGUAAUGUAUCAUUUGUUUGCCUUAUCCACACAAUGCUCAUCAAAGUUGCAACAAGUACCUAUUGACUAAUGUUUUUGGAGAAUAUGAGUUUUGAGUUCGAUUAUUUGUAGUGAGCUAUACUUGGAAGAUACGUAUUAUAAAUGGUGUCAACCCCAUAUGAGAAGUAUUCCAUUUGUUAAAUCUAAUUGAAUUUGUAACAGUCUUAAUGGAACGAAUAAUUGAAGGAGUAAUGCUUUAAAUUUUUGCAAUGGCAUACACUGGAGCUUGAUUGAAUUUAAGGAAAUGAGAGGUGUUUUUGAGGUGGGAAAGCACACGAUUGAUAUGCGCUGCAACAACAUUGAAUAAAUAUUUCCGCCCUCAGAUAAAAAUGGUGCCGGAUAGAGGGAAUGGAGCAUCAUCGAGCCAACCACAUGAAGAAUAACAAAGUUUCCCGUUCAUGGGCUUCCUCGCAUAUGGAUGAGAGUAAUGAUGGAGGACAAUCUUUUGAAGCUCAGGUGGCGACUGAGCAAACUGGGAUCUUUAACGUUUUGUAAAACUGAAAUGGGGGCUUUAGCUUUGGGAUACGACACGUUUGAUUGUGCUUUUGGUUGUUUUAUUUGGUGUUCCUGUUUAACUAGGAAAAAAAAAUCUGUUUUGCUUAUGAACAACAGCUAUGUUUAUUUUGGCUUUAAUCAAAAUGAAGUCUAUUUCAGAAAUAGGUAAGGCGUAAUGCAUUGAAUUUGAAUAUGCUUUAAAAUAGUUGAAUAUUAAUCAAAGUUAAUCUGCUUUCUUUUCAGAUUUUUGAAGAAUGUCCUGCUGUAGUAAGCUUAGCCACUCUCAAAUGCCUGAAUUUUCAUUGAUUCAGUUCAAGAUGUUUUAAAGCCAUAUUCAGUACCAGAGUGAAAUUGUAUAUAAAAUUCAUUAUGGAAAUUACUUUUUCAAAUUUUUACAUGUAAUAUAUCACUGCAACUUAUAGUUUAUCCAACGACCUACAUUAGUGUAUUAGAACUAGAACAUCCACUUGCUUUCUAAUUUUCUCGACUGAGCUGGGUUUGUAGAUUCAUCCAACUCAAUGUUAAAAUAUAUAAUUAUAUGUGUUACUUAAAAGCAGUAAACAUAACUUCUAAGUCCUGAGAUCAAUGCCAUUGCAGAAAGUACCCCAAACAAGGUUCACAGAAUCACACUUAACAAUACUAGUGCAUACAACUUAUCUUGAAACAACAUAACAAACAAAACUUACACUGAAGUAGCAAGUCAAAAUAUAGUGCAUACAUAAUAUGCAAAUAGAAACCAUGAGCCCUUUAACUUAUACUCCAGAGCAAAUUACAUAAACAUGACAAUUGUAAGAUCAGUCUUUUAAGUAAUAGCAUGGAUGGAACAAAUUAAUGGAUCUCUUCCCUUUUGCUUCCCAUUUUCCGUAUUUCAUUUUUCCGUGUGGUUAGUUAUAUUGAGGAAUAUCUUCAUGUCAUGUUGUUCGGAUAUUUGAGCAAAAGUUUUGAAUAUACGCAACAAAUCUUCAAUUGGAUCUUUAGACUUAGAUUUACUCAAACAUACACAUCCUGCUUUAAUUUUGAUGUAAACACCACUAGAAUAACCUUUAAUUUGCAAAUUUUUGAAUUUAAUUUAAUUUUUUAUUUUUAGGUCAGACAAAACAUCACUGCACUUGAAAUACCCACAAUUACUACUACAAGAAAAGAAUAACCACCCUAUAUUUGCAGUAUUCUUUUCCACAUCUAUCCAUUUCACUAAGCCGUCGCCACAGCUUGGGGCAUCAUUGCUUUUUUGGGCAUUCCAACAAAUGGCUGUCUACAUCUAUGUCAAAUCUCCUUGUUCUUUCCUGAUAUUGAAAAGUUUUAUUGCAGCCAUUAAAAUUCAGUACACAUAAGGUGUGAGAAAUUAAGUAAACACACUGUUGGCAAAUUUUGAGCAUUAAUCCAUCACCAACAAAACAUUACUGAAAGUUUAAAUUUACUGAAUAUUUAAACCUAUCGUGCGGAAUUAUACAAUUAAAAGCAACAAAUCACUUUUUAAUUCUCUAUAUGAUUAGGUCAAUCAAGUCAAUUUAUCCUAAAUUUGAAUACUAUAGUUCGUAAAUAGAAAGCAGUAAAUACCACAGAUAUGAUCAAUGGAGAAAAUCAUAAUUUAUCACACAUAACUCUCUCUCCCCCCUACAAUCCACUCUUCUGGAACACCAACACCGACAAAACCAUCUUCAUUAGCUGGUGACCACCGUGCAUAGGAUCUCUGCACGAUGCAGCACCCACCGUUUGGAUCGCACACAAGAUCGCUACAUAGUGUAUUGGCACUGCGUGCAGAUCACCACUGCUCGAAAUAACUUUACAACGACAAUGCCAAAGUAGCAAUGCAACAAUGAUGUUGAUGCAAGCCACUGCACGCAACCGCUCAUAAGCGUUGCAUAAAGCACUACAAAGCAAAUCUUUGAGAUCCAUGCAAAUCAUUAUUAGUCGCCGUGGUGAAAAUGGUGGUUUGUUACUUGUUGUGGUUUGUUGCUGAGAUCGUGGUGGUUUGUUGCUGGCUUCCAUAUUGGUCGUUUUUGAGCCGUGGUGGUUUGUUACAAAUAGGUUUUUGAGUUAGUGGUGGUUAAAAAUGGUGGUGGUGGUGGUGCUGGUGAUGGAGGCAACGGUGCUGUGAGGUGGCGAGAUGAAGUUUGAUGACCUCCUAGGGGAUUUUGGCAAAUUUUGGGGACCAUUUAGGGAUGAAGUGAAGUUCGAUGACCUCCUAGGGGAAAUUGACAAAGUUCGGUGACCAUUGGGGGGAUUUCCUCUUUGGAUAGUGGUGGUUGUGAUGUUUGAUUCUUUGAGAUCCAUGCAAAUCAUUAUUAGUCGCCGUGGUGAAAAUGGUGGUUUGUUACUUGUUGUGGUUUGUUGCUGAGAUCGUGGUGGUUUGUUGCUGGCUUCCAUAUUGGUCGUUUUUGAGCCGUGGUGGUUUGUUACAAAUAGGUUUUUGAGUUAGUGGUGGUUAAAAAUGGUGGUGGUGGUGGUGGUGGUGAUGGAGGCAACGGUGCUGUGAGGUGGCGAGAUGAAGUUUGAUGACCUCCUAGGGGAUUUUGGCAAAUUUUGGGGACCAUUUAGGGAUGAAGUGAAGUUCGAUGACCUCCUAGGGGAAAUUGACAAAGUUCGGUGACCAUUGGGGGGAUUUCCUCUUUGGAUAGUGGUGGUUGUGAUGUUUGAUGCGAUAGAGGUCGUUGGCGGUUGUCGCUUCCAUUGCUGCUCUGAUUUUGGAUCUAUUUUGCUAUAGUUGUCGUCGUCGUUGCAGUCACAAUGGUUGUGAAAUAGUGGUGGUUUUUGGUGGUCAUAGUUUGGUUUGUUUGAGAUGAUGGAGAUGGUGGUAUUGUUGCCAAUUGAAGUGAUGUGGUGGUGGUGACAAUGGUCUUGGCGGCAGUGGUGACAGUAGUGAGAUGUGGUGACAAAUGGUGGUUGUAUUUACAAAUUAUUUGGUUGAUUAUGAUCAAUAAAUUGGUUAAUGUGUGAUCAAUAAUUAAUAUCUAAGCAAUGAAAUAGAUAAUUUGUGACCAAUAAAUAAUGUGUCUUAAAAUUUUGUUAAGUUGUAAAAAUAAUUUGAUAAUUUGUAACUUAGAAAUAAUGUGUGAGAAAAUUUGAUAUUAUAAAAUUCACGAUUUGUAACAUAUUAAUUUGAUAAAUUUGGGAUUAAGAAAUAAGGUGUGACUUAUAAAAUUUUCGGUUUGUGAUUGUGACGUCUAUAAUUGUGAUUAAUACAUGACUAUGAUUAUAAAUUAUAUAAUAUUAUAAUCUUGAUAUAUUUAAUUAAUCAAAUAUGUUUUUAAGUAAUUUUUAAAUCAAUAAAAUUUAAUUAAUAUCUAAUUUUUGAAAAAAUAAAUCUUGUUUCUUAAUUUUGAAAUGGAUCAUACUUUAUCUCUUGGAUAUGAAAAUUUUCCAUGAUUUUAUUACAGAUAUGAAUCUAAGAUAGAUUGACCCAAGCAUGGUUAUAAAUAUGAAGAAAUGAACAAUCAAUAAAAAUAAGAAAACCUAGAAAAUGAAGUGCAGAAAAAAGAAGACGAAAUAUGGGUUUAAAAAAUCCUGAUUGGGAAGAUUCCCUACCAGCUAGCAGCAUUAGUGUCGUAUAGUACUUGUCUUUAGAUAUUUGAUAGAGGUGAACAAAAGCAAGUUGAAAAGCUAGAUCUUGUCUUUAGAUAUUUGAUAGAGGCGAAUAAAAGCAAGUUGAAUAGCUAACUCAAAGAGUUACAAGUGUAUGAAAAUAAUAUUUUUCUAAUUUGAAUACUUUUGAAACCAAAAAUAUGGGUCGCAAUAUGCACAAAUCUGGAGCACCUCUCCUUGUACAUGAUUUUCUUUAUAUAGUAGGAUGAGGAGUCCAAAAGAGAAGGAAGAGGCCCCUGGUUGAGGAUUGAAGAAAGUCAUCUCGAAAAAAAAUUCUUGUUAUGGAGAGCUAAUUCCUUGGUAAAAAAAAUACUUGUGUCAAUAAUAUCACAAAAGAUUAUAGAGAACUUUAUUAACAUAUUUAUGUCUAUAUUUUUUUACCAAAUUUACAAUUACCAUAGAUAGAUGCAGGGAAGAAUCCAGGGUCCAAUGUCAGUUAGGGCGGAUCGCUAGCGUUGAAAGUUUAUUGUUGAUGGCCAACGUCCGUAAUAACGGGGUUAUUUAUUAAUAUUUAAUUAAACAAUAUUCAAAAAAAUCAUGCGGAUUAAAACUAGAAGAACUAGAUACACUACUAGAACUGGGUACAAACUUUCAUUUUGGAUGAAAAAAUCGUUCCACAAUAUGCAAAAUGCCCUAAUUUAUUUUUCAAUUAAAUAGGCACUAUAUAUUAACAAAAUAACAAUAUUCAGUUUACAAUUAAAAUUAAUUAAACAAACGUUAUUAUACUAACAAAAUUGAAAUUAAUUAUAUGCUUAAAUCAAUUUUAUGUGCUUGUAUGAUUCCACUUUCUCGCAAUUGAUUUUUUGUAAAUGAAAAGUGGAACCUUUUAUUAAUUAAAUAAGUUAUGUUGAAAGAUUCGUUAUAACACUAAGGCCAAUUUUCCUACAAAAUUCAUUCACCAUUAAUUGACUAAACUCUCAAAUCAAUUUAUUAGAGGGAAAAAAAAAGAAAAGAAAAUAAAAAGUGACAAAGCUCCGGUUAAAAUGUUUUUAUUUGCAUUAAACCAGUAAAAUUGAACAUUUAUUAUUUUGUUACAUUAUGUGCUAAAAAUCAAUAAGUGCCAUAAUGGUAAAGUGGUUAAUAUGUUUAAGGAAGAUAAAAGGUUUGAAUGACUUUCCUUGCAUUUGUUUUGGUAAAAGUUGUUGAAAUAUAAAAAUUAUAAAAGUAUUGCUCUUGAAAAGUUUCGAACACAAGACCCCUCCAAUUUGAUAAUAGAAGGGCUAACCAAAUAAGUUAACAAAGAUGUUUGUUAUUAAAACGAAUUAUCAAAUAUAAUCUAAACAUUCUAUCUAUUAUUAGUAAAAAAAUUUCUCCCUGACGAAUCCAACUAGGGCUCACCGGCCUCUAAAUCCACCCCUGGAUAGAUGUAUGUAUGUAAUCUUUCUAUAUAAUUCAAGGAGUCCUGAAUGGGAAAAGCAUUCAGCCAAUUCUUGACAUGGUAUUAGAUCCUACCAAUAGAACCUAUAGCUGAAUCUUUGAUUUUUCAGUUUUCCUCUGCCUUUAUCGUGGGUCGGAGGUUGGUGGUUGAAUUCUUGUUCUAGGGCUUUCAGGCUUUCUAUUCAAUUUCUCAUGUUUGGGACUUUGGGUUGAUCAAGUCGGCACCUUCGUUGGCUCAGCGAAGCUUGUCUAGUGGUGAUCCCUCUUGGAACUCUGGGUCGACCGUUCUAUGGUGCACAUCUCUGUUGCUCAUCUUUAGUGCAUUGAUGGUGGUGUUUGAUUGAGACGUGCUGUUUUGACUUUGUCUUCACCGAUGGGUCUUUUGAGUUUAGUAGUCGUCCUCUGUCUAAGAAUCAUCACUUGCAUCUGUGAGGUUAAGCGUCUGUGGAUCUUUGAAGGUUAUUGGGCUUUUUUUUUGCUUGGUCAUUAUUUCAGUUGUUGGGCCUCUUUUUAUUUGCUUGGUCCUUAUUUCACUUUGGGCUAUUUUUUAGUUGAGCUUGUGGGCUGUUAAUUGGGCUUUUCAGUAGUUGGGUCUUUAAAGUUGUAGCAACGGUAGUAUUUAUAUCAUUCGUGGGUGCGGCUAACUCUCCAUGAGGUAAUUGUAUGACUUUCCUUUGUUUGUGUGAGACUAUUUUAUGGACUCUAUGUCAAUUGAAGCCUUUUGUGUUAGAUCACGAGAAAGAAUUAUUCCAUAUGGGAAUUCCAAUUCAAAAUGAACUUAAAGGAAAAGGAACUUUGGGAUCAUAUUGAUGGGUCUUCUAAAGUACCUGAGGAUGGUAAGAAUCUUAGUGAUUGGGAAUUAAAAGAUGCUCGUAUUAUUUCUUUGAUUUUAGGAUCUAUGGUGGCACACCUAAUGAAUAAUUUGCACUCCUUCACUACUGUUAAGGAAAUAUUGAAAUACUUAAAGCAUAACUAUUAUCAAGUCAAUAAUGCAUGCCGAUUUUAGUUAGGAUUAGAGAUUGUCAGUUGCACUCAAGGUAAUCUUAAUAUUGAGCAAUAUUAUUUUGGUUUUCUGAACUUAUAGAGCGAAUGCUCUGGCAUAAUUCAUGCUAAGGUCCUUGCAGCGGCUCUAUUAGCUCUACAAGAGGUUCAAGAGAUUAGUAAGCAUGAUCGGUUUCUUAUGAAAUUUAUGACCUGAAUUUGAAUUGGCUUGGACAAGUUUUUUGAAUCACGAUCCGGUUCCUUCUUUUGAUGUCUGCUUCAGAGAGCUUUUACAUGAGGAGCAAUGGCUUGCUACCCAAACUACUAUUGGCGUUGAUAUGUCAUCUACUGAGGUUCUGCUAUUACAUAUGCCACCCAAAGUCUGGGAAGGGGUAAACUCCAGUGCUUCUACUGUAAAGGAUACGGUCGUAUCAUUUGUAAUUGUCCCAAAAAGUUUGCAAUUAUUGUAAGUAAUCAAGGCAUACCGUCAAAGGCUAUCUCACUCGACCCCAAAACCGAAAAGCUCAAGCGUUGCAAGCUAAUGCUCAGGGGUCUACUCCCGCACUUUUACAAGCUAACACCAGUCAACUAGUUCUUACCCCUGAUUGAGAUUGAGGUGUUUCUUCUCCUUGGUUUGUUGAUAAUUCAUGGACAUCGAAUUAUAUGACAGGUAGUUCUGAUUCCUUGCACCGUGUUCAACUCUACACUAGCACACAACACAUCCAGAUUGCUAAUGGUAGUACCCUUUCAAUUACUGCUGUUGGUGAUAUUGGGUCUUUUUUUUAUAAAGUUUGUCUCUUCGGGCUUAUUUACUAACUUGAAUUCAGUCGGUCAAUCAAUUGAUAAUAACUUUGAUCUGUGUUUUUCUUGUGCUAGUUGUCUUGCUCAUAAUCAGUGACAUGGAAGGUGAUCGCGAAGGAGCCUAAAGUCGAAAGAUUGUUCCUGUUACAGUUUACCAUACCUAUUACUAUGUUGUUAGCUUGUAUUAAUGUUGGAUUUAAACAUGAACUUUGGCAUAAAGGUUGGGUCAUCCCAAUGCUUUAGUUUUAUCUCAUUUGUUGAAAUGUGAUUUUUAGGUAAUAAAGAUAAGACUUGAUUUCUAAUUUAUCUUUCAAUUGUGAUGCUUAUAAACUUGGGAAAAGUAAGAUUCUUCCAUUUUUAGCUCAUGGGAGCCAUGCUAAAAAAUGUUUGAGAUUAUUCAUAGUGAUGUUUGGGUUGUGACACCUGUCACUUCACAUGACCAUUACAUGUAUUUUUUGACAUUUCUUGAUGAUUUCAGUCGUUACACUCGAAUGUAUUUUAUCCGUUUUAAGAGUGAGGUUGGUACCAUUCUUCAGACUUUUGUAGCUUACAUUGAAACACAAUUUCUUCCUGUAUUCGGAUUUUGAGGUCCGACAAUGUUAGUGAAUAUGUCUCAUCAGUGCAAGACCUUACAACAAAAGGUUAUUCUUUCCUAACGUUCUUGCCCAUACACUCCUCAACAGAAUAGAGUAUUUAAAAGAAAAAAUCGUCACUUGUUGGAUGUUGUCGAGGUUUUGCUCUUGAAAUCUUCAUUUCUGCCAAAUUUUGGGUUGAAACAUUCUCCACCACUGUACAUUUGAUUAAUCGACUUCGUGUUCAGCAUUUGAAUAAUUUGGUUGUGUUUGCUUCAUCCAUUUACCUCCUCAUGAACGACAUAAGCUUGCGGCUCGAUCAGUACAAUGUGCUUUUGUGGGUUACAACAUUGCUCAGAAGGGUUUUGUUUGUUAUAAUGAUGUUGCUAAUCGCAUUCGCAUCUCUCGCAAUAUAGUUUUCUUUGAUAAUCAAUAUUACUUCAAACACGUGUCAUCUUUUGAUUUGACUCCGCUCAUUGACUUUGAGGAUUGCCUUCGUCGUGUCGAACGUUUUAAACCAUGUGUGAUAUACCAGAGACGACGGCCUCCAGCUUCUGCCCUUUCCCAUUCUCGAUCUCGAUCCCGAUCCCAUCGCAGAUUUUGUUUCUCUUUGGCGAUCCACUUGCAUUACUCAUCCUCCUAAUUGGUAUGGUUUCUCUGCAACCUUAUAUUCUUUAAAUAUGGAAAAACUAGAUGAAUGACAUGAAGAAUAUGGAUAGUAUUCGAGAUGACAUCAUGGGUGAUCUUAAUUGUUUGACCUCAUAGGAAGACCUUAAAGGAUGACCCACUAACAUCAUGGAUAUUCACAUAGAACUCCUGAACCAGGAGAGUAGGCGGGGGAUUCAACCCGACCAAUAAAGGUUCCCAUCACCGAGAAGUAAAUAUGGCUGCUAGGUUAAGCGGAAGAUAAGAUAGAUUAACCUCACGCUCAACAAGAACAGGACGUAACAAGAACUGAAUCCCAAAGACACCCUGAGCUGUAGAGAAAAUAAACCUAGAUCAACUAUAUGAAGUCGAGCUACUAGCAGGCUGAGUAGUAGACCGUGCCCUCUUAUGAACCAUCUAAGACACAAAAUUAAAACCACGAUGUCAAGACUCGUAGGCCACCGAAAAUGAGAUAUGCAUGGAUGCACAUGAAUCUAGACAAAAUGGAUGAAUAAACGAUGCAAAAUAGUGUAAGGCACACAAAACUAUGUAACAAAGUACAAAAAUACACAAAACGAUGCAAAAUAGUGUAAGGUAGGCAAAAAUAUGCAAAAUAGUGUAAAGCACGCCAAACAAUGGAAAAUAGUAUAAGGCACGCAAAACUGUGCAAAAGAUAUGUAGUAACAUGAACUGAGUGACGUGGCGUCUAGAUGCAGUUCACAUCGUUGUAGGAUGGAACUAACAUGGGUGCAAAGCACAAGUGACGCAAGUCUCAUGGCGUCAAGAUAUGAGCUCCAUGAUGCAAGACACAAGUGAUGCGAUGUCUAGACAGAGGUGGCAUGGUGUCAAGAUGAAAGAUGCACUCACAAGGGACACAAACUCAAUAGUUAGGAAUGACAACCAAGAACCGAAAAAACCCAUAAUGACCAGGACUUAGACUAUGAAGAUGUUGUGUGAAUGUAGUCUAAACAUUGAUCUAAUGUAGUAAAGAGAUCAUUUAUCAAAUACGUGGUGUGCGCGUGUAAAGUAUGAAAAAUUCACACAAUACCUAAUGUCCCAAUAUCCCACAACUUACCAAAAACUACGCACACAUCAUCACAACCAUCCUAUGGUAUAAAGCCACACCAUAGUGAAGAACAAAUUCGAGAUAAAGGUGUCAAAAAAAUGUUCAAAAAAACAACAGGAGAAUGGAAAAAUGUCAACAAAUGCAAACUUGAGCUACAACGAAGCAAUGCUAUCCUCAAGAUGCACAAUGGAACAAUUUAGAUUCAAUAAAUUAUGGUUUAAUGAAGCGAAAUCGACAAAACCCCAAAAGUUAUCAAAAUGGUGAAAUGUAGGGUUUUAACCACAUACAUUGAGCAAAGUUGGAAUGAGGUGAUGUAAUGGAUGCAAUUUGUGGUAAAGACUCGUCCAAAAUAUCAUAUUGCAGGAAGAAUUUAGUGUGGGCAAAAGGUAAUAUGAAAGAAAUUUGGGUAAGAUUUGAAAAAAAGAAUUAGAUUUUGAACAUGUCGCGAAAAUUGAAAUAAGUAGACCGUCGCUCGAGCGAGACCCGAGCGAGAAGCGAGCGACAUUGGUUCUAUUAUUUUCGCUCGAGCGAGGGUCCAGCAAUAAUCGAGCAAAAUGUAAUUGAUAUAAAUAGCACCACUUCUAAAAAUAGCGAAUUUAGCACCACCUUGACAAUUUUCAAUUUUAGCACCAAUAUAUAUAUUUUUGUAAAUGGCACGAACUUCAACAUGUAUGUCCACCCAGAAAUGCAUUUGAUCACAAAUAUGACAUGCUCAGUGAUAAGACAUGUUGCCCCAUACAAAGAGAUCAAGUUCAGCUGGAGUAAAUUGUAUACGUGACCCAUAUGUGAAAAAUGCCACUAAUUCCUUGUAAGCAAAACUCAAAACCUUAAAUUUAUGAGAAGGAACACACUAAAUCAUUGCGGAAUGAGUUUAUCCCUCGAACUAUGAAAGUCAAAUCCAGUGCUACUAGGACUUAUGGAUCCAUGAAUAUGUGUUGUAUAAUUUUCUUUCUCACAUUGUCUAUAAGCACUCCUUUUUUAAAUCUUAUGUGCAAGCUCAUCUCCAUUAAGCUACUAAGAGGACCUUUAUAGUGAGUUUUGGAUCGGUAACUCCCAAACCAGUUGGCUUUAGGGUACCAGAAAAAUCCCUCAAGCUUAAUUACCAGAGUCAACCAGGCUACAAAGACAGGUAUACACAAUAAACAAUAUUUUUUUUAUCUUUUUUUAGGAGGAACCACCGGAAUUUAGGUCACCUAGUCAAAGAUCAAUUCAUGCACAAGGUCACUCAUCAACAGAUGAUAGCCAUCCCAAGCCUCACACAUGCAAUCAAGACUCACUUAUAUGGUUAUAGUGUGUGCUGUGCAUAUAGAAUAUGAAGAGAUAUAUACUAAGUACUCUACACAGACUCAACUUAAGUGAUGAGAGCAUAAAGCUAAUCUUUUAUUGAAUAUAUAUAUAUGGUCACAAGAUGCAAGUUUAAGCGAAACACAUACGAUGCUGAAGUGACUAAAAUUUUAUUUCAUAUGAUAAAAUUAAAAAUGCAUGAAGGGGGGGGGGCAAAUGUAAAUUAAAAUGAAUAUGCAACGAAAUGAAUGCAAAAACAGACAAACAAAAUGAGAUGUACAUGGAUGUCCCUAUGAAGAUGAUCAAGGAGAUACACAGAUACCAACAGCCUUUCUAAAUGACUCGAACCUCAGACCAUCUAAAGGUUUGGUGAACAGAUCGGCAAAAAGAUUUUCUGUAGAAAUGUGUUCUGGGAAUACCACAUUAGACUCGACAAGUUCUCGAUUGAAGUGAUGACGAAUGUCAAUAUGUUUGGUUCUAGAAUGCUGAACAGGGUUCUUAGAGAUGCUAAUAGCACUAGUGUUAUCACAGAACACGGUCAUGGUACCCUGAUUUAUCCUAUAAUCGCUCAACAUUUGCUUUAUCCAAAGCAACUGAGUGCAACAGCUACCGACGCAAUGUAUUCAACCUCGACCGUGGAUAAAGAGACUGAGUUUUUUUCUUACUUAUCAAUGACACAAGAUUAGCACCAAUAUAGAAACAACCACCUGAGGUACUCAUUCUAUCAUCAGUAUUUUCAGCCUAAUCAGCAUCAGAGUAGUUGGCUAGAUCAAGAUUGGAGUCUUUUACAAUACAAGAGUCCAUGAUCUAAUGUUCCACUUACAUACCUAAUGAUACGCCUCACUGCACUCAAGUGGGAUUCCUUAGGAUCAACCUGAAAUAUGCACAUACUCCAACAUUAAAUGCUAUGUCAAGUCUAUUGGCAGUAAGAUAGGGUAAACUACCUAGCAUACUCCUAUACAGUAUCUGAUCAACACUCUUACUUGCAGGAUCAUGACCUAACUUAACACUCAUACUCAUGGGUGUCCAUGUAUGUUUGUUAUUAUCUAGCCCAAAUUUCUUGACAAGAUCUUUUGCAUACUUUGAUUGAGAAAUGAACAGCAUAUCAUCUGUUUGCUUCACUUGAAGUCCAAUAAAGUAGCUCAGCUCUCCAACCAUGCUCAUUUCAAAUUCUUGUUUCAUGCAUUCAAAAAAUUCAUUAGUAAUGGAGUUAAUGGAAGAGCAUAAGACGAUGUCAUCGACAUAUAUCUAUGCUAUAGUUAUGGUUCUUCAAUACCCCUAUUGAAUAAGGUUUUGUUAGCAUCGCCUCUCGACAAUCCACUAUCAACUAGGUUUGCAGUGAGUCUAUCAUAUCAAGCUCUAGGAGCUUGUUUCAGACCAUACAAAGCUUUAUUCAGUUUAUAGACACAAUGAGUAAACUUAGGGUCGAUGAACCCUUUGGGCUGCUCAACAUAUUCUUUUUCUUGAAGUAUUCCAUUCAAAAAGGUGCUCUUGACAUCGAUUUGAUAAAGUUUGAACACUAGGGUACAAGUGACAACAAGGAGGAUGCGAAUAGACUCAAGAUGUGCGACAGGGGCAAAUGUCUCAUCAAAGUCGACACCUUCAACCUGACUAUACCCCUGGGAAACUAGCCUUGCCUUAUUUCUGGUUAUGGUACCUUGAUUAUCGGUCUUAUUCUUGAAUAUCCACUUAGUACCUAUAACAUUACAAUUAUCAGGCCUAGGAACUAAAACCCACACAUUUUCUCUUACAAAUUGAUUUAGCUCCUCAUACAUUGCAUUCAUCCAACAUUCAUAGCUAAAGGCUUCCUAUACCUUCUUGGGCUCAAUUUGGGAUACGUAGCUCGUGUAUGAUAGGUUAUUUAAAACCCUCUUUUAUAAUCUCAUUCCUUCGUCUAGAUCUCCAAUGAUAUUGACCUUAGGAUGAUUUGAUUUGACCUUGGAAGAUGGUUCUCUAGAAGAAUUAGAUUUAUCACUGGUUUGUUGAUUCUUAUCUAGAGAGUCUACACCUUUAGAAGAGCACAAAGAUUUGGGAAUUAGAUGUUCUUUAGGUUCAGUAGUUGCUUCUUGAUCAGUACUUAGAUUUUUUAAAUCAACCAAAUCUUCUACACCCUCCCCAUUAGUGAAAACAUCAUCAAUCACAACGUUUAUGGACUCCAUGACACUUCAUGUACACAAAUUGUAUACCCUAUAGGCUCUACUGUUCUUAGAAUAUCCCCAAAAAAAUCCCUCCAUCACUAUUGGAAUCAAACUUGCCUAAAUUUUCUAUAUCCCGUAGAAUGUAGCACUUGCUGCCAAACAUGCAAAAGUAUUUGACAGUAGGCUUUUUACCAUUCCAAAUCUCAUAUGGAGUCUUAUCGGUCUUUGGUCUGAGGUAUACUCUGUUCACUAUGUGGCAAGCAAUAUUAAUGGCUUCAUCCCAGAAAUGUAAUGUAAUAUCCUUGCCAUGAAGCAUGGCCUUAGCCCUUUCUUGUAGCGCUCUAUUUUUCCUCUCAACUAUCCCAUUUUGUUGUGAAUUGAUUGGUAAGGAGAACUUAUGUUGAAUCCUCUCCUCCAAAUAGAAGUUUUUAAACUCUUUUUCAUGAUCACUUCAAACUCUAGAUAUGGAAAGAUUUUGUUCUGUCCUAAGCCUUUUAUACAAGGAUUUUACAAGAUCAAAUGCUUCAGAUUUCUCUCUUAACAGUUCAAUCCAAGCAUAUCUAGAGAAGUCAUCUACAACAAUGAGAAUAUAUCGCUUACCUCUUAGGUUCCUAGUCCUAAAUAGUCCCAUUAAGUCCAUAUGGAGAAGUUCUAAGGGUCUGUUUUUCAAAAUUUUAGAAGUUUGUUUAUGAUUUAUCGUAAGUUGUUUCCUUUGCUUAUAGGGUUUACAGACAGCAUUUUCAUGCUGUUCAAUUUUAGGCAAACCAUCAACAAUUUCUUGUUUUGCUAAUUUUGACAAACUUUUAUAGUUUACAUGGCCGAGUAUUUGAUGCCAACGCUUGGUCAAAUCAAUUUUAGACUUGCUACACAUAUAGUUGGAUUUAGGAAGAAUUCCAUAACAAUUAUCAGAAGUUCUAACUCGUUCGAGGACAACUCCACCCGAAGAGUCAUCAACGGUACACCUCUUUUGGACAAAACUCACUUCAAAAUCAGCAGCAUAGAUUUGACUAAUGCUAAACAAAUUGGAGACCUUCCACAUAAAGCACAUUAGAUAUAGUAGGUAGUCUAGAUAUAUUGACGAUACCUUUACCAAGGAUAGGUGACAUAGCGCCGUCUCCAAAGGUAACCAUACCACCAUUGCAAUCAUCAAGGGUAGAGAACAAAGCCUUAUUUUCACACAUGUACCUCGAAUAAGCACUAUUAAGAUACCACAUAUAUGCAUUCUGAGCCAUAAUAUAACAUGAGCUACAAAGUAGUUAAGAUUCUCAGCAUGCCUAGUCAAACCAUUUUAGAGGUCAAGGUAAUCCUAGUCAAUUUUGUUAUCAUCUCAGUUAAGUGACAACCUAAUUUAAAAUGAAGCUAACCUGACUAUGGAUAUCUAGACUUCUAUUCCUAUUCCUAAGCUUACGACAUCUAGAUCUAGUGUGUCCUAAAGCUCCACAAUGGUGGCAAGUAGGUAUAAACCUAGGCUUAAAGGACAUGGUUGUUGAUAUUGACUUUUAGGUGCGAAGUACGUGCUCUAACUGUCUUUUGUUCUGGGACACUUUUGCCCUUGGGUUCAAAAUUAGCCAUGUUACUAGAUUUGUUGGAGGCAGGGACGAAUGUGGUUUUGGAUGAACCAUCCAUGUUACUAUCACUCUAGACAAAUCCUAGCCCUUGUCUAUUCCCCAUUGGUUUGUUCAUUGCUAACAGACCAUCUAGUUUCUUAGUCCUACUCAUGAAUGAUUGGAGUUGGGUAUUAGAUUUUUCUAGGUUACUAGUCAAAGUCUUAACCUUGUCUUCCAGCUUCUCAUUGACAUACCUCAACUCACAAAGGCUUUUGGAUGAGUCUUGAAGGUCACUUUUGAGCCUUUCUUUCUCGAUCUUAAGACUCUCCUUAUAUAGAAGUUGGUAAGCCUCAUGAACAUUAGUCUCAUCCUCAGUAUCUUUCCUAGAAUUCUCACAAGGAACAUUUUCUUUAACCUUGUCACUCUCCUUAUCUGACUCGCUCUUAACUGUAGACACAAAAGCUAUAUAACCCCGUUCAUCUUCAUCACUAGAGGAGUCACCUUGGUCACUCGAGUUUGUUUCAUCAUCUGCCAAUGUUAUAGCUAAUGCCUUACUCCUUGCCUUUUUCAAAUUUUUCUUAAAACUAGGGCAUUCCUUCCUAUAGUGUCCAAGCCCCUGACACUCAUGACAUCUAACAGGUUGAGAUUUUUCACUAGAGUUCCUAGCAUUCGGUUUAUCACUCUUAUCAUUCUGGAAUUUACUAGGACCUUCAUUCUUUCUCUCUUGCGGCCUUUUCUUAUUCUUUAGAGCUUUUUGAAAUUUCUUCACAAAGUAGGCUAUCUCCUCAUCCCUAAGGGUCUUCAUGUCAGAUGAUUCAGACCCUUCUUCCUUCACAGUGUUCAACACUAUGGACUUAUUCUUCUUCGGCUAUGAAAUAGCGAGUUCAUAGGUUAAGAGGAAUCCUAAGCUAUGAAAUAGUGAGUUCAUAGGUUUGGAGGGAUCCUACAAGUUCUUCUAUGUUAGUCGUGUCCAGGUCCUUUCUCUCUUCUAUCGUUAUAACCUUCAGUCUAAAUCUUUCAGGAAAAGACCUAAGGACCUUUCUAACAAUUUUGGACUCAGGAAUCCUCUCACCUAUGUUGAAGCUAGAGUUCACAAUAUCAUUCAAUUUUGCAUAAAAUUCAUCAAACAAUUAAUCUUCCUUCAUCCUAAUUUCUUCAAAUUGAGAGGCUAACAUCUGCAAUUUGGAAUUUUUUUACGAUUUUGGUUCCCUCGUGUGUAGUCUCUAGAAUGUCCCAUACUUUUUUAGUAGUAUCGACACUCUCCUAAACUCUUCGAGAGACAGCCAUAAACAAUGCAUGGAGACCUUUGCUAUUCCAGUUACAGUCAGCUAAUUCUUCCUAAGUCCAAAGUGAAAUAUCAAUGGGAGUGACUACACCUGACACAGUAGUGGAUGAGGCUUUCCAACCAUUUUGCAACCCAUACAUGUUUAUUCAGGGACUUGAGAAAUGCACUCUUCCUCACUUCUAGUAGGCAUAAUUACUUUCGUCAAAAUACGAAGGCACAUACAAUGAUGACUCAUCUAGACAACAACUUGGGUCAGGACUCAAUGUUUGGAUAUGAUAUUACUUGAAAUGACAUGGUUUGGCCUAAAUAACACUUGGGGUGUGAAUAGAUGUUUAUGCGGAAUUUUAGACACUCAAUUAAUAAUUGCAACAAGUAAUAGUUAUUAAUUUAGUCCAAAGUCAUUCACAUACAUUACUACCCUAUGUUGAACUGCCACAAAAUAGUAAAUUAAUGAAAAUUAAAGAACACAAUAAUUUGAUGACGAAGAAAACCCCUUGUGCAAUUAAAAACUCCAGGCCCAAGCCAAUAUGAAUCUACUAUAAAUGAAAAAUCAACUUACAACCCACUAGACUCAACCAAUUCAAGUUUUUCCUGAGCUCUUAACUGUAAUUCUCCAAAGCCCUCCUGGAAUGCAUGCUCUUGUACCAACUUUCGGCUCUUGAUUUCGACUAUCUCCAAUGGAUUCCUGAUAACUCCCCAUUCUCCAACUAUCAAAACUUCGAUCUCCUUCCUUUUUCUUUAACUCUUGAUAGAUGCUCUGGAAUGAUAGGUUUCGGUGUUUGAUGGAUGUGGAUUUGAUGUUUUAAAUGAGUGUACCAGCACAAUAGUGGGAUUGAAUCAAUGUCGUAAAGUGCAUGAAGUGUUUUUUUCUUUAGUCCUCUGAAAAUGAAAGAACACGGUGCACUAGAAUAUAUAUGACAAGUUUUGGGUAGUUUGGGCCGGGUCAAAAACUCGAAAAUCAAAAAAUAGCGUUUUUCCAGAUGACGCUAUCACUCGAGCAAAAAGCUAGCAACACUGUUUUGCUUAAGCAAGGUAGUGAUGAUGAGCUAGCGACGAGAUCUCUAUUUUUUACGUUCGAGCAAUCUCUUGGUGAGCAGUUAGCAAAACAUCGAUGACACUUCUUUCCUUUUUCCCAACUCAAACCCUAACAUACUUUUACAAAAUUACAUAAAGUCCCUAACUUUUAAAAAUGUACAAAUUGACCCCUGAACUUUAAACAUAGACAAUUUGACCUUUUAUUUUGACCAUUUACAAUUUGAUCCUUUUGUUCACAGAAUUAUCAACUCAAAACCUAACAUAAUUCAAGGAGUCCCAAAUGGGAAAAGCUUUCAGCCAAUUCUUGUCAUCUUGGACUAUAAUAUAAUUCACAUAUUAAGUGUUAUUGUUUAAGAUUCUAGGACUACAUUCCCUAUUAGAUUUCAAUAAAAUAGUUUGAGACAUUUAUGUUAAAUUUUCUUAUGGUUUGAUUUUGUUGAGCUAUAGAAUUUUGAAUAUAUGAUUGAGAAAUAAGUUUUUCAUGCUAUAGAUGUGAUCUUUUAUACUCAUUCACUUUUGAACAAAGAGUCGUCUUUAGAACUAGUAUAUAUGGAUGAAAAAUGUGGAUUUAAGGGGGAAUAGAUCCUAGAAUAACUUUUUGAGAAUUUGGAUGAUCGUAUUGUCAUAUUUUCCAAUUGGGGAAUUUGGUGUCAUAAUCCUUAACCAUGUUGGAUUCGGUUGAUAGAAGCCCAUUUUGAUCUUUGUUUUAAUUUCAUUUUAAUUAUGUGUGCUUAAGAUAGAUUUAAGACUAAACCUUUUUUUUUUUUAUCUCACCAUUUGAUUUUUUCCUUUAAGCCCCUGUUUGAUAACUUAUUUUAAUUUAUUUUUAAUACUCAAUUUCAGCCAUACAUUCAUACAAUAAAAUAUUCUACAUAUAAACUCAAAAACGUUUUUUUUUUGCUUUUUUACCACACAUUCUUCAAAAAAUACUAUUCAAAAUUAUUAUUAUUAUUAUUUUAAUUUUAAGGCCACCAAACAGUGGCUAAGUUUGCGCUCUUAAUGUGUUUUCUUUCGACUUCCUGUGGGAUUGACACCCUAAAUUAUACUAUAACACUACAUAAUAGUUUGGGUGUAAUUAGGAUUCAUCAAAAUCAUCACAAAUAAGCAAUAUCAUGGGUUAUUGGAACAUUAAUAAUGCACGAGUUUCAAAAUACAGACAUGCAUAUAUCAUUCCUGGCAUGGAGAGAACGAAUCUAGCUACUUCUUGAUAGCUAUUCGACUUUGCAUUCGAGGAUUUAUCUCUUCAAUGUGAGGAAUAACUAGCAUAAAUUGAACAUGUAUGAAAGGAAAAUCUAUGAAAGGUACGAUGGUUGUUGAUACACAUCAAGAUGCAAACAUUCAAAUUUAUCCACUUAUAUUAGACAUAGUCAAUUUCGAGAACGACUCAUUGAAUCGUUUUUUUCACAAUAUUGAAGGAAUUAUUGCAAAAUAUUGAGAACCUUAUUGCAGAUAGUAUAAUGAAGGGUGUUAAAGACAUUUAUCCUUGAUGCACAUCGUGGCAACUAAAUUUACCAUAUACUAAGCAACAUAAAGACUGAUUCACGGAUUCCUAGAUAAUUGUUUCUCAACUUCUCCUUUGAAGUUCAAUGGAUUCCUUCAUGAGGAUGGAAAAAGUAUCAUGGAUUCCUAUUUGAAUUUCUUUCUUUCCUUUAACUAAUAUUUUUGUGGGAACAAGAAAUGGAAUAUAAGCAUCUUUAAUUGAUAUAGUACCACUCUGCCUUAAAGAACAAAACAAAUUCAUUUGAAAUGUAAUAAUUUUAACCUAUUAUACCACUUGUCUUUUGAUUUCAUUAAUAUUAUUUUAAUAAUUGCCUUAAUAUGGAUGGUCAUCAUUUUCUAUACCAAUAAAUAAUUUUAAUGUGGAUUAUCAUCAUCUUCAACCGACUUGCCCUUCAAAUAAAAUGAAUUUGUUGUCCAUGGUUACAAUUUUAGCGUACCGCAUUUGUGAAUACGUUCACACUCUUAAGUCACCAGUUGAGAAAUGCCUCCACUGAACUAGGUUCAUGGCUCCACCUACCAUCGACCAGAAUUAAUGUAAAGUAUCAUGGGUAGGGUGAAAAUAUUUCAUAAAUUUCUUUCUUUCUUUAAGUGAGAAUUCCUGUGGGAACUAGAAAUGGAAUACAAGCAUCUUUGAUUGAUAUAUUCCCUACUUGACGUUUAAGAGCAAAACUAGAUAAUUGAAUAUGUGAUAAUACUAACCUACAGCACCACUUGUCUUUUGAUUUCAUUUAUAUUAUUUGAAUAAUUGACAUCAUUUUCUAUAAGAAUAAAUAAUCUUAAUAUGGAUGAUCAUCAUUUUCUUUAAAAAUGCCAACUCGAUUAGGUAAAUGUCUAGCUUCAACCAACUUGCCUUAAAAUAAAAUGAAUUAGUUGUCCAUGAUUACAAUUUUAAUUUCAGCAUAUACCGCAUUUGUGAAUACGUUCGCUAAUCUCAUUCGUCACCAGUUAAAAAUGCAUCCACUAAACUAGAUUUGUGGCUCCACCAAUACCGUCAACCAGAAUUAAUGUAAAGUAUCAUGGGCAGGGUGAAAAAAGUUUUAUGAAUUUUCUUUCUUCCCUUCAAUUGAGAUUUCUUGUGGGAACUAGAAAUGGAAUACAAGCAUCGUUGAUUGAUAUAUUCCCUACUUGGCCUUUGAGAAUAAAACAAAAUAAUUGGAUAUGUAAUAAUACUAACCUACUGCACCACUUGUCUUAAUAUGGACCGUGAUCAUUUCCUUUGAACGUGCCAACUUGAUUAGUUAAAGGUCUAUUUUCAACCAACUUUCCCUUAAAAUAAAAUAAAUUGAGAAACCAAAUGUAAUUAGAGAUGUACAAUUUCUGUGAAUAUACCCAACCCAAUAAUACUUGAUCGAACAUUUUGAUUUGAUUUCCCUCUUACACGAAAUGAAAAUACAAAAGUAUGAUCUACAAAACAAAGUAUCUAGCUUCAUUUUAAAAACAUGAAAAUAAAUCUAGGUCAUAUAUUAUAAGUAAUGUCUAUUGCACCUAAAUUGUUUAUUUUUAUCAUUAAAAUAACAUUUUAACCUUUAAUACUUGCCCACUAAUAAAUUAUAUCAAGUUAUAGAGCACAAAGACCUCAAAUGCAUGGUUAUUAAACGCAAUCAGAUUCCGUUGGUUAACUCGGGGACCAAUUAAUUGGCCGGUAAAUCAGGAUGGUUCUCUAAAUGGGCCAAAAAAAAAAAAUUGAUCCGUGAUCAACCAUAUCUUGAAUGACGAUUCAAGAUUAGCAAUUGAAUUUAUUCAUUAAUAAUUUUAAUUUUGAAUUAUGUAUCUCUUGCUUAAUAUUGCUGACAUAUCUAAAAAUAUAUUUUUCCAACAAUCUGUUUCGUAUUUAACUCCAUGUUCUCAGUUGUUCUUCAUCGUAAUUCCACCUCUUUUUCUUUAGCUCUUUCAUGUUUGUUUUCUCUAAAAGUUUAUUAUUUUGAGUAAUAAAAUAGCGUUUCAUUCAAACUUGAUAUUUUGUGAAUUUUUUGGUAUAAAAGUCUAUGAUGUUUGCUAUUUUACAUGUAAUAGUUAUUAUUUCAUGUAUAUUCGAAAAUAGUUAAGAAAAUAUAAGAAUUGAUCUGCUGGCCUACGGUUGAACCAUUGACCGGACAACCCAUUUCCCAUGCCCAAGGAAAAAAAAACAAAUAGGGGUUGGGGACUUUUCAUUUUAAGGAUUCUCAAAUUAUCUAGAAGGCAAGCUUCUCAGCUGGAAAAUUCAUUUACAUAGCAUUUUUGUAACUAGUUUUAGAUAUAAAUUAUUUUCUUCCUUUAAAUUACAUUUCUAAAUCCUUUAUUGAGUAUUAUUUUCAUAUUUAAGUUUUAUCAUUAGCAAUAUGAACACAGUAGAGAAUUACAAAUUCUAAUUUUAUUUCACCAAGAACAAUCAAUUAGAAGAAAGAAAUAAAGUCAUGUAAGAUUUAUAGAAGUUCAUCUCAAUGGAAGAUUACAUUAUCUUCAACCAUCGCAGUAAUUCAAUAUGAUGAAAUGAAGUUUACAUGAGAAUCGCACACCUAUCUUCUCUUACCUCUAUUUCUCUCUUUUAUGAGGUCAAUCCGCAUACUGGCCACAUAUAGAGACAAUAAUUAAAUUCCACAACUACAAACCCGUGUUCAUAAAAAACAAGGAAGCACAAUAAAAUCGUAUGAUUUGGAGAACAUUAAAUUGCAAAUUAUUAAUAGCAAUCCAGAAGUGAUUCUGGUGGUCAAAACAUAUUUUAGAGUUUUGAUUUGAUGUAGAAGGUUCUUAGUCAAGUGACGUCGAGCUAUCAGAUAGCACGUUAAUGGCGCUAAGAUAUCAUGAGUUGGCAGAUCGGCCCAAAGAUGUUAAGUGAUCUUGAUCUUUUCUUAAUUGGGGCAUGUAUGAAGGAUUUCGUGUAUUAAAAUACAGAAAUCGCUACAAAUUGUAUUUAACAAAAUACAAGUGAUGUUUACUUUCUUGUACUUGCAAAAUUAUAAAAAUCCUUUGAUUAAUGAUCUGAAUAUUUGAAGACGAGGAGUCACAUAGCUUGAAUCCUGAUCCUUGAGAAUUUGUUGAAAAUUUGAUUUGUUGAGACUUGACUUGUUCGGUACUUAAACUUUCGGGCUUGAAUUUGAAUUUGAUUUGAUUUAAAGAAGACUUUGAUCUUCUUAGAUUUGGCGUGGAUAUGUUUGAUUUGAAGAAAAUUUUGAUCUUCUUGGGAUUUACUGAGUUUAGAUUUCAGAGGAUUUCUUCCCUUCUUCGGGUGUGGAAAUUUAUUCUACAAUUCGUGGUUGCCUUCUCUGCUUUCACUUCUUGCUUUUCUUCUACUUCCUCCUUUCUCCUUGUGGACCCUUGGUCCAAUUUACAGGAGAGAGUUCGUGCUAAUUUUGGUAAUUACUCAAUAAUUGAGUAAUUAUGAUUUUAUUUAUUUAAAAAGUGAGAUGGGUAUUUGUGUUUAUGGGCUUUAGUAGACUUCAAUUUAUUUUUUCUAGUGAUUUAAAUCGAUCCAGUCAAUUUUCUUUAUUUUUUAUUUUUUUAUAUCAACAAAUGCCCCCUUAAAAUUUAUUUAUUUAUUUUGAAAUAAAUAAAUUAAUAAAUCUUGAUUUUCGAUUUUUUUUUAAUUUUUAAUUUUUGAUUUGUUCAAUUUUUUUAUUUUUUUUUAUAUUUGAUUUGAUCUCAAACAUCCAUUAAUAAAUUAAUGCAGAUCGAACAUUUGAGAAUAAAACGUGAAUUUGAUAAAAUAAAGUUUAUCCUUCAAAUUCAAGAAUAAGAAUUUUUUUUGUUAUUUGAUUAUUUAUUUAUUUUAUGCAAUCUAUAACAAAUUUGAAUUUAAACAGGCUUUUUAUGUUUUAUGUUAAGUUGGGCUUGACUGAAGUCUACUACCUAUUUAUAUGAAUGAAUUAUGAGAUUUGGAAACAAAUUGGUUAAAAUCUUCUCUCUCUCUCUCUCUCUCUAUUGGUUGGCAGAAACCAAAAACAAGAAAUUUGUUUUAAUUGUCUUCCACCACACCGACGGAUUCCAACGAACCAAUUUGCUUUGGUUUAUGCCAACGUUGGCAGGAGCCAAUUUUAUUUCAUUUAUUUUUAUUUUUAUAGAUUUUUAUUUUUGCCAACCAUUAUCCAAUAUAUAUUUUAUUUCAUUUUAUUUUUAUUUUUAUAGGUUUUGAUUUCUGCCAACCAUUGUCCAAUAUAUAUAUUAAUUUUCUUGGGCGACAGAAACCACCGUCAAUUGGAUCUUUGAAUAGGAGAAACCCCUUUUUUUUUUUUAAAUUACACGUAACUUUUCAUCUUUCCAUUUCUUUUAAGUUACACAUAACUUUUCACCCCACCCCCGCGGCCGCCACCACCUUCCUUUUUGAUUUGUUUUGUUUUGUGUUUUCUUUUUGACGUGACUUAUUAUUAUUAUUAUUAUUUUAUUAUUAUUAUUAUUAUUAUUUUAUUUUUUUCAAAUCUGGUUCUUAUUCCCCCUUUUUUCUUGGGUUUAUUAUUAUUAUUAUUAUUAUUAUUAUUAUUAUUUUGAAGUAUGGUUGUUUUAGCAAAAUUGAAACUAACAUUCUUUGUUUUUUUUUCUAGGGAUUCAACAUUUUGGAGCGAACCAAGGAUUUUGAGGUUUGAGAUUUUCUUCGUGUAGGGGUUAAAUUUUGUGCCGCAAUUAUUUUAGAAGUUGAAAAUAUAUACUUAUGAACAAACUCAAAAUUGCAAACCUUAGUACAUAUGGAGGACCAAAGACCGCCACUUAUCACCAUCCCAGGCACUUUUUAUUAGAGAUCAAGGACCUGCUCCUUCGACUGUCCAAGGCAUUCUAUGUUGAGGAUCAAGGAAUUGCUCCUUCAAUUGUCCAAGACACUUUGUAUUGAGGACCAAGGAUCGACCGUCCAAGGUACAUUGUUUUGAGGACCAAGGACCUGCUCCGUCCAAAGUACUUUGUGUUGAGGACCAAGAACCUGCUCCGUUCAAGGCACUUUGUGUUGAUGAAUAAGGAUCCGUUCCUUCGACUGUCCAAGCUAUUUUGUGUUAAAAACCAAAGCUGGAUUCUUUGACCGUCCAAGGCAUUUUGUUUUAAAGACCAAAGACCUAUUCCUUUGACUGUCCAAGACACUUUUUUUGUAGAGGCCAUUACAUAUUUGGGAGACUCGUCAUUUUAGACGAUAAACCAAUUUAAGAGAUUUACUGCCCCUUUUUUACGGGCAUGGCGAGAACAAGUUCUAAAGAUAAAGUAUACUCUGCCAUACAUGAAAUUGUUAAGCUUAAAAAUCAAGGUAAAAGUUAUCUAUGUUUCAAAGAUACUGAUGUGAGGUACCAUGCCCAAACUGACCUACGAGGUGUACUUAAAUUUAGCAUUCAUAAGCCAAUGACUAAUUCUUCUCCUGACCUAUUGGAGUCAUUGUUGGAGUUGCAUAUGCCCACCACUAGUGAAUGUCACGAGAGUUUGGAUACUGUUAAGUCCAACCGUUCUAGCAGUCAUCUUCCCUUUCUAUGUCUUUCGCCUCAUCAUUCCUAGAGCAUAGAGUGCAUCUCAAAUGCUGUAAUUUGUGAGAGGAUUGACAAUAAAGAAAUACGAUAGGGAAGCGCACUGGCCAUUCGAGGCGAUAUUUCUUUUCUUCCAAAAUUUUGGGAGUGGUCUUUAUGGGUCCAAAAACUUCUACUCAGCAGGAAUCUUCGGGAGUUAGUUUUUGCUGUCGGUUCUACUACAAAAAAAUUACCAUAGCCCAAACUCUAUUUAUAGAGCUUUUUGUGAGGUUUGAUAUCCAGAGACUAACACCUUUUUGACUGCCAAUAAUGAAAUUGACAUUUCUCUUUGGGACAUCCGCGAGAUAAAUGGGCUUUUGAUCAUAGAUCAUUACUAUGAGGAAGUAGUCCCAAGCCUUUCAGAGUUUGCGGAUCAUCUUCCCAAGUCUUAUUUGUACCUCUUUAAUGUUUUUACAUUGAUCGUCAAUGGGAAUGAAUCUAAUUAGGUUAUUCACGAAAAUUGGAUUGAUUUUUGGUUUCACGAGAAUGGUUGUGUCCAGAAUCCUCGACAACAUAGUAAUUAUAAGAAUGAUAUGAAUUUAAAUGCAUCCAAGAAGCGUCAUCAAAGAACAUCAAAGGAAAUACGGAGGCCCAUAGUUGUAGACAAGUCCAGAGAUAUUUCUCGUAGGGAUUGGCGUCAUUGGAGUGAUUUACUAGUAUCUCUGUUUAUGCAAGAAGAAGAGGAAUUAGAUAUAGCAGCUUAUCUCUUCCUGUGUCUUUGUCGAUUCAUUCUUCCAUCUGGGGACGAAUGUAUAAGAGUUGGGACUUUGAAAGCAUCUUCUAGGAUGGCAGGCGGGUACAUUUAUAGCCUGAUUCCACCCAUAUUAGCGAGCAUUUAUAGAGGACUUAUAUGAAUAUCUAAAUAUCAGACAAACCCAAACAUUGGCUCAAUUUCACAUUCAUUUCCUGGACAUUUUAUUUAUACUUGUGCAGCAACGUAUUUGUCCGAGGUGUUUAUGCUCAUAUUGACCAGAGUUAUUCUCGCACUAUAAUUCAAAGAUAUGUCAGCCCUCUGAAUGCUUUCUAGUCUUGGGAGAAAAAUGUUGUUGAUUGUCGGGAUCUUAUCCGUGGAAUGAUAGACACCAAUGACUUUUGCUGGAAUCCCUUACUCUCAUCGUCUUAUCCUGAUGUAUGUGUAGAUGACCAACCAAGGUCUGCAAAUACUUUGAAAUUCAUGAUGAGUAUUCGAUUUGGAUUUGUUUCUUAUCACUGAGAAAUUUCACCUUUCAUUCUUGAGAUGUAUAAUCCUCACAGGUUUGCGAGACAAUUUGGCUUUAGAACGAAAUUUCUUGGUUCACCAAGAAAGUUGGACAUUGUACCCAAUGUAGGUGACAUGUAUCGCGCUUGGUUGCCUUUCACUCAAAUGAAAAGUGGGUCUAUGAUCAUAUUCCAGAGUAUAUGAGGGAUACACAUCAAAAUGUUGAUGUCGAGUACUAGGCUUGGUGGAAUAGCCAAGUGUUGCCACUCUUGACCAGGGUCCAAGUGCAUGUCUUAUUUUUUCGUAAGAGGCGUGACUUUGUUCUUGGCCCGAUUCCGAAUAGGGUUAUAGUUAGGGGGUUAAACCAUCCAAAUGUUGCUCCUGAAAAGGCUUCUCAAAAGAGGGAUCCAAACCAUCAAAAUGAAAGAGGUAUUAAGAGAAUUAAAAUUAUAGUUCCCUCGGCAAAGAUUACUGCCACCUCUGAGCCUGCUGAUAAGGUGCUAGAAGCGAUUUUGAUUCCAAAUCACAGUAGUCCUAGAGAUCGAGCAUCCUAAGCACCAGGAAAAGCUUUAACUCUAGAAGACGAAAGUUCUAUAGAUCAGGUAUAAUUCUUUUUUUCUUUUUUCUUUUUUAACAAACUGCUUGUAUUUGAUUUCCUAUCACAAUCUUCAAUUUCAGACAGUUCUUUCUCAACUACACAAAAUCAAAUGAUCGGUAGAACUAAGAUUGUUUUAAGCUAUUCUAAGUCCUUCCAAAUGUGAAGUUGGAGCUUUUCACAUUAACAUCAGCCUUCCGAACACACCAUCAGAUGGUGAAUUUUUAGACAUAUCGCCUAGGACACAAAAUGCAAGUAUGUUUCUUAUUUUCAUUUGCUACACUCUUCUUUUUUAACUUUUUUUUUUUUGAAAUCAUACUUCAUUUUUUGUAGGUUUUUUUAGCAUCCUUGAAGGAUUAAAUUUCUCCUAAAUCCAAUUUUUUUGCAAGAUUAGACUGGCAAGUAUGAUGGUCGAAUCAAUGCACUUCAAAGAAUAGAUAAUAUUCAUGAUUCGCAUAACCCUCAUUGCAAAUAUCCGAGAACCAUCAAUGGAGGUAUUUCGGCAUUUAUAAUGGAUAAUUGUGAUACUGAAGAUGAAGUGAAUUUAGGGACUGUGAGAGCUAAUAUUUCAGAGAUCAAUCAAGGAGUCCGUGUCGUUUCGUCUUCGUUGGCUUUUAGUCAGUAUCCCGCCUUUACCAACAAAUAAUCAUCGGGCUGCACCAAUCUAUUCUUUCAUGUCUGGUCCUCUGCCUGAAAUUACCCAAGAGUCUCCUUACCUGAAAGCUGCUCUGCAAGAAGCCCUGACUAAUUACCUUCAAAAGUAUUUUAAGGACGUAUUGAAGUAUGGAUUCUACAACAUUCGAUCUUGAUAGGAUGAAAAUAAUUUAAUUCUUCAAAAUGUGAUUACCAGCUCAUUCCAUGCAGACUUAACGCAUUUGAUGAAGUGCAUGGAUGUAUUUUUGAAAGAAGUUGACUCUUACUUAUCUGAAAGAAAGCAACACUUGGAUUGUCCAAUCUUUGAAGAAAAAACUGAGCAGUUGAAACUUUUGAACAUUCAGCUGGAAGUAAAGGAUUCCACGUGUCCUUCGCUGAAAGGCAAAAUUAGUCAGCUAACAUUUAAGCUGGAUAGACUCCGUGAUGAACUUCAAGCUGAUUAGGAACAGAAGAGUAUGCUUGGAACUACAAAGGCAGCAAUGGAAGAAUCAUAGACAAGAGAUGUCACAGCAUAGCAUCCAUUGAUCAGAAAAGGAUGACCCUUGAAGAUAGUUUCCUACAAGUGAUCAAUGGCGAGUGAUCUUGAUGGAGUCAAGAAUUUCUGAUUUUUUUUCUUAUGACCAUAUUGUAUGAAUUUUACCUUGCUAUUUUUGUUUUGGAUAAACUUUUUUUUUUUUUUUUUUAAAAAGUGGUAAACAAAUUAAGGGAAUUUAUUAGUUGUGGCUGAACUUGAAUUUAUAAUUUAUUCAAACUGUCUGCGUACCCAAACAAGAUCAAGUCGAACGUAAUUCAUCACAAGAACACAUUUUUUUUACAAUGAAGAAUUCAAAAAAAAUAAAAAUAAAGAACUUCAGGCUUAAAAAAGCUUUAAAAAUUUUCCAUUGAAAGGCCAGAUUUGCAGUCCAUUUUUGUCGACGAUCCUGUACGCUCCAUUAGCAAAUGCAUGAGUAAUAAGAAAUGGACCGUCCCAUUUAGGUUGGAACUUACCCCCUAUUUUUCUUGUGACUAUGAUCGGCCUGCAUACGAAAAGUUCCAAAUCUCCAACUUGAAAUGAUCUUGGUUGUACAUUUUUGUUGAAGGACUUCACUAUUCGAGCUUGAUAGCACUCUAGGUAUAUUCGUGCCUCUAAUAUCUUCUCAUCUAAAGCUUCUAGUUCUUCCAAUCGAAGACGGGCAUUUUCUUCAGUUGUCAAACCUUCUUGGAUGGCAAUUCAAAGUUACAGGAUUUGACACUCCAACAGCUUCCACCCCAUGUACUAAGGCAUAAAGAGUCCGAUAAGUGGUUCGAUAAGCCCGUAAGACUUUACCAAUUUUCUCGUGUCAAUCUAUUUUUGAUUUGGAGACAACCUUUUUUAGCAAACUACACAGUAUUUUGUUGAACGCCUCUACCAUUCCACUAGCUAUUGCAUUUUACAUAGACGAGUUUGUACUGUUUGAACCCAAACUUUGCACAAAUUAUUUAUGUGGCUAUUGCAGAAUGGUUUGCCGUUAUCAGUUAUGAUGUGUCGCGGCACACCAUAUCAAUAAAUGAUUUGGACAUGAAUGAAAUCUAUUCUUUCUUUACAUCAUUCAAUGGUACGGCUUCGACUCACUUAGAGAAGUAGUGGGUCCCGACAAGGAUGUAUGCAUGCCCUGCUGAAGACUUUGGAGUUAUAGGUCCAAUUACAUCAAAACCCCAUGCAUUGAACGGCCAUGAAGCUACUAUAUGAUGUAAAAAUUUCGAAGGUUGAUGGAUGAAAUUCGUAUGGACUUGGCAAGCUUCACAUUUUCUUGCAUAAUUCAUGGAGUCUUGUACUAUAGUUGGCCAGUAAUACCCCAUCCUCUUUAUUCGAAAUUGGAGUUUGGGUCCAAACUGAUGGACACCACAAUUCCAGAGUGGGCUUCUUCCACGACCUGUGUUGCUUCAUCAUUACUUAGGCAUCAAAGGAAAACUCCAUCAAAUGAUCGUCAAUAAAGUAUUCCCUUAUAAAAGAUAAAGCGAGAGGCACGCCUCUUGAUUUCAGUUUUUCAUCGUGGAUUAUCUGAUAGUUUUUGAUGUUGAAGAAAAUUGAUUAUUGUCUGUCUCCAAUCUUCUCUUUCCCCAUCUUGGACUACUUUGACGCAAUUGUUUUCUUUCAAAUUACUAGGUAGCAACGACAAAAGCACCCAUCUUUGAGCAAUUGAUAUGGAGUGAAAGAAAUCUUCAUCUGACCUAGCGAAAAUAGUGGCCAAAUUAGCUAAGGCAUCAACUUCUCUGUUUUCACUUCUUGGGACGAAUUUGAUUUUUAUCGAAUCAAAUCAUCUCAUAAGUAUUGAUAAAUAUUCAUGAUAUGGCUUCAAGUCUGAAUUACGGACUUUAUACUCAACUAAAAGUUGGUUGAUUAUCAAUUUAGAACCUCCAAAGACUUCUAGCUAGUGGAUAUCCGUAUCUAACGCUGUCUCUAAGCCAAGUAUAAGGGCUUGAUAAUCCAUCACAUUAUUUGAACAUUUCUAUGUUAAGGUAAAAGAGUAGGACAUGACGAGAUCAUGGGGAUUGAUAAAGACUACUCUUGCUUUGGCACCAUAACUUCUGGCUCUCCCGUCGAAGUAUAGUCUCCAUAAUAGUGCGACUUCGACGAAUAGAACUUCUUCAUCGGGAAGAUCUUCCCAAAAUUCCCAUUCCACUAGAAUUGGGUGGUCAGCAAGAAAAUCUACCAAAGCUUGUCCUUUAAUGGCCUUUUGUGGAAUGAAUUUGAUAUUGUACUCAGACAAUAGCAGUGCCCAUUUUCCAAUCCUUCCAAAGAGAAUUGGCCUGGACAUUAUGUACGUUAAUGGAUCAAUCUUCGAAACAAGAUUGAUUGUAUGUGAUAGCAUAUAAUGUCUCAAUUUUUUAGCUGCGGAGAUUAACGCAAGGCAUAUUUUUCAAUAGUUGAAUUUUUCAUUUCAAUGCCUACUAGUGCCCAGCUUAAGUAAUAGAGCGCAUUCUCUUUUUCAUUCAUCAUUGAUUUGGAUAAGAAAUGCUCCUAAAGAAUAUUCUUGCACUUCAAUAUAAAGAGUCAAUCGCUUUUUUGGGACUAGAGCUGUGAGUACCCGUGGACGAGAUAAAUAUUAUUUAAUACUUUGAAAACCAUUUCAACAAGCUUCGUCCCACUCAAAUGGUACAUCUUUCUUCACCAAUUUGUUGAAUGGAUGACAGCGUUCGACAAGGUUAGAGAUAAAUCUUUGAAUGUAUGCAAGUUUUCCUUAAAGACUUUUUAACUCACGCACAUUUCUUGGCUCCGACAUGUUGAUUAUGGUGUCAAUUUUUUAUUGAUCUAUUUCAAUGCCCCAGUAUCGAACAACAAAGUCGAGAAAUUUUCUAGAGGUGACAUCAAAUGUACAUUUCAACGGAUUCAUCUUCAGUUGAUGUCUUCGAAAUCUUUUGAAAACAUCCCGUAAAUCUUGUAAAUGAUCGUCACGUCCUUUUUUUUAACAACAAGAUUAUUUACAUAGCAUUCCACGUUCUUAUACAGCAUGCCAUCAAAAAUCUUUUGAUUGCCCGCUGGUAGGCUGUCCUCGCAUCUUUAAUCCAAAAGGCAUAACUUUGUAACAAUAUAUACCUUUAGGGGUACGAAAUGAUGAAGCUCUUUGUCUUUCGGGUUCAUUCGUAUCUGGUUAUAUCCAAAAAAAUCUGUCCAUGAAAGAUAAGACUUCAUACCCGGUAGUUGCAUCUACCAUCAACUCUAUUAUAGGAAGUGGAAAAUUAUCUUUUGGAUAUGCUUGAUUCAGAUCCCAAAAGUCAAUGCAAAUUUGUAAUUUCCCAUUCUUCUUUUUUAAUGGGAACGAUAUUCGCAAUCCACGUUGGGUAUUUCACUUCGCGUAUGAAUCCAGCUUCAAUAAGUUUGUUGACUUCCACUUCAACUUGAGGGAUCAGUUCUGGUCAAAAUCUUCUUUGAGGUUGCUUGAUCGGUCGUACUCCAUAUCUUACUGCAAGAUAAUGCACUACAACCUUAGGAUCUAACCCUGGGAUUUCUUUGUAAGACCAUACAAACGCAUCUUUGUAUUCUUGAAGUAAAGUAAUGUACUCAAAUUCCUCUUUUUGACUAAGGAGUGCACUUACAAAUACUAGUCUUGGGUCUUCUUGGGUCCCAAAGUUCAAUCGUUUCAAGUCAUCCAUAGUAGCUUGUCUCCCUUCUUCAAAGGUAGGUAGGGUUGGUUCAGGUUCAUCAAUUAUGACAGAACUUUCAAACUCGGGGUCUAAGUCGGGAGCUUUAUCAAAGGCUAUGUGAUUGACAGAGGCUUCUUCCUUAUCUUCAUUACCCUUCAAGGAUGGACGAGCUUUUUGAUGUCUUCGUCUUCUUCUUGUUUGUUGUGCUUUUGGCCCUUAAUCAAAAUUCUUAAUUCCAAGUUGAGAAAAAGCAAAUUGUCUAUGGGAUGAAAUAUGUGGAGAUCUUGCAUUCCUAUCAAUUUGAGUAGAAGAAGAAGGAUUUUCACUUAACCGUUGGAAGACAGAGGCUUUACCUUUUAUGUCAACUGAUAAAUGUAUUUUUACACACUUGUUAGGCAAUUUAAUGGGCUAUUUAUUGAUGAAAUUGAAUGAAUUCCUAUUCAUAAUUGUGUAAUUGUUGUGUUUGUAGGAUAAAAUCCCAAAUUGGAGGAGAAAUGGCUGAAGGAAGGAAAAGAAGACCAAAAGUGCACAAAAAAUGAAUUUGGGCACUAAAGUGUACAAGUACCGAAAGUUUAAGGAUCGAAUAUUGCAAAAUUUGGAUGACUUGAUUGAAAGAAAUUCAAAUACUGAGGACUAAAAUGUACAAGUUCAAAGUUGAGGGAUCUGGUGUGUAAAUACGGUGAGGACCCGCGUUGCAAAUAAGGAAAAAUGGGGUUUGGUACUAUAGCGGCACUGCUGCGCCAUUGUAGUAGCAUCGCGGUGCACGCCUCUAUCCACUGUGGCACUGCAAAGCCAUUUUCAGAGUGUUGUGGUGCCACGUUUGCAGCUAAAGACCUGAUUGGCUAUAUUUUUGUAGUUAUAGAUCAUUUUACAAUUACAAAAAAUGGUUUUAGAGCCAUUUAAAAGGCGAAAUUGAACCAUUUUCUUCCAUUCUUCAUUCAUUUUAAAACCCUAGCUUAGAGAGAAAGGGGACAAGAAAGAAAGAGAGGAAAUACUACACAAAAGGAGGAAAACCUUGAAGAAAUCAAGACCAACACUAAGCAAGCUUCAAGGAUUCGACCAAGGGAUGGGUUUAUUGUAUUUUGUCUUGUAUUUCUUAUUAUCUUUUCUUAAAUUUGCAAUGUAUUUCUUUAACCUUUCCAUUUUGUGUCUUUAAAACACAACGGGCUAAACAAUUUGGUGUUUGGAUGAAUGAGCAAGCUUGGCUAGACUAUAUAAAUUUCUUUAUUCAUUAUUUAGUGCUUAUGUUCUUGUGUUUUUACCAUUGUUUUGAGUGCUUUAUCAUUAUUGUGGCUACUAGGUGAUAAAGUCAAGUGAUUUGUGUUAUUAUUGAAAAAUUCUUGCACACUUUAGACUAAGGUGGUAAAAAUCCUAGGUUCUUGUGGAGAUAGAGAUAUACUCUUAGUCCUAGGUAAUCCUUUGAGUUAUUUUCAUUGAUAUGUAAUGCUUUCGAUUGUGUUUAAUCAACAUAGAGAUAUAGUAUGAUAAAUCAAUUAAUUAGAAUUAGUUUCACUUGAGAAAGGUAAUUAACUAUAAUAGGAAAAUCGGGUUUGACAAGAAAAGUGAGCAACAUUCUAUUAAAUUGUUAUGAGGAAUUAAUUUAGUGACGACCAAGUGAAAUCUUGAAUCCCAACCCGACUAAAAUCUAACUCCUAUCAUAAUUGCAAUUGGGUAUUUCACUUGAAUGCUUAGAAUCAUUUUCUUUUAAUAUUCAAAUUCAAUGAUAUUAAUUGUGUGUGUCUUGACCGCUUUUCGAAUCAACUCCUAUGUAAUUGGAGUAAACACUUUUCGAGGGAUCGACUCGGACUCAAAAAGUCCAAUCAAUAACUUGUGUGCGACCCGUGCACUUAAGGUGUAGAAUUUUAGCGAACAAUGACCUAUAAAAUUUUUAAUCUGUGCCCUAGAGAAAAUCUGUGACUAACUAAUUUGAUAAUAUAUGACCAAUAAAUAAGUUGUGAGCUAUAAUUAUGUAUAUGUGAUCAUUAAUUGUAUAAUUGUGACCUUAUUAUAUUAAUUAAUCAAUAUUCUUAAAUAAUUAGUUAAUACCUGAUUUUUGCAUUCUUUUUUAAAACUUAAAACCUAAUUUUUGAAUUGUCCAUACUUAAUACAUGACUUAUGAAUUUUUCUCAAACAACAAAAUGGGACUUAAUAAGAGGCUCAAAAUAUUUGGACACAACUUACAUUCUUGGUUUAAUGAAUAAAAUGGACCUACUAUUUAACUAUUACCUAGUUCUGUCUCUUCUUUUUACAUUCUUGGUUUAAUGAAUAAAAUGGACCUACUAUUUAAAUUAAAAGGGACACGCCCUCCUAAAAAGACAGCAUCAAGAUCGCCUAAUUCAUAAGUCUCUCCUUUUCCAAACCCAGCAUUUUCAAACAACUUUUUAACUUGAGGAUGAUAACAUCCUUUAAAAGUUUGUUUUGAUUCAGCAGCUCCUUCAGUACCCGACACUUCUCGUUUGGACGACCUAGAAAUACAUAGCUUUGAUAUGUUUGGAAUGGAUGUCGAAGUUUUCAAUGUAGAUUUUUGUUCUUCCAGGACUGCCAUAAGUUGGUAGGGCAGAAGUAAUUUUGGAAUACUAGGCAUUGGAAGAGUUAAUUCUUUUCUCAACACCUCAACAUCGGUUGAUUUUAUUUGAGGUUUUUUGCCUUUAGAGAAUCCUUCGGAUGUAAAUUUUGGCUUUUGAUAAGUUGAUGAGAUUGGGCAGUAGUAGACGUAUUAUGAUCGUCUAUAUCUUCUGUGAUUUUAAAUCCAGACAUGGUCAACCUGCAGAAUUGCACUCUUCAUCUUCCAUGUAAAUUUUGGCAUUAGCGAAAUGAGAUUCUUCUUCAAGGAAUGGUUUAGACUCAGCUACCACACAUUUAAUUUCUCCAUCUCGACUAUAAUUAAAGCAUUGGUGCCAAGUUGAAGGUACUAUCCAGUUUCAUGUAGCCAAACAUGUUCAAGGAGUAACUCAUAUGAUGUUUUAACAUCAAUAACAUGGAAGAGAGCUGAGGAAAUUAACUCUCCUUUUUGUAGCUUCAAAGACGGAUAAUGCCAAUGGCUUGUUGACCUUUCUAAUUGAAUCCUUGAAUCACGAUUUUGCUUCUAGACAGAUCACCAAUAUUAAUUCCAGUUUUCUUCAUUGUUUUGACCAGCAUAAUAUUCACAGCAGAUUCACAAUCGAUCUUUAUGCGAUGUAUCCUGCAUUCUCGAAUAUAACCACUAACAUACGGUGGUCUAUUAUGUAAAUGAGAACCCAAUUGUAAAUCUUCAUCAUCGAAUGUUAUGGCAACCAUAUAAUUUUGUCAGGUUCUAGAUCCAAUAUAUUCUAAGAGUUUGCCUUCGUAUUCUUCCAGAUUGAUCAAUGUCGUAACCAAAGUCAUUUGGUCAUCGAAAGGAAAACUAAGAAACUCUGGUAAAAUCAUAUUGGCAGACACAUUAAUGAGUCAUGAGGUAGUUUUCUUUUACUCCAAAGUCUGCAUUGAUACGUCGUUCGUUUCAUUUUUCUCCUCUACACUGAUUACAUUGGAGGUAAGACAUUCUUUAUCAAAGAAACUCUAUAAAAAUAAUCAACCAGGGUUGGUAGUCCAGGAAGAAUGCGUGAAGCUGCUUCUCCUCCAAUUGAUUUAGUAGAUACUCUUGACUUGGCUUAGGCCUUCUUACUUGGUUGUUCUCUGGUCUUGAUUUCUUGUCAUAAAAAUUAGAACUUGGGAGCUAUGAAACCUUCCGAUAACAUUUUUUCACAACGGUCCAUGCCCCCUGAUCUUUUUCUAGUGUUUUCUUUUUAUUGGGUUGAAUUUUCGCACCCAAUUCCUCCACCUUUGGUCCUGCAAGAGGCUUAGAAUGUGACAAUUUUACCUAUUUUGUUUGGCACUCUGUAUUUUUCUUUCUUGCUUAUGAAGCUAGACUAGUCGUCACCGAUCUCAUCUUCAAAUUUUGAGUCAGAAUCCUAAACAUCCAAGUCACCUGUCAUAAUUUCAUAAAAGGUUGGACGAUUAGGUUUGUUGGGUCCAUCCAUCCCUAGAUAGACAUAACUGAUGGUAAUUUCUGCGUCUACCUCAAACUCUACUGGGACGGCUCCUUCUGGAAACUAAGGUCCAAACUACUCAACCGAUAAUUUAUAGGCAUCGUGUACAUUGGAAAAUGUUUAUUUCUUCCUUGCAAUGAGAAUUGGAUUAAAUGAUCCAAAUGAAACCAUCGAGUAGACGGCUGUUAAAUUCUCUCCAGUUUCAAGUUUGAUCUUAUUUUCUUCGUCGAGGCGAACAAUAAGAUCUUCCAAGACAAAGCAUUUUUUCACUGGGUGACUAAUGAUUCUUUGAAAUUUAUAGUAUUUAGGAUGAUCGAUCUCACCAGCUUCCUCGGGUCUUUUUGGUACUUGAAUUUCAAGCUGAUCUAGAAUUCCAAAAACUUCAAAAUCUAAGGAUGGUUACUCAUUUCCUUCAAGUUCUUUCAGAAUCACAUGACCUCUGCUUUGGACUUGUCCUUUAUUAGGUCUGAACUUUGGCUUCGAUUUUGGGUUCGAGCUCAACCCCUGGAAGGCUAUCUUUAUAGGAAUAGUAGAAAUUGCCAUAGCUUCUUUAGAUUUACUUGCCUUAACGUCCUUCUUUAUUUCUUUCCUAGAAUCCUUUUUGUCACAUAGAUCACUUGAUAAAUAACUCCCAUGCCCAGCAAUUUAGAGUUCCAGGUCAUAAGCACGUGUCACCCAUUCUUCAAAUGAGUGAGGUAUAUUUGCCUGAAGAUUUUAGAGUAAUCCCCAAUGCAUGCCUCGUACACACAUGUCGAUGGAAGAUGCUUCACUUAUUCGUUCUUUGCAGUUAAGCCCGAGGCUCUUCCAGCAUUCAAUGUACUCCACAAUAGGCUCUUCCUUGCUCUGUUUUGUUCGAGCAAGUUCCGGAAAACUGAUAGUUUGUCGGGUAUUAUAGAAGUGUGUUAGGAACUCUCGUUCAAGUUGAUCUCUACUAUCAAUUGACCUUGCAGGUAAGUCUGUGUACUAUUCAAACGUGGUACCUUUGAGUGAGCAUAUGAACUGCUUCACCAUAGUGUCAUUUUAAGUAUCUGCAUUAUUACAAUUUUCAAUAAAAUGAGCAACAUAUUGCUUUGGGUUUCCCUUUCCAUCAAAACACUGAAAUUUUGGAGGUUGGUAAUCGAGCUGCUUCUUCAUUUUGUCAAUUCGACGACUAUAGAACUUGGCAUACACCAGUGAAGAUUGCAAUGAACUACCAUAUUGGGCAUGAAUAGUGUUCGCAAUCAUAUGUUGAAGUUGUUGGACGGACGGAGAGCCAACAAAGAGUUGAGUGGUGUCACGCAACACGUUUUGAACAACUAUCUGAUCAUUCAUAUCUUGUUUCUAUUGGUGCUCUUGGACUUCUAGCUCUUUGGCUUUGGAAGAUCCUAAUUUUUCUUGAUCUUCUUUAACCGGUGGAUUUUAUGACUCUAGCCUGUGCAUGAGUGUAGCGAUCUAUACAUCUUUAUCUUCUAAUGACUUUGUUAAUUUUUCAAUGGCUAAAGCCAUUUGUUUGAUUCGAUCAUUUGAGCCCGAUGCCACUUCUGUGACCAUCACUGGCUCAAGUGAUUCUUCAGAUGAAGUAUCAUCUUCCCACCUUUGCUAAGAAGUGGCAUGAGGAGAUCCAGACAAAGAUCUACCACUGGAGAUGGAGCUCGAACGAGAGCUAUUCAUCGAACUCAUGGUCCUUUUUGUCGAAUGAGAGUUUAGCUCUUUGGAGGCAAUUUCAUUUUGCCUUUGUUGGAGAAUUUCUUCAGUGGUGGGACCAAUUGAGUUUUCCCAAUUUUUGUUUGGUCUAUGGUCGCGUGGAAGAGUUCAGCAAGUGUCUCUUCAAGAUGAAUCAUAGUUUGUUUCGCUUUUCACCUGCCAUUGCUGAUGUAGUGGUUGAAACUUAAAGAUUCUAAGAUCAAAAGAUGAGAGGACAAGAAGGUCUCACCGGGCAUGCCAAAAAAUUUGUACGACGGAUUUUGAGUAUUAAAAUACAAAAAUCGUUACAAGUUGUAUUUUUAUAUAUAAAAAAAAACAAGUGAUGUCGACCUUCUUGUAAUUGCAAAGUUGUAAAAAUCCUCUAAUUAAUUAUCUGAAUAUUUGAAGACAAGGAACCACUAGCUUGAAUCCUGAUUUUCGAGAAUUUGUUGAAAAUUUGAUUUGUUGAGACUUAAAUUGUUUGGUACUUGAACUUCGGGGCUUGAACUUGAACUUGAAUUUUAUUUGAUUUGAAUAAGACUUUGAUCUUCCUAGACUUCGCGUGAACCUUUUAAUUUGAAGAAGAUUUUGAUCUUCUUGGGAUUCUCUGAGUUUAGGUUUCCCUUCCUCCGGCUUAGGAAUUUCUUCAGCACUUCAUGGUUGCCUUCUCUACUUUCGCUUCUUCUUGCUUUUCUUCUACUUCCUCCUUUCUCCUUAUGAGCCCUUGGUCCUAUUUAUAAGGGAGAAUUUGUGUUAAUUUUGGUAAUUACUCAAUAAUUGAGUAAUUAAUUAUUUAUUUAUUUAAAAAGUUAGGUGGGCAUUUGCUUUUUAUAGGCUUUAGUAGGCUUCAAUUUAUUUGGGCUAGUGAUUUAAAUCGAUCCAAUCAAUUUUCUAUAUUUUUUGUCUACAGGGCAAUUUUGAACUCAUUUUGGUAAUUUAGCCAUAACUUUGAGUACAGUUAUCAGAAUAGCAAUAAUGACCCCGAUUCGGAAAACUCUUUUCAGUAUGUACGACAUGAUCACCUAUCUAUGCUUAGUGGGCAUCAAUUUUGGGGCCAAAAUCCAUUGUUUUCCUCCCGAAUUUCCAUUUUUAGUAAUUUUUUUCCAAUUAUGGUAAUAUUUUGGUUGUCAUUUUCGAGGUGAUUAUGAACCAGAUUUUUGGCGACAUACUUCAUUUAUUACGUAUUUUAUUUUGGUAUGAUUAUUAGGAUUUUGCUAUUUUUUGUAAAAUUUCGAUAAUUUCGAAUUUUCUCAGCCAUAUAACUCAGUUUGUAGGUUAUUUUUCGUUAUUCGACAAUUUUAAUAAAAUUGAAUUAAGUUUUAGAGAAUUCUCUCUAUCUUUGGACAUUUUUCUUCGCAUUCCUUCUUGUAAAAUAUCAUUGCAGUUAGCCUGCAGGAUAAUCUCUCUCCUGCCCAGUGUGUUAGUUGAUAUCAGAGCAACCAGCAUCUUUCUCGGUGAGUUUCCGUUAGUUUAAAUGGUUAGUGGACCUGGUCAUGGUCAUCGCGGGCAAGGUUCGAUUGAGGAAGUCCCACACCAUGAUCAUAAUAUUCAGGAUGUGACGAUUGAGUAUUUACAGCGGUAAGUUGCUAAGUAAACUCAACGCCUAGUGGAAUAGGAAUUCGGAACCAUAAAGUGCAGAAUCACGAUUUUGAUACUAGUUUUGAAAACUCGUAUCAUAAUCAUGGUCGGGUCUGGGAGCACCGUGGAUGGGAAGAUCGCCAUGUACACCUCGGCUUUAAAGUAGAUCUGCCCGAGUUUUCUGGUACUUUAUAGGCCGAAGGAUUUGUUGAUUGGCUGAAUAAAAUGGAGUGUAUUUUUUAGUAUGAGGAGGUUUCAAACUGUGUCAAGGUAAAACUGGUUGCCAUCAAACUCAAGGAUAGAGCAUCAUCAUGGUGGGAAUAUUUGAGGCGUUCACGAGAGCGACAUGACAAACCCAAGAUAACUGAUUGGAGAAGAUGAAGAAGAUGAUGAAAAUCUACUUCCUUCUUUUCGGCUAUACUCAAACCUUGUUUCAAUAGCUCCAUUUACUAAGGUAAGGCACGAGAUCGGUUGAUGAUUAUACGGAGGAGUUUUACCAAUUGGUAGCCUGGAAUGAUUUAUUUGAAAUGGAAAAGUAGAUGGUGGCACGGUAUUUCGGGACAUUAAAGCAACCCCUAUAGGAUAUCCUCAGCCUUUACUCGUUGUGGAUCCUUUCUGAAGCAUACCAACUUGCACUUGCUAUAGAGAACCAGUAGAAUAGGAAGCCAAUGAUCGGGGAUGAAAGUUGUCAGCUAGUUCGCCCUCAAGAAUCCCGUAAUGCCCAUCAGCCAUUAUGGGACAAUUCUAACUCAAGGAUUGAAUGUUUCAGAUGUGGUGAACAGAGACAUAGGGCGACUGACUACAAAAAGCCAGCUGGUUAGAAGAGUAGAAAUCUCCUAAUUGAGGAGGACAUGGUUUGAGAAUUCGAUGAGGUUGGAGAACCUGUAUAUGAUACCCUCAAGAAUCCCGUAAUGCCCAUCAGCCACUAUGAGACAAUUCUAACUCAAGUAUUGAAUGUUUCAGAUGUGGUGAACAGAGACAUAGGGCGACUGACUACAAGAAGCCAGCUAGUUAGAAAAGUAGAAAUAUCCUAAUUGAGGAGGACAUCGUUUGAGAAUUCGAUGAGGUUGGAGAACCUAUAUAUGAUGAUGCUGAAGAUGAAGACGUGCUGUAUGGAGAUGGUUAGAAGACUCUAGUCGUUCGUAAGAGUCUACUAACUCCCAAAGGUGAUUUAGGAGAUGACUAGUUGAGGACCAAUUUUUUUCACACGACCUGUACAGUUGCAAAUAAAAUCUACAAAAUGAUCAUUGAUAGUGGCAAAUUGUGAGAAUGUAGUAUUCGAAGAGGCUAUCCAGAAGCUACAAUUAAAGACAGAUUGUCAUCCUAAAUUGUAUAAAUUAUCAUGGCUGAAUGAAGGCAACGAGGUAACAGUAGAAAGCGAUGUCUAGUGUCUUUUUUGAUCGGUAAGAAAUAUUUUGAUAAUCGUAUCUAUGAAUGCUCUUCAUGGUUUGUUGGGCUAAACUUGACAAUAUGAUCACAGUGUCAUUCAUGAUGGAUGAAAGAAUACAUAUUCCCUUAGCAUCAAAGGAAAGAAGAUUGUGUUGUCGCCUCGUUGGGAAAAAAUUAUCUGUACCCAUUAGUUAAUAAUACCAACCUACUUUUUAUGUCCAGGUUUUUCGUUGAGAUUGGGCAUGAAGACGUGGUCUAUGCUUUGCUACCAUAUGAAAAUAGUACAGUAAAUGAUGAUCCAGAUUUACCAGCAGAAGUGCAGCAGCUAUUAACGAAGCUUCCUGACCUAAUGCCAAAGGAUCUCUCUCUAGGGUUACCGCCUAUGAGGGAUAUUCAACAAUAGAUUGACAUUAUUCUAGGGUCGAGCUUGCCUAACCGACCAGCAUACCUCCUCAACCUUAAGGAAGCUAAAGAGUUACAGUAGCAGGUAGUAGAAUUAAUGGAGAGAGGCUAUAUCCAUGAGAUUAUGAGUCCAUGUAUAGUUCAUGCUCUACUAUAGCCGAAGAAAUAUGAUUCUGGGCAUAUGUUUGUUGAUAGCAGAGCAAUCAACAGGAUUACAGUAAAGUACAGGUUCCCAAUUCCCCGCCUUAUGAUAUGUUAGAUCAGCUAUUCGGCUCUAAGGUCUUCUAAAAAAUUGACCUUAAAAGUGAAUACCACCAAAUCAGAAUAAGGCUUGAAGAUGAAUAGAAGACAGCUUUUAAGAUACCGCAUAGAUUGUAUGAGUGGAUAGUCAUACUCUUUGGACUAUCUAAUGCGCCAAGCAACUUUAUGAGAUUUUUGCAUCAGGUUUCAUGGGCAUUACAUUUUGAUCAGCUCCUUGCUACUUUUGUAUGCUAAGGAUGGAUCGCCUACUGAUGGUGUUUAUGCAGAUCAAUCAAAAAUAGAGGCAAUCUUGAAUUGGCUCAAGCCAAAGACCUUACACUAUGUCAGAAGUUUCCAUAGAUUAGCGUUCUCCUACCAUCAAUUCAUCAAGAAUUUCAUCACUCUGAUUGUCCCUAUCACAGAGUAUUUUAAGGGUGAUUUUCAAUGGACUGUGAAGGUAGAAGCCAGCUUUCAAUUGGUCGAGCAAAAGAUAACAGAGGCUCUAGUGUUGGCACUUUUCGACUUUAAAAAAGCGUUUGAAGUAAAUUGUGAUGCAUCUGAGAUUGGCAUUGGUGGUGUUCUAAGUUAAAAGGGGCACCUAGUAGCCUUUUUCAGUAAGGAUUUAUCAGGAAUGAAGAAGAAUUAUUCCACGUAUGAUCUGGAGUUUUAUGCCAUCGUUCAGUCCCUAAAGCAUUGGCGUCAUUACUUGGUACAGAGGCCCUGAAAUACAUCAAUGGUCAACACAAGCUGAGUAGAUGACAUGUAAAGUGGGUUGGGGUACUUGCAAGAGUUCACAUUUACACUUAGGCACCAAGCUGGUAGCCUGAACUAUGUUAUAAAUGUAUUGAGCUGUCGCACACUGCUCCAUACCACCAUGAGCACCAGGGUUGUAGGAUUUGAGGCAUUUCCUAAUAUGUAUGUUGUAUACCCUUCCUUCAAGAAGAUAAUUCAAGAGUUAACUGAUAAUAAACGACGUGAUUUUAUUUUGCAUAAUGGCUAUCUCUUUCAUGGAUUACAGUUGUGCAUUCCAGAAUGUUCACUGACGCAACAUAUUAUUAACAAACUUCAUAACGAGGGACUCUUUGGGUGUGAUAAGACAUUGUCCUUGGUUUCUUUUGACUAUUAUUAGCCCAAAUUGAACAGUGACAUGGCGCAUUUACGUGUGUCAGGGUCUAGAGGAAUUCUCACUAAUGCGAGACUGUAGAUGUCUUUACUUACACCUGAAGCCCAUGGAAUGAUGUGAGAAUGGAUUUUGUACUGGGCUUAUCCUGUACUCAACAGGUGAUGGAUUCUAUUUUUGUUCUGGUUGAUAGGUUUUCCAAGAUAGCACAUUAAUGGUGUUAAGAUAUUGUGAGUUGGCAGUUCGGCACAAAGAUGGCAAGCGAUCGUGAUCUUUUCUUAAUUGGUGCGGUUCUGAACGCAUUUGACCAUAACUUUGGCUCUGGUUAUCAGAAUUGCAACUAUGACCCCAAUUCAAAAAGUUCUUUUUAGCGUGCACGACGUAGUCACCCAGUUAUGCUUGGUGGGCAUCAAUUUUGGGGCCAAAAACCAUUUUUUCCCUCUCAAAUUCCCUUUUUAGUUUUUUUUCCAUUUAUGGUAAUAUUUCGAUUGCCGUUUUCGAAGAUAUUAUGAACCCGAUUUGAACUAGAUUUUGACAACUUACUUCUUUUAUUACGCAUUUUAUUUUGGUAUGAUUAUUAGGAUUUUGCUAUUUUUGGUAAAAUUUCGAUAAUUUCGAAUUUUCUUAGCUAUAUAACCCGGUUUGUGGGUUAUUUUUCACCAUUCAGCAGUUCUAAUAAAAUUGGAUUAAAUUUUAGAGAAUUCUCUGUCUUUGGGCAUGUUUCUUCCCUCUCCUUCCUGUGAAAUAUCUGUUGCAGCUAGCGUGCAGGAUAAUCGUUAUCAUGUCCGGUGUCAUUAUUUUACUUUGCUUCCAUAAAAGGAGGAUUUUAGGUUCUUCCCUGACACUUGUGAUUUUUUUGCCAUUCUCUUGCUGAUGCUGUUGAGAAAUGAUGUUUUGACGUAUCAUUUGUUUGCCUUAUCCACACAAAGCUCAUCAAAGUUUGCAACAAAUACCUAUUGAGUUCAUCACAGUAACUUCUUCGUCCUAUUUCACAGUUUUUAGUUGAAGAGAUUGAAGCCCAUAUAUUGCAACCAUAGAAACAGAAGUCACAAUAUUAAAUUUCUCUUCAGCACAUAAAUUGAUCCAAGAAAACAAAAAGGAUGUCAUGAAAAAGAAUGAAGUGCAGUAUUUUAUGUCAUCCAGCUCUUCUUUCUCUUCAACUUUCUCUUCCUUCUUUGUUUCAGUAACAGCUGGGUCAACAGCACCUCCUACUGCAGCAGGUGCAGCUAUAGCAACUAUACCACCGUCGACGGGAACUGAAGCCAAAUUCUCUCUUCUGAGUGCAAUCACUCUACGACAAAAUUUCGUGUAUUAAAAUACAGAAAUCGUUACAAAUUGUAUUUUGAUAAAAUACAAAUGAUAUUGACCUUCUUGUAAUUGAAAAAUUGCAAAAAUGCUCUGAUUAAUUAUUUGAAUAUUUGAAGACGAGGGGCCGCGUAACUUGAAUCCUAGUCUUCGAGAAUUUUUUGAAAAUUUGAUUUGUCGAGACUUGACUUGUUCGGAACUUGAAUCUUGAGGCUUGGAUUUGGACUUUGACUUGGACUUGAAUUUGAUUUGAUUUGAAGAAAACUUUGAUCUUCUUAGACUUGGCAUGAACCUGUUUGAUUCAAAGAAGAUUUUAAUUUUCAUGGGGUUCACCGAGUUUAGGUUUAAGAGAAUUUCUUCCCUUCUUCCGACCUUAGAAUUUCUUCAGCACUUUGUGGCGUUCUCUAAUUUCUUUCUUGCUUCGCUUUUACCUUCCCUUAUCUUAUGGACCAUUAGUCCUAUUUAUAGGGGAGAAUUCAUACUAAUUUUGAUAAUUAUUCAAUUUAAUUAAAAUGAGUAAUUGAGUAAUUAUGAUUUUAUUUAUUUGUUUGUUUAUUUAUUUUUUUAAAAUACGGUAUGGGCCUUUGGGUUUAUGGUUUAUGGACCUUAGUAGACUUUAAUUUAAUUGGUCUAAUAAUUUAAAUCAACCAAAUCAUUUUUUUUUAUGUCUAAAAAGUCCCCUCAUAAUGAAAAAUUUGAGAAUAAGAAUUAUUUUAUUUUAUUUUAUUCUUUGAUCGAAUUUUGAUUAUUUAUUUGUUUAUUUUAUACGAUCCAUAAUAAAUUUGAUUUGAACAGGUUUCUUAUGUAUUAUGGUAAAUUGGAUUUAUGUGAAGUCCGUUACUCGCCUAUUUAUAAUAAGGAAUUAUAAGACUUGGAACAACUCUGUUAAAUCUUGCAAACAAAGGUAAAGUAUAUAUUUUAUUUUAAUUUUCUCUCUCUCUCUCUCUCUCGUUUCCUCUCGCUCUCUCUUUUUUUAAUAUAAUAUUAUUUUAUUUUUCUUGGUUUUGGCAGAAACCAAGAAACCAAUUGAGAUUGGUUUCUGCUAAAAGCAUAAACCAUUUUUAUUUUGUUAUUUAUUUUAUUUUAUUUUAUUUUAUUUUUUUGGGUUUCACACAAUUCUUUUUUUUUCCUUAUUUUUGAACCCAAUUCCAAUUGUUGGAAUUGGUUUUGCCGAAAAUGGCAGAAAUUACCUUUUCAACAAUUUUUAUUUUUUAUUUUAUAUUAACUCUUGAUAUGAUUUUUUUAACCAAUUGUUGGAAUCGAUUUCUCUCGAAACCUCAUUUUCAAUAUAUAUAUAUAUAUAUAUAUAUAAGUCUGGGGUGUAUAAAUAUCUUUACAGAAUUUAUAAUCUGUCUUUUUUAAUUGAUUUUGAAUUUGUAAUUCUAUACAUUUUUUUUCUAAACAUUGCAUUAUAAAUUGUGUUCUUACUCCUAUACUCCAUAAUUGAUCUGGUUUUUCUAAAACGGUUUUAUUUUCAUUCCACUUUUUUGUUAUUUCUAAUCCUAAAGGACUGGUACCAAAUAAGGGGGGGUCCCUGAAAAAGAGGUUAUUUCAAGGAUUUUAAGGUUGUUAUAGGGAGUUUGUUAAAACAAUUAUGAAAAAUCCUACUCAGUACUCUUCUUAAUUGAGAUUUCUUUUUCUUUUGGUAAAAUAAUAUCCCUUUUUUUUUUCUUUUUUUUUUUUUAAAACAUGUCAUCUGAGAUAUAUGAACUUGGGCCUAACUCCAUUCUAGUAAGGACACCACUGGCACUCCCUUAACAAGAAUUCUUAAAACAGUGAUCCCUUUCCCUCUUAUAUGCGUCUCUUAGCCUCUUCACUGGGCCUUUACGCUUUGAGAGGUCACUCAGGGCUUAUUUUAAAAACAGUUUUUAAGCUUUUAACUUGGAGUUAAGACAUGCUCUUAUCAUAUACUCAGCAUGAAGCAUAAAAAUCUUUACAAGAAUCAUAAAAAUUUUAUAAACAGAAACUGUUCUUAAAAGAUCUGGGACUAAUAUUAACUAUUAGCACCAUAUCUUAAAACUAUAAACAUACCUACAGGAAUGAUCCAUCUGUAGUUUAAAACAAAAUAUUAAAAUAUUUUUGUGGGAUAUUAUUCUAUCUAAGAAUAAGAACAAUUAAGAAUUUCCCUUUCGGGAAGAAAAGAAAAUUAGAACAUCUUUGAGAAAACUCAAGGCUUUGUAUUGUAUAAAUUUUCUUGUGUGUAUACAAAUGAAAGAAUGAUCUCCUUUUAUAGGAGAGAAAAGAGAGAGGAAGCGUUUUUCAAAAGCAAGGAAUCUUUGCUUUUUUCAAAACGUCAAAAAGAAAANNNNNNNNNNNNNNNNNNNNNNNNNNNNNNNNNNNNNNNNNNNNNNNNNNNNNNNNNNNNNNNNNNNNNNNNNNNNNNNNNNNNNNNNNNNNNNNNNNNNNNNNNNNNNNNNNNNNNNNNNNNNNNNNNNNNNNNNNNNNNNNNNNNNNNNNNNNNNNNNNNNNNNNNNNNNNNNNNNNNNNNNNNNNNNNNNNNNNNNNNNNNNNNNNNNNNNNNNNNNNNNNNNNNNNNNNNNNNNNNNNNNNNNNNNNNNNNNNNNNNNNNNNNNNNNNNNNNNNNNNNNNNNNNNNNNNNNNNNNNNNNNNNNNNNNNNNNNNNNNNNNNNNNNNNNNNNNNNNNNNNNNNNNNNNNNNNNNNNNNNNNNNNNNNNNNNNNNNNNNNNNNNNNNNNNNNNNNNNNNNNNNNNNNNNNNNNNNNNNNNNNNNNNNNNNNNNNNNNNNNNNNNNNNNNNNNNNNNNNNNNNNNNNNNNNNNNNNNNNNNNNNNNNNNNNNNNNNNNNNNNNNNNNNNNNNNNNNNNNNNNNNNNNNNNNNNNNNNNNNNNNNNNNNNNNNNNNNNNNNNNNNNNNNNNNNNNNNNNNNNNNNNNNNNNNNNNNNNNNNNNNNNNNNNNNNNNNNNNNNNNNNNNNNNNNNNNNNNNNNNNNNNNNNNNNNNNNNNNNNNNNNNNNNNNNNNNNNNNNNNNNNNNNNNNNNNNNNNNNNNNNNNNNNNNNNNNNNNNNNNNNNNNNNNNNNNNNNNNNNNNNNNNNNNNNNNNNNNNNNNNNNNNNNNNNNNNNNNNNNNNNNNNNNNNNNNNNNNNNNNNNNNNNNNNNNNNNNNNNNNNNNNNNNNNNNNNNNNNNNNNNNNNNNNNNNNNNNNNNNNNNNNNNNNNNNNNNNNNNNNNNNNNNNNNNNNNNNNNNNNNNNNNNNNNNNNNNNNNNNNNNNNNNNNNNNNNNNNNNNNNNNNNNNNNNNNNNNNNNNNNNNNNNNNNNNNNNNNNNNNNNNNNNNNNNNNNNNNNNNNNNNNNNNNNNNNNNNNNNNNNNNNNNNNNNNNNNNNNNNNNNNNNNNNNNNNNNNNNNNNNNNNNNNNNNNNNNNNNNNNNNNNNNNNNNNNNNNNNNNNNNNNNNNNNNNNNNNNNNNNNNNNNNNNNNNNNNNNNNNNNNNNNNNNNNNNNNNNNNNNNNNNNNNNNNNNNNNNNNNNNNNNNNNNNNNNNNNNNNNNNNNNNNNNNNNNNNNNNNNNNNNNNNNNNNNNNNNNNNNNNNNNNNNNNNNNNNNNNNNNNNNNNNNNNNNNNNNNNNNNNNNNNNNNNNNNNNNNNNNNNNNNNNNNNNNNNNNNNNNNNNNNNNNNNNNNNNNNNNNNNNNNNNNNNNNNNNNNNNNNNNNNNNNNNNNNNNNNNNNNNNNNNNNNNNNNNNNNNNNNNNNNNNNNNNNNNNNNNNNNNNNNNNNNNNNNNNNNNNNNNNNNNNNNNNNNNNNNNNNNNNNNNNNNNNNNNNNNNNNNNNNNNNNNNNNNNNNNNNNNNNNNNNNNNNNNNNNNNNNNNNNNNNNNNNNNNNNNNNNNNNNNNNNNNNNNNNNNNNNNNNNNNNNNNNNNNNNNNNNNNNNNNNNNNNNNNNNNNNNNNNNNNNNNNNNNNNNNNNNNNNNNNNNNNNNNNNNNNNNNNNNNNNNNNNNNNNNNNNNNNNNNNNNNNNNNNNNNNNNNNNNNNNNNNNNNNNNNNNNNNNNNNNNNNNNNNNNNNNNNNNNNNNNNNNNNNNNNNNNNNNNNNNNNNNNNNNNNNNNNNNNNNNNNNNNNNNNNNNNNNNNNNNNNNNNNNNNNNNNNNNNNNNNNNNNNNNNNNNNNNNNNNNNNNNNNNNNNNNNNNNNNNNNNNNNNNNNNNNNNNNNNNNNNNNNNNNNNNNNNNNNNNNNNNNNNNNNNNNNNNNNNNNNNNNNNNNNNNNNNNNNNNNNNNNNNNNNNNNNNNNNNNNNNNNNNNNNNNNNNNNNNNNNNNNNNNNNNNNNNNNNNNNNNNNNNNNNNNNNNNNNNNNNNNNNNNNNNNNNNNNNNNNNNNNNNNNNNNNNNNNNNNNNNNNNNNNNNNNNNNNNNNNNNNNNNNNNNNNNNNNNNNNNNNNNNNNAUGACCGUGCACUCACAUGGAUGCGUAAGUUCCGUGUGAAUAAAAUAAUGUCCAACCCCCUAUGUAUGCGGUCGUCCCGAUGUUCAUGUAGCAUGGUCACGCAAACACAAAUCACACGUGCGGUGCACGAGGAUACAGUGUUUUGAUACACUUUAUUAAUAUCGGUUGAACUGCAACCAAAGGCGUGCAGUGGAGGUGUUCAUAGAAGUAGCGGAAGAAAUUAAAAUUAAUCGGUUUGUAUAGUAUUAUCUCAGCGUAUUGUUUUCAAGAUUGCAUCUUCCUACGUUGUUCCGAAAUGAUUCUGAUUAGCAAUAAUUUGUGGAUUCCCAAGAUUUUUCCCAAAUUAGAUAUGCUGGGCCUUGAUUUUGUACGUCUUGUCAUGUUCAUUCGCUAGAUUGAAUCAACGUUAGAUAUCCUCUUUAAUUCUGUUACUAAUUAGAUGUGCUUAUCUACAAUGCUGUUGUUAUAUGAUUGUCUACGUAAUUGAUUAUUGUUGGGGUUAUUUGCAGAAUAUUGGAUUUAGGGGAUGAAAUGCAGAAGGUUUGCACCCGGAUGUAUUCAGUGAGUGAUUGGACUUAUUAUUGCUCUUAUUGAUUGGUUUGCUAUCAUUGAUACUGAUUGAAUUUUCAGAAUAAUAUAUAAGUUUAGAUAAUGGAAUGUUUAAAAAAAAAAAAAAAAAAAAAGGAUAUUAUUUUACCAAAAGAAAAAGAAAUCUCAAUUAAGAAGAGUACUGAGUAGGAUUUUUCAUAUAUAUAUAUAUAUAUAUAUAUAUAAGUUCUUGGUUUCUGAACCAAUAUUGAAUUGGAAUUUUUCAACAUAUUUUUUUUAUACCAUCUUUUUUUUGGGGGAGUUGAUUAUUGUUACUAUUAUUGUCAUUAUUUUAUUAUUAUUAUUAUUUUAACAAAGUCGAAACUAACAUUCUUCAUUUUUUUUUUUUGCAAGGUUUCAAUUUUUUGAAGUAAAUCAAGGAUUUCAAGAUUCAAGAUUUUCUUCGAGUAGAGGUUAAAUUUUUUUUAUGUUGCAAUUAUUUUAUGAGUUCAAGAAAUAAAUGCUUAUGAACAAACUCAAAAUUGCAAACCUUCAUACACAUUGAGGACCAAGGACCGCCACUUUUUGUCAUCUAAUGCAAUUUUUGUUGGAGAUCAAGGACCUGCUCCUUCGACCGUCCAAGGCAUUUUAUGUUGAGGACCAAGGACUGGUUCCUUCGACUGUCCAAAGCACUUCAUGUUUGGGACCAAGGACUAGCUCCUUCUAUCGUCAAAGGCACUUCAUGUUUGGGAACAAGGACCUGUUCCUUCGACUGUCCAAGACACUUUAUGUUGAGGACUAAGGAUUAUUUCCUUCGACCGUACUUUGGACCAAGGAUUGGCUUCUUUUAUCUCCAAGGCACUUAUGUUUGGGACCAUUUGGGACCAAGGACCUGUUCCUUUGACUGUCUAAGACACUUUGUGUUGAGGACUAAGGACCAUUCCCUUCGAUCGUACAAAGCACUUCAUGUUUGGGACCAAGGACUAGCUCCUUCUAUCGUCCAAGGCACUUCGUGUUUUGGACCAAGGACUUGUUCCUUCGACUGUCCAAGGCACUUCGUGUUUGGGACCAAGGACCUGUUCUUUCGACUGUCCGAGACACUUUUUGUUAAGGACCAAGGACUGGUUCCUUCGAUCGUCUAAGGUACUUUGUGUUAAGGACCAAGGACAUGCUCCUUCAAUUGUCCAAGACACUUUGUGUUUGGGACCAAGGACUUGUUCCUUCGACCGUCAAUGGUACUUUGUGUUAAGGACCAAGGAUAUGUUCCUUCAACUAUCCAAGACACUUUGUAUUGAGGCUGCUUACAUAUUUGGGAGACUCGUGAUUUUAGAUGAUAAACUAAUUUAAGAGAUUUACUGUCCCUCCUUUUUCGGCUGAUUUAAUUUAUUUAUUUAAUUUUUUUUUUUGGUGUGUUCAAGCAUGGCUAGAAUAAGUUCUGAUGAUAAACCAUACUUUGACAUACAUGAAAUUGUUAAGCUUAAAAAUCAAGGCAAAAGUUAUCUUUGUUUCAAAGAUACUGAUGUGAAGUACCAUACCCAGACUGGCAUACAAGAUGAACUUAAAUUUAGUGUCCAUAAGCCAACGACAUAUCCUUCUCCUGAUCUUCUGGAGCCAUUGUCGGAGUUGCAUAUGCCCACCAUUAGUGAAUGUCAUGAGAGUUUGAAUGCUAGCAAGUCCAACCACUCUAGCAGUCACAUUCUCUUUUUGUGUCUUCCGCCUCAUCAUUCCCAGAGCAUGGAGUGCAUCCCAAUGGUUGUAAUUUGUGAGAAGAUUCAUAAUAAAGAAAUAGGAUGGGGAAGCGUACUAGUUAGUUGACGAGAGAUUUCUUUUCUUCCAAAAUUUUGGGAGUGGUCUUUAUGGGUCUAAAAACUUCUACUCAAGAGAAAUCUUCAUAAGUUAGCUUUUGCAGUUGGUUCUGCUACAAAAGAUUACUAUCGUCCAAACUCUAUUUAUAAAGCUCUUUGUGAGGUUUGGUGUCUAGAUACCAACACCUUUGUGACUGCCAAUGGUGAAAUUGGCAUUUCUCCUUAGGACAUCCUCGAGAUAAGUGUACUUUCGAUCAUAGGUCAUUACUAUGAGGAAGUAGUCCCAAGCUUUUCAGAGUUGAUAGAUCAUCUUCCUAAGUCUUGUUUGUACCUCUUUAACGUUUUCGUAUUGAUUGUCCAUGCGAAUGAAUCUGACAGGGUUACUCACGAAAAAUAGAUUAAUUUUUGGUUUCAUGAGAAUGGUUGUGUCUAGAAUCAUAGACAACACAAAAAUGAUAAGAAUGCUAUAAAUUUAAAUCCAUUCAAGAGAUGUCAUCGAAAAGCAUCGAAGGAAAUACGGAGGCCCGUGGUGGCAAACAAACCGAGAGACAUUACUCGUAGGUAUCGACAUCAUUAGAGCAAACGGCCAGUAUCUCUGUCUAUGAAAGAAGAAGAGGAAUUGGAGAUAAUAGCUUGUGGCUUUGUUGUUUCGUUCUUCCAUCUGGGAACGAAUGUAUAAGAGUUGGAACCUUUAAAGUAUCUUCAAGGAUGGCAAGCGGGUAUACUUAUAGCCUAGUUCCUCCCAUAUUAGUGACCAUUUAUAGGUGACUUACACGAACAUCUGACUGUCAAACAAACUCGGACCUUGGCUCGAUCUCACAUUCAUUUCUUGGUCAUUUUCUUUAUGCUUGGGCGGCAACUUAUUUUGUUCGAGGUGUUUAUGCUCACAUUAAUAAGAGUUAUUAUCACCCUAUAAUUCGAAGAUAUAUGGCACUCUGAAUGAUUUACAGUCUUGGGAGAAAAAUGUUGUUGAUUGUCGGGAACUUAUCCAUGGAAUGAUGGACACCAAUGACUUUUGCUGGAAUCCAUUACUCUCAUCAUCUCAUCUUGAUGUACGUGUGGAUGACCAAUCGAGGUCUGCAAAUACUUCAGAAUUCAUGAUGAGUAUUCGAUUUGGAUUUGUUUCUUAUCGUCGAAGAAAUUCACCUUUCAUUCUUGAGGCGUAUAAUCUUCACGGGUUUGCUAGACAAUUUAGCUUUAGAUAGAAACUUCCCGGUUCACCAAGAAAGUUGAAUAUUGCCCCUAGUGUAGGCGACAUGUAUCAGGUUUGGUUUUCUUUGACUCGGACAAAAGGUAGGUCUGUAUUUCAUAUUCCAGAUUAUGUGAGGGAUAUACAUCAAAACAUUGAUGUUGAACACCAAGAUUAGUGGAAUAACGAAGUAUUACCACUCUUGACCAGGGUUAAGGUGCAUGUCUUAUUUUCUAGGGAGAGUCGUGGUUGUGUUCUUGGCCUGACUCCGAACAGGGUUAUAGCUAGAGGGUUAAACCCUCCAAAUGUUGCUCCUGAAGAGGCUUCUUGAAAGAGGGAUCCGAACCAGGAAAAUGAAAGGGGUAUUAAGAAAAUUAAAAUUAUAAUUCCCUCAGCAAAGAUUGUUGCCACCUCUGAGCCUGCUGAUAAGGUUCACGAAACAAUUUUGAUUCCGGAUCAUAUAGUCCUGGAGAUUGAGCAUCACAAGCACCAGGAAAAACUUUAACUCUAGAAGAUGAAAGUUCUAGAGAUUAGGUAUACUUCUUUUUUUUAACGUACUGCUUGUAUUUAAUUUCCUGCCACAAUCUUCAAUUUUAGGCUCCUCUUUCUCGAAUAUACAAAAUCAAAAGAUCGAUAGAACUGAGGCCGCUUCAAGCUAUUAGAGUCCUUCAAAAGAUAAAGUUGGAACUUCUCACAUUAACAUCAGCCUCCCGAACACACCAUUAGACGGUGGAUUUUUAGACAUGUCACCUAGGACACGAAAUGGAGGUAUGUUCCCUAUUUUCGUUUGCUGCACUCUUUUUUAACCCUUUUUUAAUCAUAAUUCAUUUUCGUAGAUUUUCCAAGCAUCCCUGAAGAACUAACUUUCUCCAUGAAUCCAGACUUUUUACAAGAUCAGACUGGCGAGAAUGACAGGCGAAUCGAUGCACUUCAAGGAAUAGAUGGUAUUCAUGAUUCUCAUGACCCUCCUUGCAAAUAUCCGAACACCAUCAAUGGAGAUAGUUCGGUGUCUAUCAUGGAUAAUUUUAAUACAGAAGAUGAAGUAAAUUCAGGGACUGUGAGAGCUAACAUUUCAGAGAUCAAUCAAGGAGUCUCUGCCGUUCCAUAUUCUCUGGCUUUAGUCAGUAUUCUGCCUUCACAAACAAAUAAUCAUCGGGUUGUACCAAUCUAUUCUUUCAUGUAUGAUCCUCCACCUGGAAUUACAUAAGAGUCUCAUUAUCUGAAGGCUAUUCUGCAAGAAGCCAUGACUAAUUACCUUCAAAAGUAUUUUAAGGAUGUCUUGAAGUAUGGAUUCUCCAACAUUCGAUCCUGGUGGGAUAAAAAUAAUUUAAUUCUUCAAAACGUGAUUACCAACUCAUUCCAAGCAGACCCAGCACCUUCAAUGUGUUUUUGAAAGAAGUUAACUCUCACUUAUUUGAAAGAAAGCAACAUUUGGAUUGUCCAAUCGUUGAAGAAAGGGCUGAGAGUUGAAACUUUUGAACAUUCAGCUGGAAGAAAAGGAUUCCACAUUUUCUUUACUAAAAGGCAAAAUUAGUCAGCUAACCUUUGAGUUAGAUAGACUCUGUGAUGAACUUCAAGCACAGGAGGAACAGAAGAGUAUGAUUGGAAAUAAGAAGGCAGCAUUGGAAGAAUCAUAGACAAGAGAUGUCACCUGCACAGCAUUACCAAAAAAGGAAGACACUUAAGAGAUAGUUUUUUGCGAGUGAUCCUGAUGAAGUUGAAAUUUUUUUUUUUUAUCUUUUUCUUUUUAAAGACCAUAUUGUAUGAAUUUUAACAUGCUGUUUUUAUUUGAAUGAAAUUUUCUUUUUCAUGUUUCUUGUGUUUUUUUCUACAGCAAGUGGUAAACAAAUUGAAUGAAUUUAUUAGCUGUGACUGAAUUUGAAUUUAUAAUUUAUUCAAGCUACCUACGAACUCAAAUAGGAUCAAGUCGAACGUAGUUCACUACGAGAACAUAAUUUUUUUUCCUUAUAAUGAAAAAUUUAAAAGAAAGAACUUCAGGCGUAAAAAUGCUUUAAAAAUUUUUCAUUAAUAGGUCCUAUUUUGCAAUCCAUCUUUGUCGACGAUCUUGUACGCUCCAUUAGUUAGUGCAUGAGUAACAAGAAAUGGACCAUCCCAUUUAGGCUGAAACUUGCCCCCUAUUUUUCUUGUGAUUAUGAUAGGCCUGCGUACAGAAAGUACCAGAUCUCCAAUUUGGAAUGAUCUUGGUUGCACCUUCUUAUUGAAGGACUUCGCCAUUCGAGUUUGAUAGCACUUCAGACAUAUUUGUGCUGCUAACCUCUUCUUAUCCAAAACUUCUAGCUCUUCCAAUCGAAGAUGGGCAUUUUCUUCGGUUGUCAAACCUUCAUGGAUGGCAAAUCGAAGUGACGAGAUUUAACAUUCCAGAGGAAGUACAGUUUCCACCCCAUAUACUAAGGCGUAAGGAGUGGCUUGUGUUAGAAUCCGAUAAAAAGUUCGAUAAGCCCAUAAGACUUCACCAAUUUUUUUCAUGCCAAUCUCUUUUUUAUUUGGAGACAUCCUUUUUUAGGCAACUGCAUAGUGUUUUGUUGAAUGUCUCUGCUAAUUCGUUAGUUGCCACAUUGUACAUGGAUGAGUUGUACUGUAUGAACCCAAACUUCGUAUAUAAAUUGUUUAUGUGGCUAUUGCAAAAUGGUUUGCCAUUAUCAGUUAUGAUAUACCACGGGACACCGUAUCGAUAAAUGAUUUGGAUACGACUAUGACAUUUUAUUUCUUUACUUUCUUCAAUGGUACGGCUUCAGCCCACUUAGAGAAGUAGUCGGUCUCGAUGAAGAUGUAGGCAUGCCCUGCUUAAGACUUUGGAGUUAUAGGUCCAAUUACAUCAAGACCCCAUGCAUCAAACGGCCAUGAAGCUAUUAUCGAAUGUUAUGGUUCUGGAGGUUGAUGGAUGAAAUUCGCAUGGACUUGGCAAGCUUCACAUUUUCUUGCAUAAUUCAUGGAGUCUUGUACUAUAGUUGGCCAGUAAUACCCCAUCCUCUUUAUUCGAAAUUGGAAUUUGGGUCCAAACUGAUGGGCACUAAAAAUUCCAAAGUGAGCUUCUUCCACAACCUGUGUUGCUUCAUCAUUACUUAGGCAUCAAAGGAAAACUCCAUCAAAUGAUCGUCAAUAAAGUGUUCCCUUAUAAAAGAUAAAGCGAGAGACACGUCUCUUGAUUUCAGUAUUUUGCCAUGGAUUACCUGGUAGCUUUUGAUGUUGAAGGAAAUCAAUUAUCGACUGUCUCCAAUCUUCUAUUUCCUCAUCUUCGACUACUUUGACACUAUUAUUUUCUUCCAAAUUACUGGGUAGCAACGACAAAAGCACCCAUCUUUGAGCAAUUGAUAUGGAGUGAGAGAAGUUUCCAUCUGACCUAGCUAAAACAGAGGCCAAAUUAGCUAAAGCGUCAACCUCCCUAUUUUCACUUCUCGGGACGAAUUUGAUUUUUACCAAAUCAAAUCGUUUCAUAAGCAUUGAUAUAUAUUCAUGAUAUGGCUUUAGAUCUGAUUUACAGACUUCAUACUCAACUAAAAGUUGGCUGAUUAUCAAUUUAGAAUCUCCAAAGACUUCCAGCUAGUGGAUAUCCAUAUCUAACGCUGCUUCUAAGCCAAGGAUAAGGGCUUGAUAUUUUGCCACAUUGUUUGAAUGUUUCUCUGUUAAGGGAAAAGAGUAGGGUAUGACGAGAUCAUGGAGAGUGACAAAAACUACUCCUCCAAGAUGGUAGGACUUCAGUGAAAGAACUUCUUUAUCGAGAAGGCCUUCUUGAAGUUCUCAUUCCGCUGGAAUUGGGUGGUCAGUCAGGAAAUCUACCAAAACUUAUCCUUUAAUGGCCUUUUGUGGAAUGAAUUUGAUAUCGAACUCAGACAACAGCAGUGCCCAUUUUCCAUUCCUUCAAAAAAGAAUUGGCCUAGACAUUAUGUACUUCAAUGGGUCAAUCUUUGAAACAAUAUUGAUUGUGUGUAAUAGCAUAUAAUGUCUCAACUUUUUAGCUGCGAAGAUUAACGCAAGUCAUAUUUUUUCGAUAGGUGAAUCUUCAUUUUAGCGCCUACCAGUGUCCUACUCAAGUAAUAGAGUGCAUUCUCUUUUUCCUCCAUUAUUGACUUGGAGAAAAAGUGUUCCUAGAGAAUAUUCUUGUGCUGCAACAUAAAGAGUCAGUGGCUUCCCUAGGACUGGAGCUGUGAGAACUGGUGGACAAGACAAAUAUUGCUUAAUUCAUUGGAAAGCAUUUUGACAAGCGUCGUCCCACUCAAAUUGUACAUCUUUCUUCACCAAUUUGUUGAAUGGAUGGCAUCGUCCAAGAAGGUUAUCUUCAAAUGUAUGCAAGUUUUCUUUGAAGACUUUUCAACUCACAUAUAUUUCUUGGCUUUGUCAUGUUGAUUAUGGCAUCAAUUUUUGAUUGAUCUAUUUCAAUGCCCUAGUGCCAAAUGACGAAGCCAAGAAAUUUUCCAGAGGUGACGCUAAAUACACAUUUCAACGGAUUCAUCUUCAGUUGAUGUCUUCGAAGUCUUUUGAAAACAUCCUGUAAAUCUUGUAAAUGAUCAUCACGUCUUUUUGUUUUGACAACAAGAUUAUCCACAUAGCAUUCCACGUUCUUAUGCGGCAUGUCAUCAAAAAUCUUCUACAUUGCCCGCUGGUUGGUUGCCUCCGCAUUUUUUAAUCUAAAAAGCUAAUUUUGUAACAAUAUAUGCCUUUAAGGGUACUAAAUGAUGUGAGCUCCUCAUCUUUGGGACUCAUCCAUAUCUGGUUGUAUCCAGAAAACCUGUCCAUGAAAGAUAAGACUUCAUACCCGGUAGUUGCAUCCACCAUCAACUCUAUUAUUGGAAGUAGAAAAUCAUCUUUAGGACAUGCUUGAUUUAGAUCUCGAAAGUCAACGCAAAUUCGUAAUUGCCCAUUUUUCUUUUUUACAAGAACAAUGUUCGCAAUCCAUGUUGGGCAUUUUACUUCGCAUGUGAAUCCAGCUUUAAUAUGUUUACUGACUUCUACUUCAAUUUGAGGGAUUAAUUCUGGUCGAAAUCUUCUUUGAGGUUGUUUGACUGGUCGAACUCCAUGUCUUAUUGCAAGGUGAUGUAUUGCAACCUUAGGAUCUAACCCGGACAUUUCCUUGUAAGAGCAUGCAAACACAUCUUUAUAUUUGUGAAGCAAACUAAUGUACUUAGAUUCUCCUUUUUGACUGAGAAUGGCAUUUACAAAUACUGGUCUCAAGUCCUCUUCGGUCCCCAAGUUCAAUUGUUUCAAAUCAUCUACAGUAGCUUGUCCCCCUUCUUCAAAGGUAGUCGAAGCUGGUUCAGGUUCAUUAGUUGUGACAGAACUUUCAGACUUAGAGUUUGAGUUGAGAGCUACUUCAAAGGCUAUGUGAUUGAUAGAGACUUUUUCCUUAUCUUCAUUAUCCUUCAAGGACAGACAAACUUUGGAAGACAGAAACUUUACCUUUUACAUUGACCACUGGGAGGGUUCUCCUUUUAACCUCUUAAACACCGAAACUCUGGCAUUCUCAUUUUCAAUUCGAUCGAACACUGAAGGUCUCGACUGUUCUGAUUUCUCUUCUGCAACUUCAUAAAUUUAAACCAUGUGGGGUUUGAGAAAACCUUCUUGACCAUAAUCUUCCUCGGUGGAUUACGAUCAUAUCCCAAACCAUACCUGGGUCGGGGCACUAAGGCUUCAUUAGAAUUAGAAGGGACACGCUCUUCUAAAAGGACAGUAUCAAGAUCACCUAAUUUACAAGGCUCUCCUUUUCCAAACCCAGCAUUUUCGAACUACUUUUUGACUUUAGGAUUGUAACAUCCUUUGAAAGUCUGUUUUGAUUCAGCAGUUUCUUCUUGUAUGGAUGAGCUGGAAAUAUAAAGCUUUGAUAUGUUUGAAAUGGAUGCCGAAGCCUCUGAUGUAGGUUUAUAUUCCUCUCGGACCGCCAUGAGUUGAUGGGGUAGAAACAAUUUCGGAAUAUUAGGUAUUGGAAGAGUUAAAUCCUUUCUCAAUACCUCAAUAUCGGUUAAUUCUAUUUGAGAUUUUUUACCUUUAGAGAUUCCUUCGGAUGUAAAUUUUGACUUGCCUUUGAUAAGUUGAUGAUAUUGAGUAGCACUAGUUGUAUCAUGGUCGUUUGCAUCUUCUUUGAUUUUGGAUCCAGACAUGGUCAACCCUGCAGAAUUGCACUCUUCAUCUUCCAUGUAAAAUUUGGCGUCAGCAAAAUGGGAUUCUUCUUCAAGGAAUGGUUUAGACUCAGCUACCACACAUUUAACUUCUCCAUGUCAGCUAUAUUUGAAACAUUGGUGCCAAGUGUAAGGCACCACUCCAAUUUCAUGUGGCCAAACACGUCUUAAGGAGUAACUCCUAUAACAAUUUAGCAUCAAUGACAUGGAAGAGAGUUGAGAAGACUAACUCUCAUAUUCGUAGCUUGAAGCGAAUCACGCUAAUGGCUCGCUGGCCUUUUUGAUUGAAUCCUUGAAUCAUGAUUUUGCUUCUGGAUAGAUUACCAACAUUAAUUCCAGUUUUCUUCAUUAUUUUGACUGGCAUAAUGUUCACAGCGGAUCCAAAUUGAUCAUUCUGCAAUUUAUCUUGCAUUCUUGAAUAUAACCACUGACAUACAGUGGUCUAUUAUGUGGACGCGAACCCAGCUGUAAAUCUCCAUCGUCGAAUGUUAUAGCGGCCAUACAGUCUUUAGGAGUUGUGGAUCCAAUAUGUUCUAAAACUUUGCCUUCGUUUUCUUCCAGAUUGAUUAACGCUGCGACUAAAGCUAUCCGAUCAUCGAAAGGAAGACUAAGAGACUCUGCUAGACUCAUAUUGGUAGGAAUAUUAUUGAGCCGUGAGAUAGUUUUCUUUUGUUUUGAAGUCUAUCUAGAUGCAUUUUUCAUCUCAUUUUUCUUCUCCACAUUGAUAACAUUGGAGGUAAAGAUUCCUUAUCAAAAAAACCCUUGGGAAAAUAAUCACCCAAGGUUGGCAAUCUGGGAAAAACGCAUAAAGCAGCUUCUACUCCCAUCGAUUCAGUGAAUCCUCUUGGUUUAUCUUUAGACCUUUUUCUUUGGUUGUUCCUUGAUCUUGAUUUCUUAUCAUAAAUACUAGAACUUGGGAGUUGUGGAGCCUUUCGUUGACAUCUUUUCACAAGGGUCCAUGCCCCCUGAUCUUCUUCUAAUGUUUUCUCUUUAUUGGGUUGAAUUUUUGUACCCAAUUCCUCCAUUAUGUUCCUAUAAGAGGCGUAGAAGGUAAUAUUUUACCUAUUUUGUUUGGCAUUCGAUAUUUUUCUUUCUUCUAUAUAAAGGUGGACCAGCCGUCAUCGAUCUCGUCUUUAGAUUCUAAGUCAGAAUCCCAAACAUCCAAGUCACCUGUCAUAAUUUCAUAAAAGGUUGGACGAUUGGGUGCAUUUGGUCUGUCCAUCCUUGGAUAGACGUAAGUGAUAGUGAUUUCUUCGUCUACAUCAAACUCCACUAGGAUGGCUCCUUCCGAAAGUUGAGGUCCAAACUCCUUAAUUGAGGAUUUACAGGCUUCGUGUACAUCAGAAAAUGUUUGUUUCUUUCCUGCAAUGGAAAUUUGAUCAAAUGAUCCAAAUGAAACCAUCGAGCAGGGGCUAUUAGAUUUUCUCCAGAAAAUGAUCCACAUGAAACCAUCAAACAAUAAGAUCUUUCAAGACAAAGUGUUUUUCCACUGGAUGGCUAUUGAUCCUGUGAAAUUUACAAUAUUUAGGAUGAUCAAUCUUACCGAUUUCAUCGGGUCUUUUUGGUACAGGGAGUUCGAUUAUCUUCAGUUCAAGAAGUUGAUCUAGAAUUCCAGAAACUUCAGAAUCUGAGAAUAGGUACUCCUUUACUUCAAAUUAUUUUAGAGUCACAUGACCUCUGCUUUGGACUUGUCCUUUGUUAGGUCUAAAUUCUGGCUUCGGUUUUGGGUUCGAGCUUGACCCCUGGAAGGUUAUCUUUGCAAGAACAAUAGAAAUCGCCAUAGCCUAUUUGGAUUUACUUGCCUUAACAUCGUUCUUUAUUUCCUUAGGAUUUUUCUUGUCACGUGGAUCACUUGAGAUUAUAGAGUAAUCCCCAGUGCAUACCUUGUAAACACAUAUCGAUGGAAGAUGUUUCAUUUAUUUGUUCUUUACAAUUAAGCACGAGGUUUGUCCAACAUUCAAUGUACUCCACAACAGGCUCUUCCUUACUAUACUUUGUUCGAGCAAGUUCUAGAAAACUGACAGUUCGUCGGGUGCUGUAGAAACGUGUUAGGAACUCUCGCUCGAGCUGAUCCCAACUAUCAAUUGACCCUACCGGUAAAUCUGUGUACAAUUCAAAUGCAGAACCUUUGAGGGAGCAUACGAACUACUUCACUAUAGUGUCAUUAUAAGUACUUGUAUUGUUACACAUCUCAAUAAAAUGAGCAACAUGUUGCUUUGGAUUGCCCUUUCCAUCAAAACACUGAAAUUUCGAAGGUUGAUAACCAAGUGACAUCUUUAUUUCGUCGAUUCGACGACUAUAGGGCUUGGCAUAUACCAGUGAAGAUUGCAAUGAACCACCAUACUGGGCACGAAUGGUAUCUACAAUCAUAUGUUGAAGUUGUUGGACGGAUAGAGAGUUAACUGAGAGUUGGGUGGUGUCAUACAACACGUUUUGAACAACUGUCCGAUCGUGCAUAUCUUGCUUUUGUUGGCGCUCUUGGACUUCAAACUCUUUGGCCUUGGAAGAUCUUGGAUUUUCCUGAUUUUCUUUAGUAGGUGGAUUUUGUGACUCUAGACUAUGUAUGAGUGCAACAAUAUGUGCAUCUUUGUCUUCCAACGACUUUGUUAAUUUUUCAAUGGCUAAAGCCAUUUGUUGAAUUCGGUCAUCUGAGCCUAAUGCCGCUUCUAUGACCAUCACUGGCUCUAGUGAUUCUUCAAAUGAGGCAUCAUCUUUCCACUUUUGCUAAGAAGUGGCAUGAGGGGAUCCAAACAAGGAUCUACCACUAGAGAUGGAGCCCGAACGAGAACUUUUCGCUAAACUCAUGGUCUUUUCUAUCAAAUGAGAGUUUAGCUUCUUGAAGGCAAUUUUCAUUUUGCCUUUGUUGGAGAACUUCUUUAGUGGCAUGAUCAAUUGAGUUUUUUCAGUUUUUGUUUGGGCCAUGGUCGCGUGGAAGAGUUCGGCAAGUGUCUCUUCAAGAUGAGCCAUAGUUUGUUUCACCAUUUCACCUGCCAUUGCUGAUGUAGUAGUUGAAACUUGAAGAUUUUGUGAUCAAAAGAUGAGAAGAAGGUCCCACCCAACGUGCCAAGAAAUUUGUACAACGAAAUUUCGUGUAUUAAAAUACAGAAAUCGUUACAAAUCGUAUUUUGAUAAAAUACAGGUGAUGUUGACCUUCUUGUAAUUGCAAAAUUGUAAAAAUCCUCUGAUUUAUGAUCUGAAUAUUUGAAGAUGAUGGGCCACGUGGCUUGAAUCCUAGUCUUCGAGAAUUUGUUGAAAAUUUGAUUUGUCGAGACUUGACUUGUUCGGAUCUUGAAUCUUGAACUUGGACUUGAAUUUGAUUUGAUUUGAAGAAGACUUUGAUCUUAUCGGACUUAGUGUGAACUUGUUUUAUUCAAAGAAGAUUUUAAUCUUCUUGGGGUUCACUGAGUUUAGGUUUGAGGAAAUUUCUUCCCUUCUUCCGGCCUUAGAAUUUCUUCAGAACUUCGUAGCGUUCUCUCCUUUCUUUCUUGCUUCACUUUCACCUCCCCUUAUCUUAUGGACCAUUGGUCCUAUUUAUGGGGAAAGAAUUCGUGCUAAGUUUGGUAAUUACUCAAUUUAAUUAAAAUGAAUAAUUGAGUAAUUAUGAUUUUAUUUAUUUGCUUAUUUAUUUGUUUGUUUAUUUAUUUAUUUAAAAUGUAGUAUGGGCCUUUGGGCUUAUGGUUUAUGGACCUUAGUAGACUUUAAUUUAAUUGGGCUAAUGAUUUAAAUCGACCCAAUCCAUUUUUAUUUUUUUAUUUUUUUUACGUCUACAAUCACCUCAGUGAUAUCUUUGUCCUUUAAUUGAGACAAGAGCAACAAAUAAUAGAAAUGGAAAAAUCCAAACUACAAUAUAUGAUUGACGAAAAUAACGGAAUUGCUGCAUUUACCCAUUAGAAUUUGUGGGUGAAGAUUGAGCCAUUUUAGAGGACGAUUACUUUGGCUAGUGAAGCAUACAAAGAGCUAGGAAGAGGAGGAAUUUAAGAAAUAUAGGUUGAAGAAAGAAAAUUUGAAGGUGAUUUUAUGAAAAAUGGAGAUGGGGAUGUAGUGGUUGAAGUUCUGGUAUGAUUGGAGUGGGAUUUGUAGAUGUGGUGAUAUGGAAGAAGGAGAUGAAAGUAAUAAAUACAGUGUGAGAAUGUUUUAAUUUUUUACGGUAUAAAUCUAAUUUGUUAUUUUUUUAGAGCAAUGGGCCUAAUUUUCUCUUUAAACAAUAGGCCCAAUUCUCACCAUAUGUUUUGGAACACCAGUCACCAGUGGGCAUCUUCUUCCCAACCGAUUGAAUUUCACCACUUCAAACCGACUUCAAAUUGGACCUCCCCAAUGUCAAAACUCAAGAUUUAAGACAUGCUAAGGCUAUAAAAUCAAUUUUAUGGAUAAAUUUGAAUUAAUUUUCAGAGAAAAAAAUCAACCGAAGAAGAUGGAGUUUUGCAAAUUCAUGGUGAAACACUGAGGCAAAGGUAACCACAUGAAGAACAACAAAGUUUCCAGUUCAUGCCCACCCGUGAUGUGGGGCUGCAAUCUAAAAUAGUUGCUAUAAGUAGUGGGCCAGCAGCUUCCGUGCCUAUGGAUGAGAGAAUUACGGAGGACAACCAUUCGAAGCACAGGUGGCGACUAAGCAAACUGGGAUCUUUAACGUUUUAUAAAACUGAAUUAGGGCUUUAACUUUGGGAUAUGACGUGUUCGAUUGUGGUUUUGGUUUUGUUUGGUGUUCCUGUUUAACUAGGAAAAAAAUUUCGUUUUGCUUAUGAACAACAACAAUGUUUAUUUUGGCUUUAAUCAAAAUGAAGUGUGUUUCAGAAAUAGAUAAGAUGUGAUGUAGCGAAUCGAAGGUGCCUUAAAAUAGUUAGAAUGUUAAUCAAAGUUAAAUCUGCUUUCUUCUCAGAUUUUUGAAGAAUUUCCUUCUAUAGUAUGUGAAAGUCUGACCUAGAACGCUUAGAUAUGCUAGAAAGUUCAGCUAACGCGAUACAGUGUCAAGUUCAAAUUUUAUGCAUUACCAAGUUUAUGUUCUAGAUUUCACUUUAACCAAUUUGACCUUACGUACGGAAUUAAUCUAACUAAAGCAACAAAUCAGUUUAAUUAGUUGUAUAGGUGAUUAAUCAUACAAGUCAAUUAACCUAUGUUGGAAUGCCGCAGUUUGUAUAUUAUGGAAAGCAGUAAAUAAUAAACAAUAUGAUGACGGAGAAACCCCAAUGUGUGUAAAACUCCGGGACCAAGCCAGUUAACUCCACUAUACCAAUUCAGUAAGUACAAGUUAUACCAAACUCCAUACCCAAUCAGACCCGUUGUUCCAGUCUCACGAUCUACUGCUGUCAAUACUUCUAGCCUUCUGUUAGACUUCCCGAUCUAUCUCCUACAGCACAAUCUACUGUCCACUACAACCUCCUAGUCCUUAGCUGAUUGUAUCACCAAGUGGAACACCAAGAACCGCUCAUUCUUGUGCCUGUAACUACGCCUCAAUUCACCUCUCUCAAUCCUCCAAUGAGAGAGUCCCUUCCUCAAUAGAUUAAGGAAGUAAGGUGUUUUGGGUUAUGUAGAUUCGAUGUUUUUCCCUAAAACAAUGAUUGCCAAAUCACAAGAUUGAUGUAGAUGGAAUCUCCAAUUAAUUAUACCUUGGAUCUUUUCAAAGAUGUUAUGAAUAUGUUUCGCAAUGAAAGAAUAAUGUAGCAACCUCUACAAUUUUGUCCUAGGGCUUGAGUAUUUAUAUUUGAAAGUGUCUAAGUGGUAUGGGCCAAGUAAAACACUUCAAAAACAUGAAAUAGGAUUUUUGCCACAUAUGAAUGUCGCUUUGAGCGAGAUGCCAGUGAGAAUCCAAGUGACUCAUGUGUGUAAAGUGUCAUUAUUCCAAUGCACGCAGGACUCCAAAACUUAAUUUUGUGAGAAAGGACAUGUCAAUCACUGCCAGUAAAUAUAUUCUCCUACUAAUGAAAGUCAAAUCAUGUAAUGUGUAGUAGGACAUAUACUUAUUAUUUUUACUUAUCUCCCCCUUACUAUGAACUUUUAUAUUUUUCAGAUUUUCAUAUUAUUCCAGCUCUUCAUAUUUUUCACAUCUUUCUCAUUUUUUCAGCUCAUUAAUUUUUCAUCUUAAGUACAGCUUCUUCUCCAUUAGGCGACUAAGAUGACCCCUGUAGCGAGCUUUAGGCCGGUUAACCUAAGUCAGUUGAUCAUAGACACCAGGUUUUAAGAGACUCCACGGGCUUAAUUACUCGAGUCAAAUAGGCCCCGAAAAAGAACAUUAAGAUAUUGAGCUUUAGUAUGGGGGAUAAUUUUCGGGUUUAGGUCUACUAAAUAUUGGUCAAUUCAUAUUCAAAUUCACCCCAUCAACAUGCGACAACCAUCCCAAAUCUCACACACGCGGUAAAGUCCCACUAACAGAUUCAUAGUGUGUGCAGUGCAGAUGGUGCAUGAUGGCACCUAUACUGAGUAAUCCAAAAAGAACUAAACAAAUAAUGAAAAUUAUUCUACAGCUUAUCAAUUUUAGCUCAUACAUGAUCACAACCAAUAAGUUCAAGAAAUAUAUGUCAUGCUGUAACAAUUUUCAUAACCAAUUAUUUUUGUCUUUUUCAAUUUUUCAAAUUUUUUUUUUUUUUGUGUUUUUCAUUUUACUAAAAUGAAUGCUCCACACACAAAAGAAAAUAAAGUCAAGCAAACAAAAAUAAAAUUAAAUAUACAUGCACCAAAGCAAACAAAUAAAAAUGCACAUGCAAAAAUAAAUAAAUAAAUAAAUAAAAUAAAAGCAAACACAAUACACAUGAUGCAUGGAACAAUCAUAUGUCAAACAAGAGUCAGGCAUGCAUUAAAAAAAAGAAAAAAAAUCCUAUUCAAGUAGGUAUAUAAGUGCUCUUUCCUUUAAGAGCACCACGAUUUACUAUCAAAUUAGGGAGAUCGCUCUUCUUCACCCAAACCUGUAUAGAACGGGAAUUGUUUCCAGGCAAUUGUGUCAACAAUUGGGUCAAAUGAUUCACUUGAUCAACUAGGAAUCCAAUCUGACCAACAUACACCUGAUUUUUGUUAUUUUUCAUGUUCAAGUCUUUCCUCUUGUUGUUCAAGUACUGAUGACAUCUAGGGCGGAUGUGAACUAACUUACCACAGUGAUAGCAUAUAGGGAUAAACAUAGGACAUGUGUUAUGUGAACGUUGACGUUUGUUCCUAGGUCGACCGGUCUUACGCUAUCUGUAGACCUCUGUCGACCGGUCUUACGCUAUCUGUAGACCUCUGUCCUACAGAUCCUUUAUUCUUCGGUUCGGGGUUAGGUACAUGUUUGGGCUGAUCUGUAACAUGAACAAAUGUGGUCUUGGAAGUACUAGCAACAUCAUCACUUUUACCCUUAUAUCCUAGACCUCCCCUAUUUCCAGCCUACUUGCCUAUUCCUAAAAGAUUAUCUAGCUUUAACGAACCACUAGUUAAGGCAAGAAGUUGAGACUUUGAAUAUUCUAAAUUCCAUCACAAGGUUCACUACCUGAAUUUGCAAAGUCUCAUUCAUGGUGGUCAACUCGCCAACUUUCCUAGAGGACCUGUAAAGCUCAUCGGUGAGAUUCUUAACUUGAGACUCUAAGGAUUCAUUAAUAGAUUUAAUCUCACUCAAGACAGUGGAAGAUUCCUUAACGUGUACCUCUGACUUAUCUUUCUCUAAUUGAAGAUCCUGAAUGGUCGUACUAAGGGCCUUGUUUUUAUUGAGAAUUUUCAAACUCUCCUGAUACAUUUUCUCAUAGGCCUCUUCGAUAUCUUCAUCACUCACAGAUUCAUCUCCAGAAUCCUCACCACUAUCUAAGUCCUCAUCCCUUUCACUCCCCUGUUCGGAUCCAUUAUCAACCCUAGCAACGAAAGCCACAUAUUUUCCACUCUCCUCGCAUGUGGAUUUCUCACUCUGAUUGUCCGAGCUAGGCUCGUCAUCAGUGAGAGUAGUAUUCAUUGCCUUCUCUUCAAAUUUCCUAUCACUAGGGCACUCACUCCUUACGUGACAGAAACCUCGACAGUUAUGGCAUCUCACGUAUUUAAAUUUUCUCCUAGAUUCACUCGGGCCACCUUUUUGUCUCUCUUGAGGCUUCUUCUUAUUCGUGAACAUUUUUCGAAAUUUCUUAGCUAGGUAGGCUAUCUCCUCAUCAUUGGAUGAAUCUGAAUCAGAGGAUUCCAUCAGGUUAUUCCUAGCAAAUUUCAAGGUUAUGGAACUUUUCCUUAACAGGAUUAUCUAAGGUCAACUCGUAAGUCUGAAGGGAUUCAACUAACUCCUUUACCUUUAUAAUGUCUAUGUCCUUACUUUCCACAAUAGCUGUAACUUUCGGCCUGAAACGCUUGGGAAAUGAUCUAAGAAUUUUUCUAACUAUCUUAAGCUCGAGAAUUUUCUCACCUAGUUUGAAGGAGGAAUUCACUAUGUCAUUUAAGCUCGCAUAAAAGACAUCAAAUGUCUCAUCAUCUCUCAUUUUGAUUUCUUUGAACCUACUAGUCAGCAUCUGUAACUUAGAAUUUUUAAGAGCCUGGGUUCCCUCACGUGUGGUUUGUAAAAUUUCCCAAACAUCCUUAGCUACUUCACAUAUAGAUACUCUCCUAAAUUUCUCGGAGAACACAGCCAUAAACAAUGCAUGUAUGGCCUUGCCAUUAAAGUUACAGCUAUCCAAUUGUGCUCUCGACCAGUUUUCUAUCGGGUAGGAGUGACUACACCAUCUACUGUAAUACUAGGGACAGACCAACCAUUCACUACGCUCUGCCAAACACUCUCAUCCAUGGAUUUAAAAAAUAUCCUUAUUCUGACCUUCCAAUAUGCAUAGUUACUACCAUCAAAGAGGGGCGACACAUUCAACGAGAUACUCAUCUAGACUAUUUAAGGCCAAGACACGAUUUUAGGCUCUGAUACCACUUGAAAAGUCCGACCUAGAACGCUUAGAUAUGCUAGAAAGCUCGGUUAACGUGAUACAGUGUCAAGUUCAAAUUUUAUGCGUUACCAAGUCUACAUUCUAGAUUUUACUUUAACCAAUUUAACUUCACAUGCGAAAUUAAUCUAACUAAAGAAAUAAGUCACUUUAAUUAGUUGUUUAGGUGAUUAAUCAUACAAGUUAAUUAAACUAUGCUGAAAUGCCGCAAUUUGUAUAUUAAGAAAGCAGUACAUAACAAACAAUAUGAUGAUGGAGAAAUCCCAACGUGGGUAAAACUCCAAGACCAAGCCAAUUAUCUCCACUAUACCAAUUCAGCAAAUACAUGUUAUACCAAACUCCAUACCCAAUCAGACCCACUGUUCCAGUCUCACAAUCUACUGCUAUAGAUAUUUCUAGCCUCCUACUAGACUUCCCAAUCUACCUCCUACAGCCCAAUCUGCUGUCCACUACAACUUCCUAGUCCUUAGCUGAUUUUAUCACCAAGUGGACCACCAAGAACUGCUCGUUCUUGUGCCUGUAACUGCGCCUCAGUCCACCUUUCUCAAUCCUCCAAUGAGAGAGUCCUUUCCUCAAUAGAUUAAGGAAGUAAGGUGUUUUGGGUUAUGUUGAUUCGAUGUUCUUCCCCAAAACAAUGGUUGCCGAACCACAAGAUUGGUGUAGAUGGAAUCUCCAAUUAAUUACACCUUAGAUCUCUUCAAAGAUGUUAUGAAUAUGUUUAACAAUGAAAGAAUAAUGUAGCAACCUCUGCAAUUUUGUCCGAGGGCUUGAGUAUUUAUAUUUGAAGGUGUUUAGGUGGUAUAGGCCAAGUAAAAUACUUCAAAAAUGCGAAAUAGGGUUUUCUCCGCGUAGGAAUGUCGCUCGAGGGAGAUGCCAGUGAGAAUCGAGUGAGAGGUAUUCUAUUUUUUUUGCUCGAGCGAAAUGGCACGAGAAUCUAGCGACAGUGAGCAGUUGUCAGCAUUUUCAUCAUAACUUUUUAUCCCGAUCCCGAUCCCGAUCCCGAUCCCGAUGUCCGAUUGAGGUGAUUCAACUUGUGUUGGAAAGCUCACUUAAGGGACUACAAUUUUUCUAGAUAGCCUUGUCCAAAUUCCAACAUUUUCUAUAAGAAAAAUGCAUUGCAAGUUACAAUUAAAAAUCUAGAACAUAAUUUGUGUGGCUCUUCGAUAUCAUUUAAACUUCCAAUUGCAUUCUAAUGAUCUUAUGUAAUCUUCUUGGACAUCUUGGACUCCUUCAAUGACUCGAACAAUAAUUUAACUCAUCUAUACAAAAUUGCACCCUUAUCCAUUGACUUUUACGAGAAUGUUCAAUUAAGUUCCUGACUUUUACAAUCAUACAAUUACGCCCAUUUUGUCUACAGAAUUGCCAAUCACAAUUUCAGACCUAACAGUAAGCUUAGCUACUCUCAAAUGCUUGAAUUUUCAUUGAUUUAGUUCAAGAUAUUUUAAAGCCAUAUUCAGCACCAGAAUGAAAUUGCAUAUGAAAUUCAUUGUGGAAAUUACUUACUCAAAUUUUUAUACGUAAUGUAGCACUACAACUUGUAAAUUUAUCUAACGACCUACAUUUGUGUAUUAGAACUAGAACAUCCUCCCUCUCUCUAAUUUUCUCAACUAAGAUGGAGUUUGUAGAUUCGUCCAACUCAAUGUAAAAAUUUAUAUGUUACUUAAAAACUCUAAGUAUAAUUUCUACGAGUCCUGAGAUCAAGGCGAUUGCAGAAAGUAUCCCAAACAAGGCUCAUGGAAUCACACUAAACGAUACUAGUGCAUACAACUUAUCUUGAAACAACAUACACCAAGCAAAACUUACACCGAAGAAGCAAGUCAAAAUCUGGUGCAAAGGCAAUUGACAAAUAGAAACCAUGAGCACUUAACUCCAAAGAAAAUUACAUAAGCAUGAAAUUAUGAGAUCAGUCGUUUAAUCAAUUGCAUAGAUGGAACAAAUUCACAGAUCUUUUCCCUUUCGUUUCCCAUUAUCUUCUGUAUCUCAUUUUUCAUUGUGGAUAGUUAUAUUGAGGAAUAUCUUCAAGUCCUCUUGUUCGAAUAUUUGAGCAAAACUUUUGAAUAUACAUGACAAAUCUUCAAUUUGAUCUUUAGAGUUAGAUUUACUCAAAUAAACACAUCUUGAUUUAAUUUCGUUGUAAACACCACUAGAACGACCUUCAAUUUGCAAGGAAUUUUUUUUUUUUUUUUUUUUGGCCAGAUGAAACAUCCAUGCAUUUGAAAUACCCACAAUCAUCACUACAACAAAAGAAUAACUAUCCUAUAUUUGCUGUCUUCUUUUACUCGUCUAUCCAUCUCACAAAGUCCUUGCCACCACUUGGGCGUUGCUGCUUUAUUGGGCAUUGACUGUCUACAUCUAUGUCAAAUCUCCUUGUGGAAUAUCAUUGAAAAAAUCUAUUGCGGCCAUGAAAAUUCAGUACACAUAAGGUGUGAGAAAUUUAGUAAACAUACUGUUGGCAAAUUGUUAGCGUUAAUCCAUCACCGACAAAAUAUUACAAUGCUAGCUAUUGCCAAACCUUGAAAAGAUGAAUAUGAAAAUAAAAUGCACAUUUAUAAAUCAGGCAGCCCGCUUUUUCAAACAGAAAAAUGAACAACGAUUAUGAGUGCUAGCACCCAGAAGUCAAUUUUCUACACUUUAAGGAAUUACUAAAAAAAUUGGCGGCAACGAAACAUUCGUCCAAGGUUGCCUUCAAUCCAAGAGGUCGUCAUUGCCAAAAUAAUUUACCACAGUGGCACAACCUUCAAUCCUCAAAGUGCUCGGAUUGGAUGGCAUUUCGAAAGCAAAAAUACUGAAAAGAAGAAAAAAAGUUUAGGUAUUAUCUCAACGUAGUCUCUCUAUGUGCACUGCUUUAACAAUCCAAGUUUUGUGGCCAGUUGCUGUGGACCUUUUGAUUGUGGGGCAGAAUCAGUUUGGGGGUUGGGGUUUAGAAGGAUUUGGGGUUUAGAAUGAUGAUGGCACGUUUUGAUUUCAAUUGGCAAAGGCCUAAUUGGGAUUUGCAAUUUAAUGCACUGGAAUUUGAUAUUAAAUUUUGGUUAGAGUCAACUGCCAAAAAGAAAUUCCAUCAUCCAUGUAUUGUAGGCUGAGAGAAAAAGGGAAUAUGUCCGAUGAGUGAUGGAGUGCAAUAUCCUAAAGUUGAGUGAUCCAAAGAUCAGUAACCAUUGGCCAUAUCCAAAGCUGGGGGUAUUAAAACAUUGAACUCGAGACUUUAAAAUCUCAAUAACUACCUCAAUUUUUAAGUAAGAAAAAAAUGAAUAAAUAAAAGGAAAAAAAUUUGAAGACCAGAAUAUGUGUUGACACGUGGCAAUAUGAAUAGUAUCGAUACAAAUUAAGCUUCUUUUAGUCCUUGAUUUUAAUUUAUGAGAAACACUCUACUUCCACAUUUAUUUUGAACUACAUAUUUCUUUAAAAAAAAUUAUUUUUCACAUUUCCUGAUUGUGUUUUCUUAAUUUAUAACCAUUUUACAUUCACAAAAAUAAUAAUAAUAAUAAUAAUUCAGUUCUUAUCAAACAAGUUCUUAAUAUUGGUAAAAUUCAAAAGAUAAAAUUGAUGCAAACUACGAGAAAAAUUCAAGAAACGAAACAACUUUAUUACAAGAACACGCCUUCCUUGUAUGUGUGUCCAUGUGAAGAAUGUUCUCUCCUUAUUUUUUUGUUACUCUACUUCAUUAUUAUUAUUAUUAUUAUUAUUUGACUCUUCAUCGAAUAAAAAACGUGAGACAUGUUGCAAUCAGACAAAAAAAUGAUCUCUAAAUAGUAGAUACGCAACAUGAGCAAUAGCAUAAGGAACAAAACAGCGUAGAUUUAGAACUAAUGUGACUUUGAGUACGUUUUGAUUUAAACUCCAAACUCAUAUUCACAUAUUUUGAAGAUGAGAGUGGUUAUUCUUUAUGAAAUUGAUUUCGGUGAGGAAUUUGUACACGAGAAUUUAUUUAUAUAUUUCCUUUUUAAUAAUACUAUCACUAUAUCUUCAUAUUGGUGCAGGUUAAAUAAAAUUAGAUACAAUACUUGAAAGAUUAAAGUCGACAAAAUUUAAUUUCUUCUUUUUAAGAUUUUUCAGUAAUGUUUUUAUUCGUAUUGUCAAAUCAAGCACAAUCAGCGAUGGGCGCACACAUUUCAAGUUAGGGGUACAAUCAAAUUUACCAAAAAAAAAAAAUUGUAAAAAACAUAAAGCAUUCAAUAUUUUAUUACAAUUGUUCCUACGCAUUUUAAUUCUUAACAUCCUAAGUAGUAGUUUCAACUAGAAUAUCUCCAAGAUUAAUUUAAUCAACUUCAUUAGUUUCAUCCUCAACAUCCAUUCCAUGAUCAAUCUAUCAUCAAUUUCAUCUCCAACAUCAUUCAUAUCUUGAACCUUACUUUCAUUAAUAUUUUGCUCAUAAAAAAAAUACAUAUUUACGGUUUAAAAAUUUUGUCCGUAACUAAUACAAACAAUCAAUUUAAAUAAUUCAAAUAAAGAAUUCAAUAAUCGAAAGGAAAAACGUUCCACCAAUAUUUAAUACUAGAUUAUUAAUAAUCAAUUCAAAUAAAUACAAUUCAAUAAAUGUAAGUCAAAUUGAACAUAAUCAUUCCAGACCCAUUCUAUAUACACAAUUUAAAAAUUAUUCCAUAUAACAUAAAUCAUUCCAAACCUAUUCCAAAUCAAUUUGACACAAUUUAAUAUACAAAAUAUAAAAAUAAUUCCUCGACAUAAAUCAAAUAGAAUGAAAAUAAACUAUAAUUUUUCUCUAUCGCUUUGAAUUGUUUUAAAAAACUUAAAAUUUGAAACUAUAAGUUACUAUUUGUCUGCCUAGUGAUUGCCUUUCGAUUUUCAAAUGCAAAAUAACUUAAGUUGACUCUGUCUAGAGGUUUGGCGAGUGAAGAUGGAUUCGAAAUUAUAGUGGCAAAUGAGGUCGACAAUGUUGUAAUGACAAUCAUUUUGCAUUAGUGUCAAAACCAAUGUUGUCAAAAUUGGCCUAGUCCGAUCAGUUCUACUGGUAAAAUUGAGAACGAGGCCCAAAAUUGGGCCAAUAAUGCUCGGUUAAUUGAUUAUAACUAAACUACUUAAAAAUCCAUUGAAUCGGCCGAUUUAACCGUAAACCAAUGAACAUGUCACAAUUUUGUGGUUUUUCGAAUUUAUUUAUUUUUUAGUUUAAAAAAUUUUAACAUCAUGAAUGGGCCUCAAAAAAUAUAUAAUUCAAAGGCCCAUAGAAAAAUGUUAAAUGACAUACUUCUUUUAUAGAUGCAUCUCUCUCAAAUGGUUUCAUAAACUUUCAAUAUGAGAUAGUGCAUUUUAUGGAUGCACUUCUCUCCAAUAGUUUUAUAAUCUUUCAAUAUGGGAUAAUGGCAAAACAAAAAAUGUUAAAAUGACCAUCAAAAUCAUUUUUCAAAUGUAUGUCUAAUUAACUAAUUUGAUUUUGAAUCCCAACUAACUAAAUUGCAAUAUCCACCUUUAUCUUUUCAUUUAUUUAAUUUUCAAAUUUAACUUAAAUUGCACUUGGUUAUUAAUAUAUUAAUGUUAGAUAUCAUUUUCUAUAAGUCUAAACUAUUUUAAUUUAACGAAGCAAACUAUUUCAACAUAUUGAUUUUUAAUUUUUGAAUCAUCGAGUGUAUGAUAAUGAAUCUAAUUAACAAAUUAUUAAUAUGAGAAUUAAAAAAAUAUAUGGUUUUCAUAGUAUUUUAUUAUUUUUGUAUGUAUUUAUUUCAUCCGGUUCGACCCUAAUUGAACCUUUUGACCCUUGACCCUUCACCUUUUUCGAGUUGAUGACUUGGUCGAUUUUCAAAACAUUGGUUAAAGCAAAUUGGUAGGAAAAAAAGAGAAGCAAACUUAGGUUCUAAUAGUUGAAAAUCUGAUUGGGAAGCGGAGAUUUAUAGUAGAUGUUUUACAGAGAAAUUAUAGAUAAUUUUUAAAGAAUUAGUAAAGUUAGAGUUUUGGUAAUAUGGGGUAAGGGAGAGAGUCGCCAGAGAGUGAGAGAAAAUGUUAAAUCUGUUAUAAUUUUGUUGAAAUACAAAAACAAAAUUUCCCAGAAGUUGGGGAUCAAGUGACCCCAUCCCUCCACCUGUGAACACAAUAAGCCCAUGUUUGUCUACCAUUCUUCAAUUUUUUUUGUAAUACUCAUUUUCAACCACAUAUUCUUCUAAAAAAAAUUCCAAAAAUUAUUUUCUCAAAAAAAAGAAAAAAAAAGAAAAGAAAGAAAAGCCUCUUUUUAGUGGGCUACAAACGAAGUCAAGUGUACAAGGAAAAUGCAACCAUAAAUGAUAUUUAGUUCCCAUCUAACCCAUUUUCUAAAUUGUAUUUUUUCUCAAACUAAUUUUUAAUCAUACAUUUCAUGAAAUCUACAAUUUUUUAUUAACUUUUCAACCAAAUAUUUCAUUUGCAUAAAAUUUAUUAAAAAUUUGAUUUUUAGCUAAAACAAACAUAGGCUUAGUGACUUGCAAAUCAAUUAAGCCUUCAUUUGGCAAUUAAUUUCUCAAUCAUUUAUAAAUUCAGUCAAAUAUUAAUUAGUUUCAUUCACGCAUUCAUAACUAUCUCAUUUGUUAUUGACAAUUCGUUGGAUCCACUACUAUUCAUCUUUAUGAACUAUAUAUAGAUUUGCCAAACAGAGGCUGAAUUAAUCCCUAUAAUUAUGUAUCAUAACAAAUUUUGUUGUUAAUCAUAUUUUUCAAUAAAAUUGGAAGUACUAAUGACUUAUCUAGUACUCAUUUUUAUCGUUUAUAUAUUUUUGCCAAAUGGAAAUCUUCAACUCAUGUUGACGAUGAUGUGCGAAUAAGCAUCCCAUAGGAUAAUUCCCUCAAAACACCCAAUAGUUUGCUAUAAAUUUGGAAAACAUGGCACAUAAGUGCACGAAAGAACUUAAAUUUUGGACAUAAAACAAAGAAGUUAUGAGGUUUUGAAGUUUUUGAGUUUUUACAUUCUAAUUGGUAAAAUCUGAAACCUCAUUACAUGAUAACUUCUUUAUAUCAUGUUUCUCAUUUGGUAUGGUCUUCUCGAGAUCUUUCUAAUUGUAUAAAGGUCAUUAAUUUUGACAUUGAAAUGAAGAAGUUAUGCCAUCUCGAAAUUUAGAUGAAAGUCUAUUUUAUUUUUUUUGUAUGAAAAUUGGUAAAAUUCAAAAUUUCAUCACAUGAUAACUUCUUCUACACUACAUUUCACGAUUCUCAUUUUGUAUGGUUGGAUAGAUCUCGAGACAUUUUCAAAGGUAUAAAUAUCAUUAAUUUUGGCCUUGACUUAAAAAAGUUAUGACCUUUUGAAGUUUGAUAAAAAAAUCUGAAAAUUUUACAAAUUGGUCUUUGAAUUAUUCUUGAUUUUUUUAUAUAAUUAAAUUAAGGGAAAAUUGUAGCAGCCGUACCUAAUCUUUUCAUUUUUUGUAGACUUUAACCAAACAUUCAAUUUGUGUCAGUGGAGGUCCCUAACCUUUCAGAAAUAUUCAUCUGGAUUCCAAAUGAAUAGAUUCGUCCGUUUGACCAUUAGUUGACCAAGGAAGCCAAAAUUAAAUAAUUUUUGACCAAAUUAGAAAGGGUAAAAUGAUAAGUUUGCAUUUUUCUUACGUUUAAAUAAAUUAAAAAUAAAAUAGAAUAAUCAAAAAUAAAAUAAAAAUAAAAAAUCAUUAUCUUCUAACCUUACCAUAUCCCAAACCCCACUCCUACUCUUACACCUAUUCCUAGCCCUUUGCCAAAACGAAAACCCUGCAACACUUUGCCACCCACAGCAAGUCGUCGUCGCCAUCAAAUCCACAUCCACCACCAUUAACUCAAUCAAAGCCAAAAACUCAUCCAACAACUAGCGGUACCAUCGACCUAAACUGUCACCAAAACCAAAACCGAUACCAAAACAAACAGAGCCACCCGCUAUCGCCACUGCCACAUUGGAACAGAGCCAUCUGCAAUGUUUGGGGUUUGUGCAUCUAAAAAUCUUGCAUUUUCACAUCAUCAACUCAACAACUCACGGUCUGGUUCAAAAAAUCCUUUUUUUUGUAACCCAAAAUAUUAACAGGUAGAUUAAGGGAAAACAAUACAGACUAGGUCCCAACCAUUCUUCAAAAUUUAUCAAGUUUUCACAACUCAUUUGGUAACGAUAAAAACACUUCGAAAACCACAAAUUAUUUUCUUCAAAUUAGCAGUAAAUUCUCCGGUUUUAGGUCCCUCUUCCCCACAUCUCCAGUUGAAUCGCCAAAAUAUUAUGCUGAUUUUGGAAUUAAGACUCCAAAUCUCCGAUUUCAAGUCCAAAUUCAGAAAUAAAUGGAACUUUGGCCGGCGUUAAUGGAGUGGGAUGGGAGAGCUUUGGUCCGCGGUGCCACUGCCUUUUGUGUUUGAUUUUGGAAUAGGGGGUUUUGGGGUUCUGGGUUUGGUUUUUUGAUUUUUUUACUAUUAAAUGAUUUAAUUUAUUUUAAUGUAAGAAAAAUGCAAACUUACCAUUUUAUCCUUUUUAAUUUUGUCAAAAAUCAUUUAAUCUUGACUUCCUUGGUCACCAAACGGUCAAAUAGACGGAAUUCAUCCAUUUGGGCUCCAGAUGCAUAUUUUUGAAAGGUUAAGGACUUCCGCUAGUACAAAUUAAAGGUUAAGGUAAAGUCUGCAAAAAAUUAAAAUGUUAGGAACCGUUGUUGCAAUUUUCUCUUUAAUUAAUUUUUGGAUAGUUAAAAAUAAUUUAUUAUUAUUUUUUUUUGUAUUUACUGCUUACAAUUAAUUUGUAAAAAAUUUAAAACUAGAUUAAAUUGUAAUUUUUUUUUAUAAAAUCAAGAAUAUUUAUUAAGUGGUAUUUGACUAGUGAAAGUUAUUUUUUGAAGUGCUCCCAUUUUUUGGAAAUUGAAAAAUAUUUGAGAAUAUUUAAAUAUCACGUUUUAUAUAUGUUUAUGAGUUGUGUGGGUCUUUGAUUGGGUUAUGUGAUCUAUUAUAAAUUUUUCAAAUUUUUGUAUCAGAUAUGAUUGGAUCUGUGCACACUUAAAGCAUCUAUAAAGGGAAUGCUAGAAAAGCAAAAGCUAUGGAACAUGUUGAAAAGCUACAUGCUUAUUAAAAUUAAUAAAUGGAUUUAGAACUUAAUCUAAUUGGACAUGUAAUAUUUUGGGGAUAUUUUUUAUGAUAAUGAAAAUAUAAGAAUUUUGAUGUCACUUCUCAUUUGUCGAUAUUGUAUUGCAGCAAAUAUUAAAGUGGGUUUGAGUAUCUAUUUAAUAAAACUCAAAUACAUUAUCCAUUAUGGUUUGUGAAAUAUUGAUUGUCCAAUAUGUUUAGCAACAACUCAACACUGAUAACGAACUUCACUACAAUUUUCUUCUAAAUAGAUCUAUGUGCUAAGUGUAGUAAAAUUAGUGCAAGGAGGAGUAACAUAUUGGAAUUAUUUGUUGUUUGGCCAACAAGUUCAUGUUUGUCAAAGAUUUCACAUAAUGACAAUUAAGGUGAGUAGUUCCUAUUCCUUUUUACCAUGCCAUCUUGUUUGGCAAUAUUUACAAAUUACUUUACAUUCUUGGACUCCGUCGACUACUCGGCCCGUUGAAUCAAUUUGAAGUGUUCCCAACACUUUGCAAUUUUUAAGACUUUCGCUUACCUCUUACAUUUAGUAUUUUGAGUUUCGGCUCCGCUGCUACGUAUCAUCCAAAUUAAUUGGAUGACUACUCUUGUGAACAUCGUCAACGUCUAAAUCGUCAGGAAUUGGGAUGUUAUUGAGACUGAAAAAUUCAUUAUGUAAUUGAGAUUGUGGCAUCAAAAGUGCAUUGCCAUUGAACAAGCCCGAACAUAAGAAUUGUGAUCCAUUUGUAUGAAAUAAAAUUGGAGUGUACAAAGAUGAAAUCGAAUUAUAUUAGUAUUAGAUAAUGGAAUAUAAUUGGAUGAAUUGUAAAAUUGAGUUAAAUUGAGAAAAUAGAAGAACAAGAAAUGUAAUAGAUGAAUUAAAUAGGUUGAUAAUUGAAUGAUGUAACAACUAAUGAGGAAUUGAAUUGAGAUUUGAGACUGAAUAAUUAGAUUGUGAAAUGUAGAAGAUAGAUAUUGAGAAUUGGUGAUAAAAUUGGAUUGAAAUGAGGAGUACUUAUUGAGUUUUAAAAAAAUUGUAAUCAUUGCAAAACGGUUUCAAAACUUUAUGAAAGUUGGUUACUGUUUUUGGGAGAGCCCACUAGCGGCUCUGCCCAUCAUUUCAAAUGAAUGCUCGGCUCAAGUCCAGGCUUGUCAUCAAACGAGACCAAGCUGUCUAUGGGCCUAGUUGCUUGGGUCAUUUGCCACCCUUAAAAGAGGCAUAACACUAACUAACAUAAUGACAUUUCAAGUAUUCCUGGAUAAUUGUUUUUGGACUUCUCCUUCAACAAUUGAAAUGAGGGUGGAAAAAGUUGCAUGGAAUCCUAUCUCAAUUUCAUUCUUUCCUUCAAUUGAGAUUUCUUGUGGGAACUAGAAAUGAAAUAUAUGCACCUUUAGUUGACAUAUUACCUCUUUGCCUUUAAGAACAGAACGAAUUCAUUUUGUAAUUCAAACCUAUUAUAUCACUUGUCUUUUGAUUUCAUUAAUAUUAUUUUAAUAAUUGUCUUAAUAUGGAUGGUCAUCGUUUUCUAUAAAAAUAAAUAAUCUUAAUACAGAUGGUCAUCAUUUUCUUUAAAAAUGACAACCCUAUUAGGCAAAUGUCUAACUUCAAUCAACUUGUCCUUAGAAUAAAAUGAAUUAGUAGUCCAUGAUUACAAGUUUAGCAUACCGCAUCUGUGAAUACUUUCACUCUCAUCAGUCAACGGUUAAAAAAGUGUCAUGAAUUUCGUCCUUCCCUUCAAUUGAGAUUUCUUGGGUGAGAAAUGGAAUCUUGGCAUCUUUGGUUGAUGUAUUUUCAACUUGACCUUUAAGAACAAUACAAAAUAAUUGGAAAUGCAAUAAUACUAAACUACUACUUCUACAUACGGAAUACAACUAUCAUUUUCUUUGAAAAAUAAAAAGUUCAUGAUAUUGACUAUUUUACAUGUAAUAGUUGUUGUUUCAUGGAUAUUUGAAAAUAAUUAAGAAAAUAUAAAAUAGAAUUGAUCUUGAUCUACGUCUGAAACACUGACCACACAACCCAUUUCCCAUGUCCGUGGAGAAAUCUAUAAAUAGGGGUCGGGGGCUUUUCAUUUGAAAGGUUCUCAAAUUAUCUCAAGGCAGGAACAUUCAUAUAUAUAGCAUUUUUAAUUAGUUUUGGAUAUAAAUUAUUUUCUUUCUUUAAUUUAAAUUUCUAAAUCUAGUUACAUUUAAAGUUAAGGGUGGUAGUGGACCCUAGCCAUUCACAUUAUAGGGCUGACUCAUUUGGGCUUGACCCAUGAGCAAAUUGAGCUCGUUGAGCAUGCCCAUGAUUUAACUAGUCGUUAAAAUUUUUAGCUACCUUUUAGCCCCUACUUGUCAUCCUUUAAAGCUUUAAAUUAUUUGCUACAAAAUCAUUUUCCACCAUAAAUUCACACAAUAAAAAAUUCUAAGCAAAAAUCAAUAAAGUUUCAUUACUUUUUAAUCACACAUUCUCCAAAAAAAAAUACUACUCAAUAACUCAAUAUUCUCAAAUAAAAAAUUAUCAAAUAGGCUCUAAUUAAGAUGCUACUUUUGCAUACUACGAUUGAAUUAAUCAUACAAAGUAUGAAUGGCAUAUUAAAAUUGAAAUUUUUUAUUUUGUAAUUAAUUUUAUGUUUUUUGUACUUCUCUUUAAACUAUUUUUCCACUUCAAAUCGUUUCAGAAAUAAUCUCGAUGACAUUCCAGAAUUUUCGGUGAUGUUAUUUGAACUUCUGGAAGCGUUCAUCCUCUCCGUCCCUAGUCUCUUGUUUGCUUAUUUUGCUUGAUUUUUCCAAGAAUGUGACGGCUCAGUUUUGCAUUCAAUAAAAAUAAUAAUAAUAAUAAAUAAAUAAAAAUUCUAAAAAUUUGAUUUUUUCUUUGGCAGCAAUGAACAAAUUAAGAAACAUAGUUUUUUCCAAGUGCAAUGCACGUUAAAUUUAUUUGCAAUUAAUGUACAUAGCCAUAUUAGUUUUAUAAAUAUUUAGUUGCAAAAAGCCAAGCUGUCUAAGAAAAGAUGAGAUAUUAAAAAAGUGAACUUCUGGACUUGUAGAUCAAGGUUUUGCUCAAAAUCAAAAAUAUAAAUAACUAACAAUUCACUACUAAUAAAUAAGUUUUUUACAAUUGAAUAUAGUAUAUGUAGCACUAAGCUGUUCGAAUUUAAUUUUGUGGUCACUCAAUAUUUUAUAGUCUUAAAAUCUAAACAUUUGCUCAUGCAAACAAGGUCUUGUUUGACUCACAUUCUUUCAGAAAAAUAUAUUUUUAAAUAUUGAUGUGACAUCAACUACACAUUUUUUAAUAAAAUAAUAUUAUACGCUAAUUCAAAUUUUNNNNNNNNNNNNNNNNNNNNNNNNNNNNNNNNNNNNNNNNNNNNNNNNNNNNNNNNNNNNNNNNNNNNNNNNNNNNNNNNNNNNNNNNNNNNNNNNNNNNNNNNNNNNNNNNNNNNNNNNNNNNNNNNNNNNNNNNNNNNNNNNNNNNNNNNNNNNNNNNNNNNNNNNNNNNNNNNNNNNNNNNNNNNNNNNNNNNNNNNNNNNNNNNNNNNNNNNNNNNNNNNNNNNNNNNNNNNNNNNNNNNNNNNNNNNNNNNNNNNNNNNNNNNNNNNNNNNNNNNNNNNNNNNNNNNNNNNNNNNNNNNNNNNNNNNNNNNNNNNNNNNNNNNNNNNNNNNNNNNNNNNNNNNNNNNNNNNNNNNNNNNNNNNNNNNNNNNNNNNNNNNNNNNNNNNNNNNNNNNNNNNNNNNNNNNNNNNNNNNNNNNNNNNNNNNNNNNNNNNNNNNNNNNNNNNNNNNNNNNNNNNNNNNNNNNNNNNNNNNNNNNNNNNNNNNNNNNNNNNNNNNNNNNNNNNNNNNNNNNNNNNNNNNNNNNNNNNNNNNNNNNNNNNNNNNNNNNNNNNNNNNNNNNNNNNNNNNNNNNNNNNNNNNNNNNNNNNNNNNNNNNNNNNNNNNNNNNNNNNNNNNNNNNNNNNNNNNNNNNNNNNNNNNNNNNNNNNNNNNNNNNNNNNNNNNNNNNNNNNNNNNNNNNNNNNNNNNNNNNNNNNNNNNNNNNNNNNNNNNNNNNNNNNNNNNNNNNNNNNNNNNNNNNNNNNNNNNNNNNNNNNNNNNNNNNNNNNNNNNNNNNNNNNNNNNNNNNNNNNNNNNNNNNNNNNNNNNNNNNNNNNNNNNNNNNNNNNNNNNNNNNNNNNNNNNNNNNNNNNNNNNNNNNNNNNNNNNNNNNNNNNNNNNNNNNNNNNNNNNNNNNNNNNNNNNNNNNNNNNNNNNNNNNNNNNNNNNNNNNNNNNNNNNNNNNNNNNNNNNNNNNNNNNNNNNNNNNNNNNNNNNNNNNNNNNNNNNNNNNNNNNNNNNNNNNNNNNNNNNNNNNNNNNNNNNNNNNNNNNNNNNNNNNNNNNNNNNNNNNNNNNNNNNNNNNNNNNNNNNNNNNNNNNNNNNNNNNNNNNNNNNNNNNNNNNNNNNNNNNNNNNNNNNNNNNNNNNNNNNNNNNNNNNNNNNNNNNNNNNNNNNNNNNNNNNNNNNNNNNNNNNNNNNNNNNNNNNNNNNNNNNNNNNNNNNNNNNNNNNNNNNNNNNNNNNNNNNNNNNNNNNNNNNNNNNNNNNNNNNNNNNNNNNNNNNNNNNNNNNNNNNNNNNNNNNNNNNNNNNNNNNNNNNNNNNNNNNNNNNNNNNNNNNNNNNNNNNNNNNNNNNNNNNNNNNNNNNNNNNNNNNNNNNNNNNNNNNNNNNNNNNNNNNNNNNNNNNNNNNNNNNNNNNNNNNNNNNNNNNNNNNNNNNNNNNNNNNNNNNNNNNNNNNNNNNNNNNNNNNNNNNNNNNNNNNNNNNNNNNNNNNNNNNNNNNNNNNNNNNNNNNNNNNNNNNNNNNNNNNNNNNNNNNNNNNNNNNNNNNNNNNNNNNNNNNNNNNNNNNNNNNNNNNNNNNNNNNNNNNNNNNNNNNNNNNNNNNNNNNNNNNNNNNNNNNNNNNNNNNNNNNNNNNNNNNNNNNNNNNNNNNNNNNNNNNNNNNNNNNNNNNNNNNNNNNNNNNNNNNNNNNNNNNNNNNNNNNNNNNNNNNNNNNNNNNNNNNNNNNNNNNNNNNNNNNNNNNNNNNNNNNNNNNNNNNNNNNNNNNNNNNNNNNNNNNNNNNNNNNNNNNNNNNNNNNNNNNNNNNNNNNNNNNNNNNNNNNNNNNNNNNNNNNNNNNNNNNNNNNNNNNNNNNNNNNNNNNNNNNNNNNNNNNNNNNNNNNNNNNNNNNNNNNNNNNNNNNNNNNNNNNNNNNNNNNNNNNNNNNNNNNNNNNNNNNNNNNNNNNNNNNNNNNNNNNNNNNNNNNNNNNNNNNNNNNNNNNNNNNNNNNNNNNNNNNNNNNNNNNNNNNNNNNNNNNNNNNNNNNNNNNNNNNNNNNNNNNNNNNNNNNNNNNNNNNNNNNNNNNNNNNNNNNNNNNNNNNNNNNNNNNNNNNNNNNNNNNNNNNNNNNNNNNNNNNNNNNNNNNNNNNNNNNNNNNNNNNNNNNNNNNNNNNNNNNNNNNNNNNNNNNNNNNNNNNNNNNNNNNNNNNNNNNNNNNNNNNNNNNNNNNNNNNNNNNNNNNNNNNNNNNNNNNNNNNNNNNNNNNNNNNNNNNNNNNNNNNNNNNNNNNNNNNNNNNNNNNNNNNNNNNNNNNNNNNNNNNNNNNNNNNNNNNNNNNNNNNNNNNNNNNNNNNNNNNNNNNNNNNNNNNNNNNNNNNNNNNNNNNNNNNNNNNNNNNNNNNNNNNNNNNNNNNNNNNNNNNNNNNNNNNNNNNNNNNNNNNNNNNNNNNNNNNNNNNNNNNNNNNNNNNNNNNNNNNNNNNNNNNNNNNNNNNNNNNNNNNNNNNNNNNNNNNNNNNNNNNNNNNNNNNNNNNNNNNNNNNNNNNNNNNNNNNNNNNNNNNNNNNNNNNNNNNNNNNNNNNNNNNNNNNNNNNNNNNNNNNNNNNNNNNNNNNNNNNNNNNNNNNNNNNNNNNNNNNNNNNNNNNNNNNNNNNNNNNNNNNNNNNNNNNNNNNNNNNNNNNNNNNNNNNNNNNNNNNNNNNNNNNNNNNNNNNNNNNNNNNNNNNNNNNNNNNNNNNNNNNNNNNNNNNNNNNNNNNNNNNNNNNNNNNNNNNNNNNNNNNNNNNNNNNNNNNNNNNNNNNNNNNNNNNNNNNNNNNNNNNNNNNNNNNNNNNNNNNNNNNNNNNNNNNNNNNNNNNNNNNNNNNNNNNNNNNNNNNNNNNNNNNNNNNNNNNNNNNNNNNNNNNNNNNNNNNNNNNNNNNNNNNNNNNNNNNNNNNNNNNNNNNNNNNNNNNNNNNNNNNNNNNNNNNNNNNNNNNNNNNNNNNNNNNNNNNNNNNNNNNNNNNNNNNNNNNNNNNNNNNNNNNNNNNNNNNNNNNNNNNNNNNNNNNNNNNNNNNNNNNNNNNNNNNNNNNNNNNNNNNNNNNNNNNNNNNNNNNNNNNNNNNNNNNNNNNNNNNNNNNNNNNNNNNNNNNNNNNNNNNNNNNNNNNNNNNNNNNNNNNNNNNNNNNNNNNNNNNNNNNNNNNNNNNNNNNNNNNNNNNNNNNNNNNNNNNNNNNNNNNNNNNNNNNNNNNNNNNNNNNNNNNNNNNNNNNNNNNNNNNNNNNNNNNNNNNNNNNNNNNNNNNNNNNNNNNNNNNNNNNNNNNNNNNNNNNNNNNNNNNNNNNNNNNNNNNNNNNNNNNNNNNNNNNNNNNNNNNNNNNNNNNNNNNNNNNNNNNNNNNNNNNNNNNNNNNNNNNNNNNNNNNNNNNNNNNNNNNNNNNNNNNNNNNNNNNNNNNNNNNNNNNNNNNNNNNNNNNNNNNNNNNNNNNNNNNNNNNNNNNNNNNNNNNNNNNNNNNNNNNNNNNNNNNNNNNNNNNNNNNNNNNNNNNNNNNNNNNNNNNNNNNNNNNNNNNNNNNNNNNNNNNNNNNNNNNNNNNNNNNNNNNNNNNNNNNNNNNNNNNNNNNNNNNNNNNNNNNNNNNNNNNNNNNNNNNNNNNNNNNNNNNNNNNNNNNNNNNNNNNNNNNNNNNNNNNNNNNNNNNNNNNNNNNNNNNNNNNNNNNNNNNNNNNNNNNNNNNNNNNNNNNNNNNNNNNNNNNNNNNNNNNNNNNNNNNNNNNNNNNNNNNNNNNNNNNNNNNNNNNNNNNNNNNNNNNNNNNNNNNNNNNNNNNNNNNNNNNNNNNNNNNNNNNNNNNNNNNNNNNNNNNNNNNNNNNNNNNNNNNNNNNNNNNNNNNNNNNNNNNNNNNNNNNNNNNNNNNNNNNNNNNNNNNNNNNNNNNNNNNNNNNNNNNNNNNNNNNNNNNNNNNNNNNNNNNNNNNNNNNNNNNNNNNNNNNNNNNNNNNNNNNNNNNNNNNNNNNNNNNNNNNNNNNNNNNNNNNNNNNNNNNNNNNNNNNNNNNNNNNNNNNNNNNNNNNNNNNNNNNNNNNNNNNNNNNNNNNNNNNNNNNNNNNNNNNNNNNNNNNNNNNNNNNNNNNNNNNNNNNNNNNNNNNNNNNNNNNNNNNNNNNNNNNNNNNNNNNNNNNNNNNNNNNNNNNNNNNNNNNNNNNNNNNNNNNNNNNNNNNNNNNNNNNNNNNNNNNNNNNNNNNNNNNNNNNNNNNNNNNNNNNNNNNNNNNNNNNNNNNNNNNNNNNNNNNNNNNNNNNNNNNNNNNNNNNNNNNNNNNNNNNNNNNNNNNNNNNNNNNNNNNNNNNNNNNNNNNNNNNNNNNNNNNNNNNNNNNNNNNNNNNNNNNNNNNNNNNNNNNNNNNNNNNNNNNNNNNNNNNNNNNNNNNNNNNNNNNNNNNNNNNNNNNNNNNNNNNNNNNNNNNNNNNNNNNNNNNNNNNNNNNNNNNNNNNNNNNNNNNNNNNNNNNNNNNNNNNNNNNNNNNNNNNNNNNNNNNNNNNNNNNNNNNNNNNNNNNNNNNNNNNNNNNNNNNNNNNNNNNNNNNNNNNNNNNNNNNNNNNNNNNNNNNNNNNNNNNNNNNNNNNNNNNNNNNNNNNNNNNNNNNNNNNNNNNNNNNNNNNNNNNNNNNNNNNNNNNNNNNNNNNNNNNNNNNNNNNNNNNNNNNNNAAAAAUAAUAAUAAUAAUAAAUAAAUAAAAAUUCUAAAAAUUUGAUUUUUUCUUUGGCAGCAAUGAACAAAUUAAGAAACAUAGUUUUUUCCAAGUGCAAUGCACGUUAAAUUUAUUUGCAAUUAAUGUACAUAGCCAUAUUAGUUUUAUAAAUAUUUAGUUGCAAAAAGCCAAGCUGUCUAAGAAAAGAUGAGAUAUUAAAAAAGUGAACUUCUGGACUUGUAGAUCAAGGUUUUGCUCAAAAUCAAAAAUAUAAAUAACUAACAAUUCACUACUAAUAAAUAAGUUUUUUACAAUUGAAUAUAGUAUAUGUAGCACUAAGCUGUUCGAAUUUAAUUUUGUGGUCACUCAAUAUUUUAUAGUCUUAAAAUCUAAACAUUUGCUCAUGCAAACAAGGUCUUGUUUGACUCACAUUCUUUCAGAAAAAUAUAUUUUUAAAUAUUGAUGUGACAUCAACUACACAUUUUUUAAUAAAAUAAUAUUAUACGCUAAUUCAAAUUUUUUUUUUUUAAUUAUACAUUUUUCAUCUAUAUAUUAUUUAAAAAUAUAUUCUUAAAAAAAUAAUGUGGUUCAAUCAAGGGCUUAUUCAACAUUCAUGUCAAGAGCGCGUAGAACAUAUGCAAAUGUGAUUAGAUAGUGUAAAUUGUCUAUAAUUUGAAUUUCAAAUGGGUCAUGGUUAAAAAUUGUGUUUAGACUGAACAAGAAAUGAACAACAAACCUAUUGCUUUUGAGGUCCACGCCCAGGUUUGUAGGUACCCUCUUGCGCAGGUAGGUACACCUCCCAUUAUCUAUACCAUUCACCCCUACCGACCAUUAUCUUAAAGUCGCAUUAUUUUAAAGUCAUUAUGGAUGGUGAAGCCUCUUGCUUCCUUUCUGCAAACAUUUCUCUUUUUGUUCAAAAGGCAGAAGCAACUACCCUAGAAUCUUAGAACUCAUAAGAGAUAACCAUUUGAGAUAACCAUUUGGCCCAAUUUGGCCCCUUCUUUUUUAAAUGAAAAUGUGUGGAAUACUUUUUUUAAAAAAGAUUAGUGGUUGAAAAAGAAUGAUAAAUUUCUUAUUUACAUAUAAUAUUAUUUUAUAGAAGAUUGUGUGGUUGAAAAUAAGAGAGAAAAAAAUAGAAUCUAACGAAUUUAAUGUAAUAAGAUUCAAACGAUAACAAAAUGGAGGAAAUAGAUUACCCAAGAUGGGGAGAAAAAAGAGACAAGUUACACUAUCAAAGUAUAGUUUAUUCUCACCAGUCAAUUUUUCAAAUGAGAUUAUUGAAACCCAAUAUUAAUAAGCAUUGCUAGAGCUAGGUCAUAUGUUCGAAUUUUAAUUUAAAUCAAAGCCACCAGUUAAUUUUAAUCACAUAUACGGGACCAACAACUUUUAAAUCAUACAUUUAAUCAAAUUUUACUAAAAAAUUGAUUUUAAUCAUCAUCAAACAGAGACUAAGUGCCUAUUCACGAAUCCAACAGAAUAUAAUAAACUUGUAGAAAUCCAUGUUGAAUGGUAAAAUUGUUAUGCCUGCGAUUUUGCCCAUGUUUGUAACCCAUUAUUUGGAAAAUUAGAGAGUUUUGAAUAAUAUUUUUUUGAAGAAUAUGUGGUUAAAAAAAAAGAAAAUUUUAAAGGUGACAAAGAGCACUUGAUUUUUGCCUUUAUUUACAUCUUGGAAUAAGAAUUGUGAUUUCCAAAGUAGGAACAUCAUCACACUUUUUUAAACUUUUGCCGAAAUUUCCAGUACUUGCUUUGUUGAUACAAAAGCAUACGGAAUUAUAAGAAAGAGGGGGAGAGAGAGAGAGAGAGUUCACCUUUGCUUUGGCUUCAUUUUGCUGAAAGUUUCAACCUUUGGUUUGUGUUUAUUUUUCGAAAAAUUGAAACAUAUAUUCACUCUCAUUGAUCUCUGUCUCUUUCUCUGCUUGGCGUUUCGCCCAAACCAACAAUACUUGAUGGAUUUCUCUUACAAAAAAUCUGUCAUAUCUAAUCAAAAGCUCGAAUCUCAUUUCCCAUAUGCCAGAUUUAGCGCUUGAUGAAGGAAAAAUUGUUGGCUUUCAGUGGCUCGAACCCCACUCUUUAACUUUCCUCAAAUAUGUAGCAAAAUGGCAGUUUCGGUUAAAGAGGAUUAAUCAGUUGUUGGAGCAUCUUGAUGAUUCAACCUCAGAUUGCAUCUUAUAUGGAGUUAAUGAACAUUAUAACAACUUUUCAGAAAUCAUUGUUGUUGGGGACAGAAGCUCCAGUAAUACACGUUGUUUCCAAAUCGCAUUAUAAAGAAUGUGAUUUAAUUACAAUAUUGAAAUAUAUUACAUCACACCACGAAAACACAAAAUUGAAUUUGUAAAGAAAGAACACAAUGGGUAAAUGUAGAGGAACGAUGUUUAUUAAUUCAACAGUAUGGAGAAUAAAAGACAUACUAGCAAUACUGCUUCUAUGUUACUCUCUACAAACUGACCAGAGGAGUCUCGUAUUUAUAGGUCAACCUUAGAAGAGUCCUAAAAGGCAAGAAAAUAUACUACAAUUAGGAAACCCAAUUUCAACAGGAUUUUGUUUUCUUAUUCAACUUAGUUUCCUUAAACCCUAGGUUAAUAUUUUUCUAGUCCAAGUCGAAUACGCCUCUUCAAAAGACUCGAAUUUGAGUCAUACUCCUAACAAUCUCCACCUUGACUCGAAUUCCAGUGCUAUGAAUGAAACUCCUAGAUUUCAAAUUCAUCUACAUUGAAAUUAAUUGGCUGAAUUUAUGGUCUAACAUUCUUGCCAAUACAUUAUCUUCAUUUUGCUCCGGAUUGUAAUCUCUAAUGAAAAAUAUAGCUCAAAAUUUUGCCUAGACAAGAUAUGCCUUAUCUGCAAGAUGGAAGACCUGUUGAUAUGAUUUUCAACCCAUUAGGAGUACCUUUACGAAUGAAUGUAGGACAUAUAUUUGAAUGUUCACUCGGGUUAGCAAGGGGUCUGCUGGAUAGACAUUAUCGAAUAGCGCCUUUUGAUGAGAGAUAUGAACAAGAAGCUUCGAGAAAACUAGUGUUUUCUGAAUUUUUUGUGUCUUCCAGCUACUUUGUCGCCUACUUUAAUUUCGCGUUUCUGUGAAAUAUAUAUACGAAUCAUUUCUGGAUUAUAACUAGAACCCCCCUCCCUUUUCUGGAUCCACCUCACAUCAAUAACCCGGCCCCUACCACCAUCUCCUUAAUAUAUAACCACUCUAUAUAAACCAAACACUCGUCCUCUGUCCGUCGUCCACAACCGACACCCAAACUCAAUCCCCAGGGUUCCCAAUUCCACCAAGGAAUUAGUGUUGAUCACACAAGAUCGAAGCACACCCUGUAGCAAGAACCAAACCAGAUGCUUAAUCAGAAAGUUCUUUGCUGGAACUGUCGCCUUCAAGGUUCCUAGAAGCAUCCCAGACAUUGCUGACACCAUGGUACCUAUGCUCGAUGAGUUCUACCCAGCAAUUGAACACAGUAUACUCACUGAAAUUCGCGACAAGGCGGAAUCACCAAUGCUCUCCCUAGCAGUGUUUUAAAUUGACUCAGAGCCCAACACAAGAGGUACUGUACGAAACUAAACUUCCAACACGGUACUAAACUUGUCAAAAUGUCUCAUCUUAACUAGUUCUACACUCCCCUGCAAAAUGUACAACUCGGAUCUUUUACAUCCCUUCAGUACAACUCGGUCUCCCUUUCGGACCUUCAAAACUCCACCUCCUCCAGAGAAUUUAAACCCUUUUGCAUCUAGGGUACUUAGCGAAAUGAGAUUCCUUUCCAGGUCAGGAACAUGAACGAUCAAUUGCUCUAAAUAUUCCAUCUCGCAGCCUCAAUCUAACUCGACCAAUCCCAACAAUAUAACAAGAUUGGUCGUUUCCCAUUACAAUUCCAUCUUGCCAAAUAGCCUCAUAUGUCUGAAAUAAAUUCCUAUCGGAACACAUAUGGUACGAACAUACUGAAUUAAGAAUCCACUCCUCGUCGGGCCUAGAUUCCACAUCAGAUACCACGAUCAACAUCACCUCUUCGCCAUCUGAACAAUUCUCAACUACAUUGGUUUCAUCUGAAUUCAAAGGUUAAGCCCACGAUUUAUAGCUUAUCACCUUUAGCCUGCAACAUAUCGUAAUCCUUCCGAAUAUGUCCCUUCCUUUUACAGUAGUAAUAGGUCACAUUGCUAAAUCUAACUCUUGAUCUGCCUCUUCAUCGACCACCUUGAGAUACAAGAGUUUUUUCAUUCCUUGAUGUAGCUCCAACCAAAUGUUUCAUUUUCUCCUUUGAGUGCAAAACAUCAUAGACAUCUUCUAUAGUCAAAGUAUCUCAACUAUACAAGAUAGUAUCUAGGUAGAGAACACAACAGGAUCAAGCAAGAUCUAGGCAGAGAACACAACAGGAUCAAGCAAGAUCAUCUUCAUCGUACUUAACCUCCAACGUCUCCAGAUCUGCAACUAUUUCCUUGAACACGACAACAUGGUCUUUCAACGACUUUCCUUUCGCCAUGCGAUGUGAAUAGAGCUUUCUCUUGAGAGCUAGUUUACUUGUAAGACUCUUAGUCAUACACAACUGCUCCAACUUCAACCACAAAGCAGGCACUGUUUUCUCCUUCAAGACAUCCUGCAGAAUAUUGUUGGAUAGAUAAAGGUGAAUCAAUGAAACAGCCUUUCGAUCCUUCCGUUGUCCAACCAACUGGCAUCCUCUCAAUACCCAACAACGCAUCAUCCAAAUCCGAUUGAGCUAAAAUAACCCUCAUCUUUACUUGCCACAACGAGAAACUUGUAUUGCGAUCUAACAGCGGAACAUCAUAUUUCAACCUAGCCAUCUUGAAAGAAUCUCAACCAAUCCACAGAAAAUCAACAACCUCACUCUGAUACCACUUGUUGGGGGCGGAAGCUCCAAUAACACACGUUGAUUCCAAACUGAAUUAUAAAGAAUGAGAUUUAAUGACAAGAUUGAAGUAUACUAGAUCACACCACGAAAACAAAAAAUUGAAUUUGUAAAGAAAGAACACAAAGAGUAAACGCAGAGGAACGAUGUUUAUUAAUUUAAUAGUACGGAAAAUACAAGACUAACUAGCAAUACUGCUUCUAUGUCAUUCUCUACAAACUAACCAGAGGAGCCUCUUAUUUAUAGGUCAACCCUAGAAAUGUCCUAAAAGACAAGAAAAUAUACUACAGUUAGGAGGCCCAAUUUCAACAGGAUUUUGUUUCCAUAUUCAACUUAGUUUUCUUAAGCCCUAGGUUAAUAUUCUCCUAGUCUAAAUUGAAUACGCCUCUUCAAAAGACUCCUAUUUGAGUUAUAAAUCUAACAAUUUUAUCUUUUAUGCCACAGAUUAGAGAGUUCUUCAAAAGUCCAUACUCCCUGCAAUUGUUAGAUAGUGAUGAAGUUAUCGCUCCCAGCAAAAUCUACUUCCUUCUUGAAACUAUUGGAGAAUUGCUUAAUUGCGAAACGGAUACCAUUCUUAUGAGUAACCAAGUCAAAGUUAUUCUAAAAGAGUUCAAAUUUCUACUCUUUUUUUCUUCAGAUAUAAUGCUGUUGCGGAAGCUCUCUCAAAAGAUCUUCAAACGGUGGUUUUCCAGGCUCAGUCCAACGUACCUUUCUCUACCAACAACCAAUCCAAACGGCUCCAAACCACAACCAAUUGAUUCACCUUGGUUGCUAUUCAAUCUUACGCACGUAGGACAAGAAAGGAUGAUGAUUUAUCGCCACAAAGGCUAAGAGAAGACACCACAAAGGUAUACUAUGAAAGAACCACCAAUUGCACACGUUAUACGAGCGUUUUGGACACUUCUGGACACCCUUUUUCUCACACAAAAGGGGACAGCCGGGAUUCUCUUGUUUCUUCUCUCAAAAUCAUUCAAUCAUCAUGUCAAAGAGGCUAGGGUUAUAUUCAUAUAUAUACUCUAGGGUUAGGCUUUAAGUUGGGCCAUUAAAGGGGUAAACGGGCCAAGAUUCAAGCCAUCCAUAAGGAAUACAANNNNNNNNNNNNNNNNNNNNNNNNNNNNNNNNNNNNNNNNNNNNNNNNNNNNNNNNNNNNNNNNNNNNNNNNNNNNNNNNNNNNNNNNNNNNNNNNNNNNNNNNNNNNNNNNNNNNNNNNNNNNNNNNNNNNNNNNNNNNNNNNNNNNNNNNNNNNNNNNNNNNNNNNNNNNNNNNNNNNNNNNNNNNNNNNNNNNNNNNNNNNNNNNNNNNNNNNNNNNNNNNNNNNNNNNNNNNNNNNNNNUCAAGAGCAAAUACACAUGCGAUGACGAUAUACUAUAGGAUAACACACACAUAUCUUUUCAGAAACAUGUUCACAUAGAACCAUAGAUUAACACCAAGUCAAUCAAACCACGGUCAACCACAUAUGCAACACAUGCAUAAAUGACCCUAAGAAAAGAUCUCACCACACUUAUCCUAUCCCAUUCCGUGUUGCUCACACCUCGAGAACACAUAUCUCCUCUCAUCGCCCACCACGCUCACUAGACAGAUCACUCAAUUCAUGUCUAACUGGUGAGUCACAAUAGAUCCUAAGUUCACGGGAUAAUCCUCUAUCUCCACAUCACUUCUCCCAACCUACGUAGAUAAUUGGUCUCCACCUAACAGAAGUGAUAGAAGUGUCUCUCUCACACUCCACCUGAUCAGGGUCUCUUUCCAGAUAAAGGAUCCUAGACAUUUGAUCACAUCUCCACUCGUGAUCCAAAUGUCACACUCUACAUCCCUCGGUACAAACCACCAUGUACUCUUAGGCAUCUAUACUCCACCUCACCAAAAGACACACAAUACACUGCUAAUGCAUCCUAACCCACUAUGCAUGCAAGCAAUUACACCAAGUAAUCCUAAUGUCUCAAAUUCAUGCAAAUGCACAUAUCAAACACAUUGAAAUGUAGCAGAUAAUCAUGCAACAAAAUUUAGACAAUCACACACAUGCAGAAAGGAUCACACACAGAUGCAUAUGCAGUGACUAGGUUUAUACUCAAUAAACCUCACUGGGGUCAUAACUCGACCCCUCAACCAAAUUCGUCUCACCUCUUAUCUUUCCCUUCAGCUUAUCUUUCUUCUUAGGACAGUCCCUAAUAAAGUGUUCAGACUUACCACAACUGUAACACCUUUUACCACUAGACUUGUCUCGUUCCUUGCCCUUCUUCUUACUACCCUCAUCACUCGAGUCACUACUCGAAUCACUACCGUUUUGAGUUCUACCCAAAUUCAUUUGCUUAAACUUCAUCCUACUCCUCAUCAUAUGUAACUCGCCACUCCUCUUAUCCUCUUUUUCAGCCUUAAUCUCCAUCUCCUUACUCCUAAGUGUUAAGGUAUCCCUACCAUACUUAAUUGCAUUCUUAACUUCCCUAUAUGAAUCAGGCAUGGAAUUAAGCAGGAUAAUAGCCUUAUACGUUUCAGAUACCUCUUCAUCACAGUUAACGAUGUCUUGAACUAAUUUGUUAAAGACAUCCAGAUUAUCAUCAAGAUCCUUUGAAGGAUCCAUGUUAAAGCUGAAAAAUCGUUCAAGCAAGUACAAUUUAUUAGGAGUUGACUUAAGCAAAUAUAAGUCCUCCAACUUUUCCCAAAGUUGUUUUGUAGAAUCCAGUUUUCCUACUUUUCUCAAAACAGUAUCAGAUAGGUGUAAAAUAAUUGAAGUGUAUGCAAGUUCAUCAUACUCUUCUUUUUGUACUUCUGUUAAAUUUGCAGGAAACUUGCCAUCUAUGGCAUUUGAAACUUUUUGUUGGACCAAAAUACCCUUCAUCUUUUGUUGCCAAAUUGAAAAAUCCCCUUUCCCAUUAAAAAUUCCAACUUCAAAGCGUGAAGACAUUUUUAAAAAACUAGAACAACCAAAAGCACAGAUAGGUCACACAAAGUUAUCCUACGGCCGCAAUAUACACCGUUCUAGAUUCCCAGGGUUUCGUAAGAUUCACGAUCUUAGAUCAAGGGAAUGUUCGAAUGGGUUAAGUCCAGGUGUUCUAACAGAAAAAUCAAUGCAACACGAAGGUAUGUAAACAAAAGUUCGAAUUUCCACGCAACAAGCCUCACACAGUGACUAUAUGACAGGUAAAGCACAAAAUCAACUACCAACUUGCAAUCAAAACUCAACACUUCAAAAACAGAGCAAAUAAUUCCUAAAUUUUCUAGCACAAGCAAUGGUUGUCAAGCAAUGACAACCCCCAAUCCUAACGAUCACCCCACACGAUGAUCUGCUAAUGCUGAAAUUUAAAACUAAGUUAAGCCAAUAUACCAGAGCGGACUAUCUGAGUCCGUAAAUUAUGAGAGUUGCGAAUUUAUCACUUUAGGACCACCACUAUUCGUCCUAAAGUCUCUGGAAACUGCAGCAACCAAAAAAUCACGAUCGAGUCCCGAAUGCCCGAAGAACAACGCUGUCCAAAUUCUUCUGCGUACCCUGAAACAGAAAACUUUCAACACGAAAAAUGUUAAAAAUAAUAUAAGGAACAAACUGCCUGAAGAGACCGUCGCCAGAAAACAUCACACGCGCCCGCACGCGCCAAAUCAGUCCCUGCGUGUGGCCUCCACGCGCCGCCGCCGUUCACACGCGCCUGACCGUCUUGAUCACCACCGCCUGCACGUUACACCAGUGGUCUCUGUUUCCCCAAACUCGUUCUGGAUUGGUCAGAAAACACCAAAACAGAGACUGAUUUUUAACAGUUUUUUGAUCUGAUUUCUGCCACGUUUCUGCCGAUUUUUUGGACGAUUUCUGGUAGAUUUCACGAGUCAAAACCUUCACCUUGAAGCUCUGAUACCAAUUUGUUGCGGAAGCUCUCUCAAAAGAUCUUCAAACGGUGGUUUUCCAGGCUCAGUCCAACGUACCUUUCUCUACCAACAACCAAUCCAAACGGCUCCAAACCACAACCAAUUGAUUCACCUUGAUUGCUAUUCAAUCUUACCCACGUAGGACAAGAAAGGAUGAUGAUUUAUCGCCACAAAGGCUAAGAGAAGACACCACAAAGGUAUACUAUGAAAGAACCACCAAUUGCACACGUUAUACCAGCGUUUUGGACACUUCUGGACACCCUUUUUCUCACACAAAAGGGGACAGCCGGGAUUCUCUUGUUUCUUCUCUCAAAAUCACUCAAUCAUCAUGUCAAAGAGGCUAGGGUUAUAUUCAUAUAUAUACUCUAGGGUUAGGCUUUAAGUUGGGCCAAUAAAGGGGUAAACGGGCCAAGAUUCAAGCCAUCCAUAAGGAAUACAAUUGGGCUGGGUGUAGUUCAUGGACUUGGUUGUUGGACUUAUUUCAUUCAUCGGCCUAUGCCUAUGAAAUAAUAUUAACCCACGUUAAUAUCAUAGCCCGGGAUUUAUUGGGUAUCAAAAACCCAACAAAUGCGAUGUAGAAUCAGAGAAGUUGGCAAGCGUAUAGCUACAAUAACUUUUAUGAUGCAAGAAAAUCAAAAGGAUAAUAUAUUCACAGACGUUGAAGUUGUGUAUAACGAAGCGGGACUUUUCUUGCAUUCGUUCUUUUUCACUGUAGACCUCAUUACCAUGACCAAAAUGGAUCUGGCACUUUCUGUUCUAUUAGAAAGAAUUGAGAUUGUGAAAGUGAAGAUCAAAGACUACUUCAUCACAAACUCAAUGAAGAUGAAUUGUAGAAUUGAAGACUACAAGUUGCAGAAAGUCCCAGUGAAGUAUCAUCCCAAGAUAAAAGCAUUUCCGUGGUAGAUGAGAUGAUUGUGGGCUUAGAAGACAUGACACCACAAAUUACAAGCAGGCUUCUUGGAGGACGAGCUACUUAAGCUUUCGUAGUGUGUUGUUUCUCAAACUUACCAAAAGAGAAAGGGAUUGGUUGAUAUUUUGAUCUCUUUGAGUAACCUUAGCAACCACGAAAUUUCAGAAAUGAAAGAUGAAGAGUUAGCCAAAAAUCUUAACAAAUCCUUAAUCGGUAAAAGAUACCUCAUUGUUAUAGAUGAUCUAUGGGAUAUUCGUGCAUGGGAUGAUUUGAGAAGGUACUUUUCUAGAUGACAAAAUUAACGGAAGCAAAGUAUUGUUCACUAGUCGGCUGAAAAAUGUGGCAUCUGAAAUUUCACAUGUUAUCAUUGAACCUCUUCCCCUCUCAUCAAGUGAAAGUUGGACGUUAUUAGAGAAAAAUGUGUUCAAGAAAGAACGUUGCCCUCAAGAACUGCUAGCUAUCAGAAAGCAAAUUGCAAUAUAUUGUCGUGGACUACCGCUCUCAAUCGUCAUGAUAGCUGGAGUUCUUUUGAAUAUGGAGAAGAAAGAAAACUUAUGGCAAAAAGUUGCAGAAAAUUUAAGUUCUUACAUUUUCAAAAAAGACGAUGAAUACAUUCCUAUAUUGAAACUUAGUUACAUGCAUUUACCAAAUCACUUGAAGCCACGUUUCCUCUACCUUAGUGCAUACAAAGAAGAUGAGGAAAUUCCUGUUCGGAAGCUAUUACUACUAGGGAUAGCUAAAGGAUUCAUAGAGAAAAAGGAGCACAAGAGCUUAGAAGAUGUAGCUGAGGAGUAUCUAAUGGAACUUAUUAACAGGAGCCUACUGCAAGUUUCCAGAAGAAGAUUUGACAAUGGAGUGAAAGCUUGUAGUCUUCAUGAUCUAGUACUUGAUAUGUGCUGGAAAAUAGCUGAAGAAGAAAAUGACUUGUUAUUUUCUUUUAUUUAUUUACAUUUUAGGUCUUUCUCUACUACUGUAUUUUUCCGUAAUCAACCAUUAUAAGUAUUUCCAAGUUUGAAAUGAAAUUCGUUUGCUUUCAACUUUUUCGUCUAAUUUAUGGUUUUUGCAUAAUCUCCCACCUAAACUUAGGAAAAUAUUAAAAUCAGCACUACGUGUAAUGUGCUCGUUCUAGUAUUGUUUCAAAGGUAAAGUAAUUAUUACAUUACCUUAUUUCAGCAAUAUCCCAAAACAUAGGGCCCCUGUUUUCGUUCAAGUUUCAAAAUGAUAAUUUUUUUAUUUUUGACGAUUGUUUUGCACCUUUUUGAGAUACCAUGUGACAAUGUUCAACUCAAUCGAACUAGGCAAUACAAAGUGACUUUCCAGUCCAAGUAGUCGUAGAUUAGUAUAAUGCCAAGUAAUCUAUUUCUGAAACCUCGUUCAUUCUAUUGCUUUCCGAUCCAACGGAGAUUUUAAAAUGCUAGUUGGAAUGUGAGUUUUUAGCCAUUGCUUGACAUUUAUUUGCCUCAAAUUUUGACUGACUCCAUGUCUUAGUAACGGGAGACAACAUAAGAACUUUUUUGUUGAGUUCUUCAAAUUGAGUUGUCUUGCAUUUUUAAUAAUUCUUUAUUACCCACCAUUUGUUGCACAUCAGGAUUAAAAAAAAAGGGGGAAAGAAGAGAAGUCAUCUCUUCAAGUAUUCUGAAUUAUCUAACUCAAAUAGAACAUCUUUCAUGGCCAGCAAAAUUGACAGACGUCUUUCAAACAUAGAAGGACGAAGUUAUCAGCUUAAUUUGAAUACACAGGCUUUAAGCUGCCAAAUUCAUCUUUGCUCUUUGGGCAAUGUAGAACCAAAUUUAAGGUACAGAUCUCUCAAUUUAAAAGAAAUUGAUUAGAAAAACAAUAUGUAUAUUACAUUCUGCCGUAGUUUCAGGGGAAGUGUUGAAAAUCAAGAACCUUUUAACUUAUGAACAAGUUAUUAAUUGUUCUGAAUCAAAUAAGACUGCAAGCUAAGAGAGAAGAAAUAUAUUCUUCAACAAAGAAUAAGACUUGGACCCUUGUGAAUAGACCUGAGAAAACAAAGUUUUUUUCCUGCAAAUGAAAGAAAAGAUAUCAUAAAUGAUAAAUCAUUGCUGACAAACAGCACAAUGAAAGCAGGAAUGCAAUCAGCCUAGUAAACAAGAAAUUGCAGCCAGUUUGUGGGCUACUUGUUCGCUAAAUGGUUUAACAAUACAAGAAUAUAGUACCUAAACAGACAAAUUAGAUCAAAGAUAUAAAGCCACCAAAUUGUUCUAGCAUAGUAAGUCUCAUUUAGGUUCGAUUUACAAAAUACAAGAAUAUAGUACCUAAAAAAAUAAAGCAAAAUAUGAAGGUAGGAUAGACGUUGUUGAUACACGUCAAGAAGGAAACAUCAAAAUUUAUCCUCAUACAUUUGACUUAGUCAAUUUCGAGAAGAACGACUCCUUGGAUUUGUUUUUGACCGUGUUGAAGGAAAUAACGCGAAAUGUUAAGGACCUUAUUGCUGAUAGUAUAAUAAAGGGUCUUAAAGAUGUCUAUCCUGAUGCACAUCAUGGCAACUAAAUUUACCAUAUACAAAGCAACAUAAAUUGCCUCUCGACUUCUCCUUCAACAAGUUCAAUGGAUUCCUUUAUGAGGGUGAAAAAGUUUCAUGGAUUCCUCCUGAAUUUCUUUCUUUCCUUCAACUGAGAUUUCUUGCCGGAACUACAAAUUGAAUAUAAGCAUCUUUAGUUGGUAUAUUACCACUUUGCCUUUAAGAACAAAACAAAUUCAUUUGAUGUCUUAAAUGGAUUGUCAUCAUUUUCGACUAGAGUAAAUUUUCUUAAUAUGGAUGGUCAUCAUUUUCGACUAGAAUAAAUUUUCUUAAUAUGGAUGAUCAUCAUUUUCUUUACAAAUGCCAACUCGAUUAGGUAAGUGCCUAGAUUCAAUUAACUUGCCAUUAGAAUAAAACGAAUUAGUUAAUGUUCAGGAUUACAAUUUCAGCACACUGCAUUUGUGAAUGCGUUCACUUUCAUCAGUCACCAGGUAAAAAAUGCCUCCACUGCACUAGAUUCGUGUCUCUACCACUACUGUCGACCAGAAUUAAUGUGAAGUAUUUAUUGGGCAAUGGAGAAAAAAGUUUUAUGAAUUUCUUUCUUCCUUCAAUUGAGAAUUCAUGAGGAAACUAGAAAUGGACUACAAGUAGGGUUGGCAACGGUUCGAUUCGGUUCAGCCAAAAUCAUCGUCGAACCACCAAUUUUUUGGCUAUACUGUAACCGCACGAUAACCACGUAAGUCGGUUUGGCUCAGUUGGGGUGGUUAAUAACUGUGAAAAUAAAUUAUUUUUCAUGGGUCAAAAUUGAAAAAAACAAUUUAUGAAAAAAAGUCACACAUGAUGGUUAUCAAUUGAUAGUCGAGUAAAUUAUAUUGGAUCACUUCAAACAAUUUAUGCUACUAUAUUGUUUAGAUUAUUGGAUUUGGUUUACAUCCCAAGGGUUCAUUUGAAGUGCAAAGUCUCCCUCUUAAUGAGAGGAUUCUCAAUUUCUCUGGGUUUUUAGUUAGGACCAAGCUACUUGUACCUCGACAUUGACAUGCCAGGGUACACGCCCCCUCACAAUAGGGGAUCCCAUGCCUUUUCCAACGACAACCCCUUUUGCUGUGAGGGACGUGCACCCUGAUGUGUCAACACCUGAGUACAAAUGGAAAAAUCCUUUUUGUUAAGAGGAUGAGAGAAAAAUGUAACAUUGCAGUCAUAACUUUGUAUUGUUGAAGACAAUACUUUUAAUUGCGUUGUUGAUCACUUACCAUACCAAAAUUGUACAAAGGACCAAUAGAGGGUACAUCUGUAAGAAGAUAAGAAGAUGGCAAUUUAUGAUACCAAGAGUGAUAUUUAGGUUACUGAUGACAAAAUCAAGAAAGGCAAAGACUGUGUAUACUUAAUUUCAAGCUAAUCCAAAUGCCUAAAACUAAUCAAAUAAUCAAAUUUACCGUAAGUGAAUAAGUUUUUUGAAACUGAAAUUGUUGAUUGAGUGAGUUGAUAACCAUCAUGUGUAACUACAAAGGAAGAAAAAAGGCCCAUGUAGAGUUUGCAAAAUUAAAUAUUUUUUUAUACAUGUUUUGUAUUGGAUUACUAUUUAGAUGGAAAAAAAUAAAUUUAACAGCUAAUCGGUUCAAUUCGGGAUGACGGUGUAAAUACCAUAACCGCACUGCCCCAAACCGGGUCAUUAAAAUCAAAUACCAUAUCCGCCCCAUUGCACCAUUUUCUUUAAAAAUGCCAAAUCGAUUAGGUAAAUGUCUAUCUUCUACCAACUUGAUCCUAAACAAAAAUGAAUUAGUUGUCCACAGUUACAAUUUCAGCAUAUGCCGCAUUUGUGAAUAUAUACGUUCACUAUUCUCAUCAAUCACUAGUUAAAAAAUGCAUCCACUGAACUAGAUUUGUGGCUCCACCAAUACCGUCGCCGUAAUUAAUGUAAAGUGUCAUGGGCAAAGUGAAAAAAGUUUCAUGAAUUUCUUUCUUCCUAUCAAUUGAGAUUUCUUGUAGGAAUUGGAAAUCGAAUACAAGCAUCUUUGAUUGAUAUAUUCCUACUUGGCCUUUAAGAACAAAACAAAAGAAUUGGACUUGUAAUAAUACUAACCUACUAGACCACUUGUGCUUUGAUUCCAUUACUUAAUUAAAUUAUCCUAAUAUGGCCGGUCGUCAUUUUUUCGAAAAUGCCAACUUGAUUAGUUAAAGGUCUAUUUUCAACCAAUUUUCCCUUAAAAUAAAAUGAAUUGAGACACCAAUUGUAAUUAGAGAUGUGCUAGUUGUCCAUGAUUACAAUUUCUAUGAAUAUACGCAACCCAACAAUACUUGAUGGACCACUUUGACUUGAUUUCUCUCAUAGACGAAAUGAAAAUACAAAAGACAAAACAAAAUGUCUAACUUUAUUUUAGAAACAGGAAAAGAAAUCAAGGUCAUAUAUUAUGAGUAAUUUCUAUUAAACCUAAAUUGUUUAUAUGCAUCAUUAAAACAAAAUUUUACCCUUUAAUACUUGCCCACUAAUAAAUUAUAUCUAGUUAUAGAGCACUCAGGCCUCCAAGGCAUAAUUAUUAAACACAACCCGAAUCGGUCGCCGGUUAAUCAGGUUGAAAUUUUUUAUUUUUUAAUUAAGUUUUGUAUUCAGUCAAAAAAGAAAUCUAAUAAUUUGAUUUUUCCUUUGGCAACGAUGAACAAGUUAAGAAACUUAGUUUUUACCAAGCAAAAGCCACAUGGCGCCCCUGUUUUUUAACCUGGCUCUAAAGCAGUGUUCAUAAACCUUUGCUCUGGCUUUAUUGCUGCUUAAAGUUUCAACCUUUGCUUUGUGUGUAUUUUUUGAAUUCACUGUCAUUAAUCACUCACUCUCUCUCUCUUUCUCUCUCUGCUUAGCGUUUCACCCAUACCAAUACUUGAUGGAUUUCUCUUACAAAAAUCUGUCAUAUCUAAUCAAAAGCCCAAAUCUCCUUUUCCAUAUGCAAGAUUUGGAGCUUGAUGAAGGAAAAAUUGUCAGCUUUCAGUGGCUUGGACCACACUUUUUAACUUUCCUCAAAUAUGUAGCAAAAUGGCGGUUUCGGUUCCAGAGGAUUAUUGAGCUGUUGGGGAAUCUUGAUAAUUCAGCCUUAGAUUGCAUCAUAUAUGGAGAGAAUGAACAUUACAAAAACUUUUUAGAAAUCAUAUUCUCUUUCAUGCCACGGACUGUAGAGUUCUUCACAAGUCCAUACCUGCAGCAAUGGUUAGAAAGUGGUGGAAUUACCGCUCCCACCAAAAUCUAUUUCCUUCUUGAAACUAUACGAGAAUUGCUUGAUUGCGGAACAGAUUCCUGUCUUCUUGUGAGUAAUCAAGUCAAAAUUCUUUUUGAGGAGCUACAAUUUCUGCGCCUCGUUUCUUCAGAUAUGAUGAGAUGUGCAAUGGGAGAACGGGUCGAGUCUAUGGGAUUAAGAAUUUUUAAGAUGUCAGAAAAUCAGAUAUUCAGAGAAUUUGAAGCUGUCUUUAUAGACGCGGGACUUUUCUUGCAUUCGUUCUUCUUCACCACAGACCGUGUUACCAUGACCAAAAUGGAUUUGGCAAUUUCUAUUCUGCUAGAAAGAAUUGAGAUUGUGAAAGUGAAGUUCAAAGAUUAUUGCAUUGCAGUCUCAAUGAAUAUGAAUUGUGGAAUUGGAAGCCUUCAAAUUGCAGAAAGUCCCAGUGAAGUAUCAUCAUCCCAUGACAAAAGCAUUCCCGUGGUAGAUGAGAUGAUUGUGGGCUUAGAGGACGUGGCAACAGAAAUUAUAAGCAAGCUUCUUGGAGGACCGAGCUACCGCCAGAUUAUUUCCAUAGUUGGAAUGGGUGGACUUGGCAAGACCACUUUAGCAAAGAAAAUAUACAAUGGUUCCAACGUUCGGUACUAUUUUGAUAAGCUUUCUUGGUGUGUUGUUUCUCAAACUUACCAAAAGAGAAAGCUGUUGGUUGACAUUUUGAGCUCCAUGAGUAACCUUAACAACCACAAAAUUUCAGAAAUGGAAGAUGAAGAGUUGGCUGAACACCUUUACAAAACUUUAAUCGGUAGAAGAUAUCUCAUUGUUAUAGAUGAUCUAUGGGAUAUCUGUGCCUGGGAUGACUUGAGAAGGUACUUUCCAGAUGACAAAAUUAACAGAAGCAGAGUAUUGUUCACUAGUCGGUUGAAAAAUCUGGCAUCUGAAAUUUCACAUGUUAUCAUUGAACCUCUUCCCCUCUCACCAGGUGAAAGUUGGAAGUUAUUGGAGAAGAAUGUGUUCAAGAAAAAACGUUGCCCUCAAGAACUGCAAGAUAUUGGAAAGCAAAUUGCAACAUAUUGUCAUGGACUCCCGCUUUCAAUCAUCACGAUAGCUGGAGUUCUUUCGAAUAUGGAGAAGAAAGAAAGCUUAUGGCAAAAAGUUGCAGAAGAUUUAAGUUCUUACAUUUCCCAAAAAGCCUAUGAAUACAUUCCCACAUUGAAACUAAGUUACAUGCAUUUGCCAAAUCACUUGAAGCCAUGUUUCCUCUAUCUUAGUGCAUACAGGGAAGACGAGGUAAUUCGAGUUCGGAAGCUAUUAUUACUAUGGAUAGCUGAAGGAUUCAUACAGAAAAAGCAGCACAAGAGCUUAGAAGAUGUAGCUGAGGAGUAUCUAAUGGAACUUAUUAACAGAAGCCUGCUGCAAGUUUCCAGAAUAAGAUCUGAGAAUGUAGUAAAAGCAUGUAGUCUUCACGAUCUAGUACUUGAUAUGUGCUGGAAAAUAGCUGAAGAAGAAAAUUUUCUAUUUCAACAGUAAGUUAAACCUCUCUCUUUCUAAUACAUUCUUGUUUUACUUUUCUUUUCCAAUUUAGCCUACUAAUUUAUGGUAUUAAUGUCAAUGUUGUUGCUGUUGCUGUUGCUGUUGCUGUUGCUGACACUCAUGCUGGCUGAUGUGCUUGUAAACUGAUGAUGAUCCUCCAUGUUCUUAUUAUACUAACUCUUUAGUGAAUUCUUGCUAUCUAAGCAUCGCCAUCGAUUGUUUAGGGAUUGGUCUCAUCGUCUCUCUGAGGACUUAACCAUUUUUUACAAUUUGGAAAAUAUUAAAAUCUUUGAUGGAGAGCAUGGAUACUUAUUCAGGAUUAGUGUUAUGGGUGACUUGAGGUACUUGAUAAUUGACUCAUUAGAGUUAUCAAUAAGCAGUCUCCAGAACCUAGAAUUCCUUCGUGUUGAAUUCUUGGAUUCUAUACCAAGAUACCUUCUCUAUAUGCCUAACUUGAGACAUUUACAUGUUGGAAAGUCAUAUUUCCCUGGAAUAUUCCAGAAGAACUGUGAUAGCUCAGAUAUCUCCCGAAUAAGUAGCCUGCAAACCCUUCGUUAUGUUUAUAUUGACGAUUCAGAAAGCGAAGAAAUCUUGAGAAGUUUACCAAAUCUUCAUAAGCUUAAAUGUACAUCUCCAAACAAUUUUUGUCCAGAUCUCAGCUUCCUUACUCAGCUUGAAUCGCUUACAAUGGCUUUUGAAAGUAGAUUUGAAGGUGAUUACUCAGUGAUUAACUUCCCCACGAACAUAAAAAAGCUAACUCUUUCUGAAUUGGCUUUGCCUUGGAAAAAGAUGUCAUUAAUUGGGACAUUGCCCAACCUGAGGAUUCUGAAAUUAGAAAAUGAAGCCUUUGAAGGAGAAAUCUGGAACACAAAGGGGAUGAGUUCCAAAAACUCAAGUUCCUUCAACUAAAAUGGUUAGAUCUUGAACAAUGGAAUUCCUUUCAUGAUCACUUCCCCGUGCUUGAAGUACUGUUGUUGUUUGGAUGCGAAAAAUUGAAGAUGAUUCCUUCUGAAUUUAGCAAUAUUCCAACACUACAGAAGAUUGGGGUAUAUUUCUGUGGCAAAAAUGUUGAGAGUUCAGCUUCGGAAAUUCGAGAAGGACAACUGGAGAAUGGUAACCAAGACUUUGAGGUAACCUUUAAUUGGUCAUUACAGUAGACUUUUUUCAUUUUUUUUUAUGAAAUAUCAUAGCAGGAGAUUCCUUGACAUCCCACACAAAAAAGAUGUAACUUCCAGCUCCAUAUCAAUUGCUAGUUGUGAAUUCAUAGUAUUUUCUUUGUAAUGAGCAUGAAGUUAUGUCUUCUCUUUUGCAUGUUAAAUAAUUGUUUGGUUGCAAAUUAUAUUUUAUUAUGGUUAAUUUGACAAGUGACUGGAUCUUGAUCUCAGCCUGGAAUAUUUUGCCUUGUUAUUUUCAUUUUAGGUCUUUCUCUACUACUGUAUUUUUCCGUAAUCAACCAUUAUAAGUAUUCCCAAGUGUGAAAUGAAAUUCAUUUGCUUUCAACAUUUUCAUCUAAUUUAUGUUUUUCGCAUAAUCCCCCAUCUAAAAUUAGAAAAAUAUUAAAAUCAGCACUACGUGUAAUGUGCUUGUUCUAGCAUUGUUUCAAAGCUGAAGUAAUUAUUAAGUUACCGUGUUUCAGAAUGAUAAUUCUUUAUUUUGAUGAUUGUUUUGCACCUUUGUGAGAUGCCACAUGACAAUGUGCGACUCAAUCGAACUAGGCAAUACAAAGUGGCUUUCCGAUCCAAGUAGUUGUAGAUUAGUAUAACUUCAAGUAAUCUACUUCUGAAACGUCGUUCAAUCCAUUGCUUUCCGGUCCAGCAGAGUGAUUUUAAAAUGCUAGUUGGAACGUGAGUUUUUAGCCAUUGCUUGACAUUUAUUUGCCGCAAAUUUUGAUUGACUCCAUGUCUUAGUAACAGGAGAGAACAUAAGAACUAUUUUAUCAAGUUCUUCAAAUUGAGUUGUCUUGCAUUUUUAAUAAUUGUUUAUUACCCCCCAUUUUAUUUCACGUCAGGAUAAAAAGAAAAAGGAAAGAUGAGAAGUUGACUCAAAUAUUCAAGACUACAAGCUAUGAGAGAAGAAAUAUAUUCUUUAACAAAGAAGAAGACUUGGACACUCGUGAAUGGACCAGAGAACAAAGUUUUUCCUUUCAUUUAUUUUUUUUUUAAUUUUAAUUUUAAUUUUUUUGGGUGGUGCAAAUAAAAGAAAACAUAUUAUAAAUCAGUGCUAGCAAACGGUGCAACGAAAGCAGGAAUGCAAUAAGCCUAAUGAUCAAUGGCUAUGAAAGAAAUUGCGGCCAGUUUGUGGGCUACCUGUUUGCUAAAUAGUUUAACAAUACAACAAUAUAAUACCAAAAUAGACCAAUUAGACCAGUCGAAGACAUGGAGCCACCAAAUUGUUCAAGCAUAAUAAGUCUCAUUUAAAUUUGAUUUACGAAAUACAAGAAUAUAGUACCUAAAAGAAUAUAGCAAACGUAUGACGUUUGUUGAUACACGACAAUUUCAAGCAGAACAACUCAUUGGAAUGGUUUUUCACAAUGUUGAAGGUAGUAACGUGAAAUGUUGAGGACCUUGUUGCUAAUAGUAUAAUAAGGGUGGAUUAUCUUGAUGCAUAUAGUGGCAAAUAAAUUUACCAUAUACAAAGCAACAUAAAUUGUUUCUCGACUUCUCCUUCAACAAAGUUCAAUGGAUUCCUAUCUAAUUUCUUUGUUUCCUUCAACUGAGAUUUCUUGUCGGAACUACAAAUGGAAUAUAAACAUCUUUAGUUGGUAUAUUACCUCUUUGCCUUUAAGAACAAAACAAAUUCAUUUGACAUAUAAUAAUUGUAACCUAUUAUACCACUUGUCUUUUGAUGUCAUUAAUAUUAUUUUAAUAAUUGUCUUAAAUGGGUGGUCAUCAUUUUCGACUAGAAUAAAUUUUCUUAAUAUGGAUGAUCAUCAUUUUCUUUACAAAUACCAACACGAUUAGGUAAAUGUCUAGCUUCAAAAAACUUGCCAUUAAAAUAAAAUAUAUUAGUUAAUGUUCAGGAUUACAAUUUCACACACUGCAUUUGUGAAUACAUUCACUCUCAUCGGAGAAAAAAGUUUCACAAAUUUCUUUCUUCCCUUCAAUUGAGAUUUCUUGUGGGAACUAGAAAUCGAAUACAAUCAUCUUUGAUUGAUAUAUUCCCUACUUGGCCUUUAAGAACAAAACAAAAGAAUUGGACGUGUAAUAAUACUAACCUGCUACACCACUUGUGUUUUGAUUCCAUUACUUAAUUAAAUUAUCUUAAUAUGGACGGUCAUCAUUUUCUUCGAAAAUGCCAACUUGAUUAGUUAAAGGUCUAUUUUCAACCAACUUUCCCAUAAAAUGAAAUGAAUUUAGAAGCCAAAUUUAAUUAGAGAUGUAUUAGUUGUCCAUGAUUACAAUUUCUGUGAAUAUGCCCAACCCAACAAUACUUAAUGGAACACACUGACUUGAUUUCUCUCUUAGACGAAAUGAAAAUACAAAAGUAUGAUCUACAAAACAAAAUGUCUUACCUCAUUUUAAAAACAUGAAAAGAAAUCUAGGUCAUAUAUUAUGAGUAAUGUCUAUUGCACCUAAACUGUUUAUAUGUAUCAUUAAAAACAACAUUUUACCCUUUAGUACUUGCCCACUGAUAAAUUAUAUCUAGUUAUAGAGCACAAAGGCCUCAAAUGCAUAAUUAUUAAACGCAGCUCUAAUAGGUUGAUUAACUGGGGAAUCGAUUAAUCGGCCAGUUAAUCAGGAUGGUUCUCUAAAUUGGCCAAACAAAAAAUUGAUCCGUGAACAACCAUAUCCACCAGGUAAAACUGGGUGGAAUGACAAUUUGAGAUUAGGGAUUGAAUUUAUUCAUUAAUAAUUUUAAAUUUGAAUUGUGUAUCUCUUGCUCAAAACUGCUGACAUAUCUAAAAAAUAUAUUUUACCAACAAUCUGUUUCGUAUCUAACUACAUGAUCUUCUAUGUUUUAGUUGUUCUUCAUCGUAAUUCCACCUCUUUUUCUUUAGGUCUUUCACGUCCGUUUUCAUUACAAGUUUAUUGUUUCAUGUAUAUUUGAAAAUGGUUAAGAAAAUAUAAGAAUUGAUCUGCUGGUCUACGGUUGAACCAUUGACCUGACAACCCAUUUCCCAUGUCCAUGGAGAAAACUAUAAAUAGGGGUUGGGGGCUUUUCAUUUUAAGGGAUCUGAAAUUAUCUAGGAGGCAAGCUUCUCAGCUGGAAAAUUCAUUUACAUAGCAAUUUCGUAAUUAGUUUUAUACAUAAAUUAUUUUCUUUUUUUAAUUUAGAUUUCUAAAUCCAGUUCAAUUUAAAGUUAGGGGUGGCAGUGGACUCGAGCCGUUUGCAUUAUAGGCUGACUCAUCUGGGCUCGCUUAUGGGCAAUUGAACUGGUUGAACAUUGGUCUUGUGCCGAGCGUGGCUCCAUUUUUGGAAACGAGUCAGCUCAUGAAUGCCGGGGAGCCCGAUUCUUUGGGCUAACUCAUGGGUAGGCCUAACAUGAUUUACAAGUCCCUAAAUUUUUCAGCGACCCAUUUAUCCGGAUGCUGCUUUUGCAUACUCUGAUUGAAUUACUCAUAAAAUGUUCUAUUGGCCUAUUAAAAUUGAAAUUCUGAUUUUUAAAUUAAUUUAAAAAAUUUCUACUUCUUUUUAAACUAUUUUUCUUAUACAAAUCAUUUCGCCAAUCAUCUCUGUAACAUUCCAGAAUUUUCUAUGACGUUAUUUAAACUUUGGAAGUAGAAUUGUUGUCCUUUCCGUCCAUAGUCUCUUGUUUGCUUGUUUUGCUCGGUUUGUCCAAGAAUGUGAUAGCUCAGUUCUGCAUUCAGUCAAAAAAAAUCAAGAAUGUGAUUUCUUCUUUGGAAGCAAUGAACAACUGAAGAAACUUAUGAAAGUUUUAUUUACAAUUAAUGGACACAGCCAUAUUGUUUUUAUAAAUAUUUUGUUGCAAAAGCCAACCUGUCUAAGCAAAGACUAGUUAUUAAAAAAGUGAACUUUAGAAGCUGGACUGGUGGAUCAAGGUCUUACUCAAAAUCAAAAUAUAAAAUAACUAAAUUUCACUACAUAAUUAAAUAAGUGUUUUACAAUUGGAUAUGGUAUAUGUACAAAUAAUCUCCUACAUAUGCUAUGUAGUAUAAAACAUGCCCACCACUGCCACGUCAGUGGUCAAGCCUUGAAUUGUGAAAAAUCGUAAAUCCACAUCAGCGGUGGACAAGAUAGCUCCUACACACCAUGGGUAGGAGAUCAUUUCCAAUAGCAUAUAUAGAACUGAGGUGUUCAAAUUUAAUUUUUUGGUCACUCAAUAUUUUAUUCAGAGUUUGAAUGUCCAAACAUUUGCUCAUAGUGUUAUCAAUUUGGUUCAUCGACUCCGAUGGCCCGUGUUCUCGAGUCAGCCUGGCUCACGGCUUGGAGAAACUGAGCCAAGGCUCAAGCCAAGCCUCAUUUAGAGCUCGAGCUCGCCCGUGUGCCUAGUCAACCAAACGGGCCAGCCAUGUCAUGGACCAAAAAUGGGCUGCAAUGAGCCAGCCCAAACAUGGGCCAUUUUGGCUAGUGUUAUUUGAAAAAGAAAAAUUUAAAAAGGCAACCACAACUGUCCAAAAAAUAGGCAGCAGUAGCUACCUCUUAAAAAAAAAAAAGGCAACCUUAGCUAUCUCUAAUUUUUUUUAACGGUUGUGCUAAUGGUACAUAAGGGUGUACAUAAGCAUGUAAACCCCUCUCACAUGGGGUAUAGGAUCCAUCCGAAUAAAAAACACUUAUUCAGGUGGACCUCACACCCCAUUUCGGGGGGAUGUACACCCUUAGGGAUACCCUAUUAUGUAUCGCUAGAUUAAUUCUUUUUUCAUACAAGAAGUAGCCUAUUGCAAUAGGCAACUAAUAGCGGUAGCCAUGUGCAGCUACACAUAGUUUCGCUCAAACAUCUACUAGCUACUUAUUUAAUAUAAAAAUAGCAGCUAGCCGCCUUCUGCAGAUCAAAUUCAAAUUUUGGUAGAAACGGACUCAUUUUUUGUUAUGAAAACAAGGUAAAAUUUAUGGUUUCAUAUUAACUUACUUCAGCAAUAUUGCAGUAUUCUAUUUUUCAAGUUCAUUCUCCAACUGUUGUGCUAUAUUAUUUGGUUAUUUUUACUUUAAUAUUCAGUAUAUUUUACCAUAAUAGCCCCAAAUGAAUUAUACCAGUGAUGAGAUUAACCAAUUUCGAGUAAUAUAUCCGAUUAUGAUGCUUCUCAAAAAUGUUCCAAUUGAUUUGGAGGGUAUCGAAGAGGAAGAAGUACUCAAAAUUAAAAGGUAAAAAAUAAUAAUCGGAUUGUUGACAACAUAUGACACAUAAAAAAGAUGGUUUUCAAAAUGGAAUAGAUAUUUCAAAAGUAUGUUGCAAUUACUAUAGCAUAAAGCUUAGUUAAAAGUUUGGUUCAAGCACAACUCAUUUUAAUAGGCAUGUAUUAAGGAGUUGCAAAGUGAAACUAGUAGAUCUAGACCCGAAACAAAUCGAACUAAUGUUUAGUGGCUUUAGUUCUACUCUUUCUACCUUCGUAUAUUCAUAGAAAAGAUUUCGUGAAGGAAUGGUUGCAUAUAUAACUCACUACGAUGAUAGGCUCCGUAUACAGAAUUAUCUUCAACCAAGGCAUACUUCUUAUUAUAGAAAUACUCUUUGUGCAGAUACUAUAAAAUUUAUAACAAAAGAAAACAAGUUGAUAUUGAAGGUCUAAAAACUUUUGAUAAUGUUAUAUCGUUUACCUCUAAUUUAUUGACCAGUGGCAAUAAAAAAGAUUAUAUUGCUGCUAUGGCUCAUUACAUUGAUCAUUUUGGAUUCUACAUAAAAGAAUUAUUGCAUUUAGAUUAUUAGAAUAUAUUCAUAGUGCCACUAGCAUAUACAUUAUUUUAAAAGAUAAUAUACAAGAACUUAGUAUGCAAGAAAUUAUUCGGAAUUUUACUUUUGAUAAUGCUAGUGUGAGCAAAAUUGUUAUUGAAAAGUUUAUUAAUGAUUUUUCACCUGCAUUUGGAAGUUCAUUUUUCAUCAAUGUUGUGCAUGUCACAUUUUUUUGUGCAGUGUAUAGCUUAAAAGAAAAAUCAUUUGCCGUUGAUGUAAAGCAUAGAUGGAACUUUACAUAUCUUAUGUUACAGUCGUGUGAAAAUUAUGAUAAAGUUAUUUCACUAUAUUAUAAUGGUAGGCAUGCUUAUGGACCUGAACAUAAUUUGCAAGAUUGAAAAUUGUCUAUUGCAUUACGUGUGUAGAAAUAAAAAAAAUCAAUGUCACAGAGGCAUGUAGCAGUGUUUAUAACACUACAUCUUCACUUGUUUUACAAUACAGCUUCUAUAUUUCACAAAUAUUUCAUAAAUAUAUGAGUUUGCCAAUUUUUGUUGAUGUAAUGUUCUCUAUGGAGUUAAAAUAUCGUAAAUAUUGGGAAUGGUUGCUCUUUUUAUUUCUUUUGGCUUCGAUGAUGGACCCUCAACUUAAUUUAAUUGGCAGAAAAGCUAUUAUGAAGGGAAUUUCAUAUUUUAUGAAUAUAAAGUUAUCACAAUCAUAUAUAUAGAAUCUAUGCUAUAUGAAAUGUAUAAUUAUUAUACUAAAAAAGGAGGUCGGGACAAUUCUACUUCCCGAAGUACCUUUCAAGAAAUACUUCAACGAAUUCAGGCGAUUUAUGGAAUUAUUUUACGUGUUCCAUUAUUUUAGUUAUGUGUUCCAUUAUUUUAGUUAUAGUUCAUCCAUAUACAGAGAGAAAGACAUCGAUGGUACAAAUCUUGAAAUUCUAUCUCUAAGUUAGCUAAGUAUAUGUGCGUAGACGUUCAUAAUGUCUUACAACAAAAAGAAUUACAGGAAUUUGGUCUUGCAUCAAGGAGGUGUAACAAAAUGCAAUAUUCAAUUGUAUAAAAAAAUUACACAUUAUCUACUAACACCUCUGAUAUCUAUGAUACCAUCGGAGGUUGCAUUUGGUUUAGAUGGUCGAGUUUUAUCAGAUAAACAAUCAAGACUAAAAGAAAAUAUAUUGGAGGCUUUAAUGUGCUUGAAGGAAUGAGAAUGUCGGAGUUACAUCUUCAAGAACAAGUUAACAGUAUAAUGACUGAAAAUUUGUAGUAGAUCAAAGGAUAGGAUAACAUAAGUUUUCAAAUUGAUUAUUUAAAAAAAAUUGCGUAAUUUUAAAUUUGUUUGCUUCAGAAAAAUUUUACAUGAGAUAUUUUAUUCAUGUACCAUUUCAACUCCGUCUACUUUAAUUGUAGCCGAUCCCAAGCCUAGAAAAAGAAUAGGGUUGUAACUUUUAUUUAAUCUAAAAUUUGUAUAAAUUACAAAUAUUUUAAAUUGUUCAAAAAAAAUUAGAAGCCAUGAAGUAAAAAUAAAAUGCUAAAAGCUCAAACAUAACUUCAAUUUUUUAGUCAAGCUUCGAGUUUUCACUGGCGAGCUGGCUUGACUCGACUCGACUCGUUGAUAUCCCUAUUUUUUCAAGCAAAUUUAUUCAACAUUCAUGUCAAGAGCGCGUUGAAUAUAUACAAAUGUGAGUACAUAUUGUUAGUUAUCUAUUAUUUAAGUUUCAAAUGAAAUUACAUAUUUGAAUUUGUGGGUACAUAAAAUGUGUGAAUAAAAACUGCAUUUGACUAGUUUAUAUUUUAAUUUAAACUUUGCCAAACGUCAACUCGUGAUGGGAGCAAGAAAUAGACAACCAACUAGCAAAGGACAAAGUUCUUCAAGGCGGGCAGUUUAAAGGUCACGGGUUUGAUUCAUGAGGCUCUUGGAAGGCAAGGCUUUCUUCUGGAAGGUAGGAUAUUUCCUGGAAGGUAGGAGUUCCUUGGAAGGCAAGGUACAUAUAUGGGUUUGACUCGCUCGGCACUUUUGCAGUUCAGUUGGGGGGACUCUUGGAUCCUGACCAGUUUGGGGCACAACCCGCGGUUUACCUAGUCUGCGUGAAGAGGGGCUGGAUCAUAGACCCCAGGAUUAGUCGUUGUAAGGUGGACACCUGGGUGUCAAAAAAAGAAAAGAAAUAGACAACAAACAUCUUUCUUUGGAAGUCACCACCCAAGUUCCUACGUACCAACCUUUUGUACCAUAUUGGACAGAUACACCUACCAUUAUUUUAAAGUCAUUAUUGAAGGUGACAAAUCUUUUCUUUCUUUCCACACUUCUUUUCUAUUUUUAUUCAAAAAGCAAAAGCAACAACUCUACUAUCUUAGAAGAGAUAAAAAUAUAGGAAAUAGAUUACACGAGAGGAAAAAAAUGUCAAAGUUACACUAUAUUCAGUACAACGAGGUCGCUUUUGAAUCACACAAAUGAUGAUGAUUGAAUGGCAUGAAAGGUAUAGCCUAUUCUCAUUCAACAUCAAUUACUUUUCAAAUGAGAUUAUUGAAAUCUGAUAGUAACAAAUGAUAUUAAGUUUAAGUCAUAAGAACAUUCCAACACUCAGCAAUGAUACUAAGCCUCUGUUUGGUAGAGAUUAAAAUCGAGAGUCAAUAUUAACAAUUAAUUUUAACUGUAGAGUUUUUGGAAACCAUAACUUUUCAACCAUACAUUUAAUUGACUUUUAUCAAAAUCGACUAAAAAACGAGAAAAUAAAUUAUUGGUCACUAAUCUCUAGUUUGUGGUAAGUGCUUACUAACCGAACUUUAAAAAGUAAUUCAAUGCUCAUUCGAGUGUCAUAAACGUACUCAUCUAUCACUAAGAUGGAAUCCAUUUGAAAACUUUGAUGGAACUGUCCACGUGACAGAUGAAAAAUUGACAUGGCAAGAAAUCAGAAGAAGAGUGGGAAAGCCUUUUUCUAUGGUAUGGGGAAGAAAGCAGAAAUCGCCAUUCAAACAAAGGACGGUAUUUAACUGUUAAAAAAAUCGCCUUCCAAACGUCCCUAACACGAUCUAAACAAUUAGCAACACUUUUUUCAGCAUCUAAGAAAAAGGUCUUCAAAUUUUAAUUCUUUCAACCGCAAAAAAAAAGUGUCGCCAAUUGUUUAAGUCGGGUUACGAGUUGUUUAAAAGGAUAAGUUGUUAUUUUAACUAUUACAUAUUGCCAUGUCUGAUUCCAUCGCCACGUGGAUAAUUCAGUCAAAGCCUUAAAACGAAUUCCAUCUCAAUGAUGGAUGAGAUAAGUUUAUGGUACUUGAGUGAGUAGGCCUGGGCGUAGUUUGGUUUAGGUCGUGACUCCAACUCAAACCACAACCAAAUUAGUCAUUUUGAAUGCAUUUUGGCAAUUUGGAAAAAUCUUUCUUAAUUGGGGCAAUUUUGAAUGCAUUUUAGUAAUUUGGCCAUAACUUUGGCUACAGUUGUCAGAAUCGCAAUUAUGACCCCAAUUCAGAAGGCUUUUUUAGCAGGCACGACAUGGUCAUCCAACUAUGCUCAGUGGGCAUCAAUUUCAGUGCCAAAAUCCAUUGUUGUCCCUCCUGAAUUUCCAUUUUUAGUUAUUUUUUUCCAUUUAUGGUAAUAUUUCGAUUGCCGUUUUCGAGGUGAUUAUAAAUCCAAUUUGAACAAGAUCUUUGGCAACAUACUUCUUUUAUUACGUAUUUUAUUUUGGUAUGAUUAAUUUAGAAUUUUCUCCAUUAUAUAACCCAACUUGUGGGUUAUUUUUGGCCAUUCGAUAGUUUUAAUAAAAUUGAAUUAAAUUUCAAAGAAUUAUCUAUGUCUUUGGUCGUUUUUCUUCGUACUCCUUCCUGUAAAAUAUCUAUUGCAGCUAGCAUGUAGGAUAAUCGCUAUCCUGCUCAGUGUCAGUUGGUAUUAGAGUAUUCAGCAUCUUCUUGGGUGAGUUUCCAUCCGUUUCAAUGGUUGGUGAACGUGGUCGUGGUCGUCGCAGGCAGGUUCCUAUUGAGGAAGUCCCAUACCGUGAUUUUAAUAUUCGGUAUGUGAUGAUUGAGGAUUUACAAAGGCAAGUUGUAGACUUAACCUAACGUCUAGCAGAAUAUGAAUUCGAUAAUCAUGAAGUGGUGGGUUACGAUUUCGAUACUGAUUUUGAAAACUCGUAUCAUAGUUGUGCUCAGGUUUGGAAGCACACAAAAAGAUUGCUAUGGAGACCUCGAUUUCAGAGUCAAUCUGCCAGAGUUUUCUAGUACGUUAUAGGCUAAAGGAUUUGUUGAUUGGCUGAAUGAAGUGGAACAUAUUUUUUAAUAUAAGAAGGUCUCAGAUUGUGUCAAUUUGAAAUCGGCUGCCAUCAAACUCAAGGGAGGAGCAUCUGUAUGGUGGGAACAGUUGAGGCGUCAUGAGAAUGACAGGGCAGGCACAAGAUCACUGAGGAAGAAGAAGAAGAAGGUGAUGAAAGGGCACUUCCUUCCUUCGGCUAUACUCAAACCUUAUUUCAGCGCCUCCAUUCACUGAGGCAAGGUACAAGAUCAGUUGAUGAUUAUGAGGAGUUCUAUCAAUUAGUAGCCCAAAAUGAUUUAUCUGAGACAGAAGAGUGAAUGAUGGCACGGUAUUUGGGGAAUUAAGGCAAUCCCUAUAGGAUGUCCCUAGCCUUCACUCGUUGUGGAUUGUUUUUGAAGCAUGCCAGGGUGCACUUGCUAUGGAAAAGCAGCAGAACAGGAUGCUAGUGAUCAGGGACGAAAAUAGCCAGCCAGUUCGCCCUCAAAAAUCCUGUCUUGCCCAUCAGCCACCAUGGUACAAUUCUAACUCAUGUUUUAAAUGUUUCAAAAGUGGUAAACAAGGACAUAGGACGACUGAUUGUAGAAAGCCGACUGAUCAGAAGAGCAGAAAUCUCCUAAUUGGGGAGGACAUGGUAGGAGAAUUCGAUAAAGUUGGAGAACCUGUAUAUUAUGAUGCUUAAGAUGGAGACAUGUUGUAUGGAGAUGGCCAAGAGACUCUAGUUGUUCGCAAGAGUUUGUUGAGUCUCAAGGACGAUUUAGGAGAUGACUGGUUGAGGACAAAUUUUUCCACAUGACCUGUAAGUUGCAGAUAAAGUCUGCAAGAUGAUCAUCGAUAGUGGCAGUUGUGAAAAUGUAGUAUCCAAAAAGGCUAUCUAGAAGAUGCAAUUAAAGACAGAUCGUCAUCCCAAACCAUAUAAAUUAUAGUAGACAGGCGAUGUCUAGUGUCUUUUUCGAUCGGUAAAAAAUAUUUUGAUAAUACUUGGUGUGAUGUCGUAUCUAUGGAUGCUUAUCAUGUUUUGUUGGGCCAAUCUUGGUAGUCUGAUCACAGUGUCAUUCAUGAUGAGCAGAAAAAUAGAUAUUCCUUUAGCAUCAAAGGAAAGAAGAUUGUGUUGGUGCAUCGCCGGGAAAAAAACUAUCCCUGUCCUAGUAGUUAAUAAUACCAACUUACUUUCUAUGUCUAGGUUUUUUGUUGAGAUUGGGCAUGAAGAUGUAGUCUAUGCUCUACUACCUCGUGAGAAUAGUGCAAUAAACGAGGAUCCAGAUUUACCAACAGAAGUACAGCAGUUGCUAACAGAGUUUUCUAACCUGAUGCCAAAGGAUCUUCCUCCAGGGUUACCACCUAUGAGGGAUAUUCAACAUUAGGUCGACCUUAUUUCGGGGUCAGCUUGCUUAACUGACUAGCAAACCACUUCAGUCCCGAGGAAGGGAAGAGUUACAGCGACAGGUGGUAAAAUUAUUGGAGAGGUGCUACAUCCAUGAGAGUACAAGUCCAUGUGCAGUUCUUGCUCUACUAGUGUCGAAGAAGGAUGGGUCUUGGCUCAUGUGUGUUGAUAGCAAAGCAAUCAAUAGGAUUAUAGUGAAGUAUAGGUUCCUAAUUCCCCGUCUGGAUGAUAUGUUAGAUCAGUUGUUUGGUUCUAAAGUCUUCUAAAAAAUUGACCUUAAAAGUGGAUACCACCAAAUUAGAAUAAGGCCUGGAGAUGAAUGGAAGACAGUAUUUAAGAUGCAUCAUGGAUUGUAUGAGUGGAUGGUCAAGCCCUUUGGACUAUCCAAUGUGCCAAGCAUCGUUAUGAGAUUUAUGCAUCAGGUUUUAGGGCCUUUCAUGGGGAGUUUUGUGGUAGUCUAUUUUGAUGACAUCCUCAUUUAUAGUCUGACAUGAGCGUCAUAUUUUGAUAAAUUCUGUGCUGUGUUUGAUAUGCUGAGGACGGAUCACCUAUUCAUCAAUCAGAAUAAGUGGUCUUUUUUUACAGCUUCUAUAACUUUUUUUGGUUUUGUUGUGUCUACUAAUGGUGUUCAUGCAGAUCAAUCAAAUAUAGAGGAGAUCUAGAAUUGGCCCAAGCUAAAGACCCUAUAGAUGUCAGAAGUUUCCAUGCAUUGACGUCCGUCUACCGUCGGUUCAUUAGGAAUGUCAGUACUCUGAUUGUUCCUAUCACAGAGUGCUUUAAGGGAUGUGAUUUUCAGUGGACUGGGGAGGCAGAAGCCAGCUUUCAAUUGGUCGAGCAAAAAAUGACAGAGGCUCCAGUUUUGGCACUUCCUGAAAAAGUGUUUGAAGUAAAUUGUGAUGCAUCUGGGGUUAGCAUUAGUGGUGUUCUAAGUCAAGAGUGGCUCCCAAUAGCCUUUUUCAAUGAGAAGUUAUCAGGAUCAAAGAAGAAUUAUUCCACAUAUGAUAUGGAGUUUUAUGCCGUUGUUCAGUCCCUGAACCAUUGGCCCCAUUACCUGGUACAGAGGUAGUUCAUUUUUGUCACUAAUCAUGAGGCCCUGAAGUACAUCAAUGGUCAACACAAGCUGAGUAAACGGCAUGCAAAGUGGGUGGCGUACUUGCAGGAGUUCACAUUUACACUUAGGCACCAAGCUAGUAGCCUGAACUGUGUCGUAGAUGUAUUGAGCUAUUGUACACUAUUCCUUACCACCAUAAGCACCAAGGUUGUAGGAUUUGAAGCAUUUCCUAAUAUGUAUACUGCAGAUCCUUCCUUCAACAAGAUAAUUUAGGAGGUAACUAAUAAUCAACGACAUAAUUUUACCUGGUACAGAGGUAGUUCAUUUUUGUCACUAAUCAUGAGGCCCUGAAGUACAUCAAUGGUCAACACAAGCUGAGUAAACGGCAUGCAAAGUGGGUGGCGUACUUGCAGGAGUUCACAUUUACACUUAGGCACCAAGCUAGUAGCCUGAACCGUGUCGUAGAUGUAUUGAGCUAUUGUAAACUAUUCCUUACCACCAUAAGCACCAAGGUUGUAGGAUUUGAAGCAUUUCCUAAUAUGUAUACUGCAGAUCCUUCCUUCAACAAGAUAAUUUAGGAGGUAACUAAUAAUCAACGACAUAAUUUUAUUUUGCAUAAUGGUUAUCUGUUUCGUAGAUUACAGUUGUGCAUUCCAGAUUGUUCACUAAGGCAGCAUAUUAUUAGUGAACUUCAUAAUGAGUGACACUUUGGGCUUGAUAAGAUAUUGGCAUUUGUUUCUUCUGACUAUUAUUGCCCCAAAUUGAGCAAUGAUGUGGCGCAUUAUGUAGGGCAAUGUUGUGUGUGUCAGUGGUCUAAAAGAGUUCUCACUAAUGUGGGACUUUACACACCUUUACCUAUACCUGAAGUUCCUUGGAUUGAUGUCAGCAUAGAUUUUGUAUUGGGCUUACCCCGUACUCAACGGGCGAUGGAUUCUAUUUUUGUUGUGGUUGGCAAGUGUUCCUAGAUGGCUCAUUUUGUAGCUUGCUGGAAAGCAAUGGAUGCUACCCAUAUUGCCCAUCUUUAUUUCAGGGAGAUUGUGCGUUUACAUGGUGUUCUCCCGUCCAUUACUUCUGAUCGUGACACCAAGUUCAUCAGUCAUUUUUGGAAAAGCUUAUGGGAGAAAUUGGGAACGCUAUUGAAUUUUAGCAGCACCUACCACCCUAAACAGAUGGUCAGACCAAUGUGGCAAUGUUAUACCUCGCUCAAUUACAAUCAAAAUCAAGGAAUUAUAUAGUCAAAGUUAAAGUCAAAUAAGGAUUUAAGUUGGAGGAAUGAUUUUCAUGGGGUUUAAUUUGAAAUUGCUAGUACUUAAGAAGGCCCAAACUGAUAUAAAAAUAAAUCUUAGGAUUUUGCUUCUCAUGAUAAAUAAGAUUACUAAAUGUUAAAUUAUAUAAAGAUUGGGGAUUUGAAGUGUAAUUAUAUUAUAGUUAUCUAUUGACUUAGAGGAUAAUGACCCAUUUUUCGAAAUAGAUAGAAGGGUCGAGAGAGAAACAAAGAGACCGAGAGAGAAAUGAAAAAAAAAUGGAGAAGAAGAAGGAGGAAGAGGAGGAACAGGAGUUGGCUUUUCAAUUUCCAUUCUUUACUUCUCCUUAUUUUCAAGAGAUAAGUAAAAAUUAUAUAAUUGAAUUUUUAGGGUUCAUGGAAAAUUGCUAAAAAUUGGAAAUUUUAGCUAGAAUUAAUGAUUAGAAGAUUUGUGUUGAAGUGUGCAAAAAUGUGAAAUGGGUUUGUAAUUUAGAGCUUAAAUCUUUGAUUUAUUGUGUGUAUAUGAUAUAAAACACCUUAUUUGUAAUUUAUUAUAAUGAGAUAUGAAGUUAAGGUUAGAUUUUGGUAUUUAUAAGCAAUUUUCGUGCAGUUGUUAAUUCUGAAAUUCUGCCCAAAAAAGUGUUAUUUCUGUCAAGGGUUCCGAUGCCAGCUUUCAAAAUACAAAAAUUGGUGCCAGAUUUCUAUAUUCUAGAAUUUUAGUGUUGUUUUUGUCAAACCUUGGAUUUCUAGAUUUUUAAAUGUUUGAAUGAAUUUAUAUGACAAAUAGUGAAGUCUAUGUAUUGGACUAACUAUGUAUACGGGUUGUAUAUGUAUUAAGGUAGUGAUUUUAAGGAAGUGUGAGUGGUGUAAUGGAUUUGAUAGUAUAUGGUGAUUAGUUGAUAAAUCAUUAAAGAGAAGAAAAGUUGGGGAAUUGGAGAUGUAAGAGUAAGUAUAGAAGUUGAGAAGUUAAGUGGUGGAUUUAUAUUAAUUUAAUUGGUAGAUUUUAAUUCAAGAAAUUAUACCGUUAUUUCAGGUGGGAACGUGGAAGCUUGGAAAUACUCGCCAAUUUAAUCAGAUUUCUAUCCAUAGUCUAUGAGUGGAAAAAUAUAAAUAUUUAUAAAAUAUUUAUAAAUUAAGUAUAUUAUCAAAGUAUGUGCAAUUAUGUGUUCAAUUAUAUGAUUACUAUGGAAAUCUUUUUUAUUAUGAUACAUGUGAAAAUCUCAAAGAUCAUUUAUGGCACCUUUGUGACUUGAUAUGUGAGACAUGUGAUAUUGAGAUUUGUUCAAUAAAUGAGAUAUGUAAUAUUGAGAUCGAUCAGAAAAGUACUAAUGAUUAUAUACAUCUUCUAGCUCACAGAGGGGCCUUGAAUGUGUUCUAUCCUACAGGGAGGGGUCUUAACCAGACAUUGGUCUUGACCGUGUAUAUAUAGUUCACAAGGAAGCCUUGACCGUAUUCUAGAAUUGAUUACCAGAGGUCUUGAGACUGGCUUUCGUUCACAGAGGGGACCAAAGGCCCGUGGUAAAAGUUUUUAGCUCGAGGGGCGGAUUAAGAUUUUAAUCAAAGAGUAAUUUUUCGUGGAUUUUUCAAAACAUUUGAUGUGAUGUGAUUAUAGUAUGAUUACCAUCUUAUGUUCAUAUCAUGAUUUGAGAUGAUAUUUUACCACGUUAUGUGAAUGUCUCACGUUUUGGCUAUAAUUAUAUGAUGUUAUCUUGCGAGUUAUUUAAUGAUAUGAACUCGUUUUUCGAUAAAAAUGUUAAAUUGAAAAGUAUAAAUAUUUUCGAACUUCUCCACUUGCUGAGCUAUCAACUCAUAUAUUUUCCCACGAUUUUGUCUACAGUAGCAAUUGAUUCUUUUUAACUAGAAGAGCCUAAUGAUUUCGGAAUGAGAACCACACGAUAUGUUAAAUAUUAUAACUCAUAUUAAUGAAGCACAAAGUAAAUAUUUUGGGCCCAUCGCAUUAUGUUUUAUAUAAGCAUUUGAUUUUGUUGCAUUUUUUUAAAUAACUCAUAGUCAGCCUUGGUGAUAGAUUUGACAUCUAAUCAGCAUCUAUCAUCAGCAUACGUCCGUUUCAAGUCUACUAGGGUAAUUCGGGACGGGUUGUGUCAGGUGAACUGGAGUUUGGGUAAUAUUUUGAAAAGUUUGGCAGGGACUAAACCGAAGCAGUGGAAUUUGGCAUUACCUCAAGCAAAAUUUACUUAUAACCGAUCGAAGAAUAGAACACUAGAAUGAGCCUUUUUGAGAUUAUCUAUGGUCAGAAUUCAUCUGGAGUGCUUGGCUUUGCCCCUAUCCCAUGUGUGGGUCAUUUCAAUCACAAGGCCAAUGAAAUGGCAGAACAUCUUCAGGGUGUAACGCCUCAAAAAUUUUAUAAAAUAAAAUUUAUUUGCCCUAUGUGCUAUAUUUUUAUAUUUAAAAAUUGAGGGACUAAAGUGAAAUAUGUUUCAACAUCGUUACUUUAUUCGGUAGAAUUAUCAAGCACUCAUUUAACGAGAAUUUUUUGCAUAUCUCAAGGUGAAAAAUAAUCCUUUGUGAGUUAUUUAUCAUAUGAAAUUGAAAAUAGGUCAAUUGGAGUCCCAUAGAAUUUUUCGUAGCAUUUUUUGUAAGCUGUGACAAUUAAAUUCGGGAUUUCAGACCAGCCUGUUCGAAAAAUAAUUUGGUACUUCGAAAGACGUCAUGGAGAUCUCAAGUUUUUAUAUGUCGUACUUAUAUAGGUUUGUUACCAUCUGGUAAAAUUUCAUAAAGUUUCGUCAAGGUUUGCUUGAUCAAAUAAUUUUUGUAAACUCACUGCAUAAAUGGAGAAACUGUUUUCAACUUGCCGUUGAUUUUAAAAUAAAUAAAUAAAUAAAUCACUAAUUUUGCAUUGGGAAGUUAACCUAAAAGGACACGUGUCGACAACCCAACGUAUUACUAGAAUACGGGGCAUUACAUAGGGUCUCCAUGAACAGGUGAAGCUGGCCAUUCAAGAGAGUAAUGCCAAGUACAAGGUUCAGGCCGAUAGCCAUCGUCAUCAAGUGCUUUUUGAUGUUGGUGAUUUUGUUAGUGCGGUAUUAGCCUGUGAUCACUUUCCUGUUGGGGAGUGUAAUAAGCUCGAGGAGCGGAAAAUUGAACCUAGUGAGGUACUGCAGAAGAUCAAUAAUAAUGCCUACAGGUUGCGCCUCCCAGCCAUUUGAAGACUUCUAAUGUCUUCAAUGUGAAGCACCUAAGCACUUAUUUUGUGGAUUCAAAUGAAACUCUUGUGAACUAGAGGGUGACUUCUUUCCAACCCAGAGCGACUGAUGCAAGAGGUUCCGAGUCAAGUGAUGCCGAGUUGUCAAAUAGCACGUAAUGGUGCUAAGAUAACAUGAGUUGGCAGAUCAAUGCAAAAUUGGCAAGUGAUCGUGAUCUUUUCUUAAUUGGGGCAGUUUUGAAUGCAUUUUAGUAAUUUGGCCAUAACUUUGGUUACGGUUAUCAGAAUCGCAAUUAUGACCCCAAUUCGAAGAGUUCUUUUUUCCGCCCACGAUGUGGUCAUCCAGCUAUGCUCAGUGGGCAUCCAUGUCAGGGCCAAAAUCCAUUGUUUUCCCUCCCGAAUUUUCAUUUUUAGUUAUUUUAUUCAUUUAUGGUAAUAUUUCGGUUGCCAUUUUCGAGGUGGUUAUGAAUCGGAUUUGAACCAAAUUUUUGGCAAUAUACUUCUUUUAUUACGUAUUUUAUUUUGGUAUGAUUAUUAGGAUUUUACUAUUUUUGGUAAAAUUUCGAAUUUUCUCAACUAUAUAACCCGACUUGUGGGUUAUUUUUUUGCCAUUGGGUACUUUUAAUAAAAUUGAAUUAAAUUUCAGAGAAUUCUCUAUCUUUGGGCAUUUUUCUUCUCACUCCUUCCUGUGAAAUAUCUGUUGCAACUAGCCUGCAGGAUAAUCGUUAUCCUGCCCGGCAUCAUGAUUUUACUUUGCUUCCAUAAAAAGGAGGAUUUUAGGCUCUUCCCUGAUACUUGUGAUUUUUUUGCCGUUCUCUGCUGAUGCUGUUCAGAAAUGAAGUUUUGACGUAUCACUAGUUUGCCUUAUCCACACAAAGCUCAUCAAAGUUUGCAACAAAUACCUGUUCAGUUAAUGAGUGUUGAGUUAGAUUAUUUGUAGCGAGCUAUAGUUGGAAGAUACGUAUUAUAAAUGGUGUCAACCUCAUAUGAGAAGUAUUCCAUCUGUUAAAUCUAAUUGAAUUUGCAACAGUCUUAAUGGAAUGAAAUAAUUGAAGAAGUAAUGCUUUAAAUUUUUGCAAUGCCAUACACAGGAGCGUGAUUGAAUUUAAGGAAAUGAGAGGUGUUUUUGAUGUGGGAAAGCACGUGAUUGAUAAGCACUGCAACAACAUUGAAUAAACAUUUCCACCCUCAGGUAAAAUUGGUGCUGGAUAGAGAGAAUAGAGCAUCAUCGAGCCAACCACAUGAAGAAGAACAAGUUUCCUAUUCAUGCCCACCCCCAAUGUGGGGCUGCAAUCUGAAAUAGUUGUUAUAAGUAGUGGGCCAGCAUCCUCGCCUAUGGAUGAGAGUAAUGACGGAGGACAAUUGUUCAAAGCGCAGGUGGCGACUGAGCAAACUAGGAUCUUUAACGUUUUGUAAAACUGAAUUGAGGCUCUAACUUUGGGAUAUGACGUGUUCGAUUGUAUUUUUGGUUUUGUUUGGUGUUCCUGUUUAACUAGGAAAAAAAUUCUGUUUUGCUUAUGAACAACAGCUAUGUUUAUUUUCGCUUUCAUCGAAAUGAAGUCUGGUUCAGAAAGAUGUAAUGCAGCGAAUUUGAAAGUGCCUUAAAAUAGUUGAAUGUUAAUCAAAGUUAAAUAUGCUUUCUUUUCAGAUUUUUGAAGGAUUUCCUUCUGUAGUAAGCUUAGCCACUCUCAAAUGCCUGAAUUUUCAUUAAGUUAAUUCAAGAUGUUUUAAAGCCAUAUUCAGCACCAAAAUGAAAUUGCAUAUAAAAUUCAUUGUGGAAAUUUCUUAUUCAAAUUUUUAUAUGUAAUGUAGCACUACAACUCAUAAAUUUAUCCAACGAACUACGUUUGUGUAUUAGAACUAGAACAUUCGCUCUCUCUCUCUAAUUUUCUUGACUAAGCUGGAGUUUGUAGAUUCGUCCAACUCAAUGCAAAAAUUUAUAUUUCACUUAAAAAUUCUAAACAUAAUUUCUACAAGUCCAAAGAUCAAGGCUAUUGCAGAAAGUAUCCCAAACAAGGUUCACGGAAUCACACUUAACGAUACUACUGCAUACAACUUAUCUUGAAACAACAUACACCAAGCAAAACUUACACCGAAGUAGCAAGUUGCAAACGUAAUUGACAAAUAGAAACCAUGAGCACUUAACUCCAAAGCAACUUACAUAAACAUGACAAUUAUGAAAUCAGUUGUUUAAUCAAUUGCAUAGAUGGAACAAAUUCACGGAUCUCUUCCCUUUCGUUUCCCAUUCUCUUCCAUACUUCAUUUUUCCUUGUAGAUAGUUAUAUUGAGGAAUAUCUUCAAGUCCUCUUGUUUGGAUAUUUAAGCAAAACUUUUGAAUAUACACGACAAAUCUUCAAUUUGAUCUUUAGAGUUAGAUUUUGAUGUAGGACAUAAUGGGAAUAUUAGAAAAAGAGUACUAGUAGAAAUAGAAAUCUUAGCUCCGGGUCGGGCCCAUAAGACCAUUUUGAAAAGAGAACGAUGAGAGGAACAAUACUCACAGCUAUGUCAUGACGUACGAUGAAUUUUGGCCUUUCGAGUUCGUUUAGGACUCGAAAGCUGAUUUUUAAAAUUUUGGUGCUAUUUUUGUCAAUUCGUUUAUUUUCGGUUUUUUGCAAUUCUAGUUUGUUUAGACUUUUUUUUUUAAUUACUUUUAGUUGUUUUAAACAACGUUUCCAUGUAAACUUUUAUAAAUAAGGGGUUAGUUCAUUUUUUUUCAUUAUCAUUCAUCAAUAAAAUUCAUGAAAUUUAUUUUCUUCUUAAUUUGGUUGAUUCCAAAUUUCAUAUUCUUAAGGUUUUCUCUUGAAUUCAUGUUUCUCACUACGUCAAGUGGUAUCAGAGUCGACUUUCCCAUCUCUAUAAAUUUGAUUCAUAAACAUGAUUGACAUAUCAGUUACUCGGGCAAAUUUAGAUGCAACAAAUUGAUGGCUUGACGAACGGUUGACAAUCUCAUUACUCCGAUUGAAGAAAUUCGUCAAUUGCUUCUACGGGUUAAUGGAAACAAUGGGUAGAAUGAAUGGAGGGCAAUCGAGAAUGAGCGGAUGGCUGAACCUAUAGUUCGGAGAGAAAAUAAUAUGAGGCGUGUAAUAGAAGACAAUGAAUUAGAGUCGGAGGAGGAGUUCAAAGUACUGCUGCAUCAUCCUAAUGAUCAAAAUUGAAAUACCUUUGAUGAUUAUUGGAUUAAAGUAGACAUUCCUCCGUUCUUUGAAAACAUGUAGAUCGAGGACUUCUUGGAUUUGUUGGUAGAAGUUGAGAGAUUCUUUGAAAUUAUGGAUGUUUCAGAGGAGAAGAUGGUUAAGAUGGUGGCAUUCCGUUUGAAAUCUGUGGUAGUAAUAUGGUGAGAUCAAUUACAGAAUGCUAGAAAAAGACAGAGAAAGAGUCGGAUUCGAACUUGGAGAAAGAUGAAGCAAUCUUUGAUGGAUUGAUUUUCACCUGCAGAUUAUGAACAGAUUUUAUAUCAUAUGUACCUAGGAUGCACAUAGGGUAAUCGUACAGUGUCAGACUACACCAAUGAAUUUAUGAGAUUGGCGAAGCAAAAUAAUCUGUCAGAAUCUGAAAAUCAAAGGGUAGCCAAGUGUACUAGUGUUUUGAAGGUGACCAUUCAAGAUAGAAUUGGGAUGUAAUAUAUUUGGAUAUUGCAGGAAGCCAUUAACAUGGCAAUGAAAGUGGAGAUAUGGAAUUUAAUAAGAGGAUGGUUUUAUAUAGGAGGCCCUUACCUGUCAAAACAUCAUAUCCGCCCCUUCAGACGAAAGAAAGGCCCCAUAGCAAGCCCAGACAAUCCUAAUAGGAAUAAGGUUGACAACAGUGGUUGGUUUUGGAACAAAAGUCAAGCUUGAGGUAUACCUAAGAAUGCAAAUUCGUAAGCUAAGCCCACGGGAGAAAUUUGCUAUAGAUGCCAAAAGCCUAGGCUGGGCAUCAUUCCAAUAACUAUCCUAAGAGGAAGCGGGUCAAUUUGGUGGAGCCGGAGGCAAUGGAUGAGGAGGAAGAUACUGAAGUAGAAGAUGAGUACACGGGAGUAGAGUUUACUGUGGAGGAAGGAGUAGAAAGGCUCACUUUGGUACUGCAAUGAAUACUUUUGUCACCUAAAGAGGAGGGACAGUGUCAUUGCAUCUUCCAUUAACUUUGUUCUAUCAAGAAUAAAGUGUGUGAAGUGAUUGUGGACAAUGGAAGUUGUGAAAACUUUGAGUCGAAAACAUUAGUUGGUGAAUUUGUUGAAACUACCAGUUGAGAACCAUCCUAAACCAUAUUCACUUGGUUGGGUGAAGAGAGGUCCUUUUGUUCAAGUUGUUGAAACUUGCAAAGUACCUAUUUCCAUUGGUAAGCAGUAUAAGGAUGAAGUUAUGUGAGAUGUCAUAGACCUGGAUGCCUGCCAUAUCCUAUUAGGUCAUCCAUGGCAGUUUGAUGUGGAUUCAACUCUCAAAUGACGUGAUAAUAUAGUACUCUUUUCAUGGGCAGUCAAAAGAUCACUAUGGUUUCUCUCACAUAGGUGAAAAAGUCUACCCAUCAAUGAACUGACAGUUUCCUUACCCUUACCAAUAAUGAAAAUGAGAUCAUGAGGUCUGUAAGAGAAUUUGAUUGCUUCUAUCCAGUUGCAGUUAAGGGGCUUUUUGCAUCAAAUAGGGAAGAUGAGGGUGUUCCAUCUGAGGUACAUAAAAUGUUGACAGAAUUUGAAGACUUAACUUUCGAUGAAUUGCCAAACGAGCUAUCUCCUGCGAGGAAUAUCCAGCAUCAGAUUGAUUUUUAACCUGGGGCUAGCCUUCCAAAUUUUCUCUUUACCGAAUGAGUCCAAAUGAGAAUGAGAUUCUAAGGGAGCAAAUUGAGGAGUUGUUGAGAAAAUGGUUCAUAAAAAAGAGUAUGAGUCCAUGUGCAAUACAUGUCCUUCUAGUGCCAAAGAAGGAUGGAAAGUGCCGUAUGUGUGUUAACACUUGUGCCAUCAAUAAAAUAACACUGAAGUACAGGUUUUCCAAUCCACAGUUGGAGGAUGUGUUAGAUAUGCUUAGGGGUUCUAAGGAAUUCUGAAAAAUAGAUCUUCGCAAUGAUUAUCACCAGAUCCGUAUUAAACCCAGGGUUGAAUGGAAGAUUGACUUCAAGAGUAAGGAUGGACUCUACGAAUGGUUGGUGAUGCCAUUUGGACUUUCAAAUGCUCCAAGUACCUUCAUGAGGAUGAUGAACCAGAUUCUUCAUCCUUUUAUUAGGUCUUUUGUUGUGGUUUACUUUGAUGAUAUCCUUAUUUACAGCAAGUCUAAGGAAGAUCACCUAGUUCACUUGAGGCAAGUCAUGGAGGUUCUGAAUGAGAAUCAGUUGUACAUCAACUUGAAGAAGUGUACCUUCUGUACAUCUAAACUAUUAUUUUUAGGUUUUGUGGUAGGUGAAGAUGGUUUACAUGUAGAUGAAAAGAAAACAAAAGCAAUUCGAGAUUGGCCAACACCAAAGUCAGUUUCUGAAGUGUGGAGUUUUCAUGGGCUUGUGAUUUUCUAUAGAUGAUUUAUCAGGAAUUUUACCACUAUUGUUUGGUACCUCUCAUAGAAUGUUUGAAGAAAUGAAGGUUCGGUUGGGAAGAAGAACAAAAUAAGAGCUUCGCCUUUAUCAAAGAAAAGUUGUGCACAACUCCAGUAUUAGCUUUACCAAGCUUCGAGAAGAUUUUUGAGGUAGAGUGUGAUGCUAGUGGUAUCAGUAUUGAGGCUAUCCUUUCUCAAGAGAAGGGAGACCCGUGGCUUUCUUUUCAGAAAAGUUAAGUGAUGCCAAGCAGAUUUGGAGUACCUAUGAGCAAGAAUUCUAUGCAGUUGUAAGGGCUUUGAAGUAAUGGGAACACUACCUGGUAUAGAAUGAGUUUGUGUUGUUCACUGAUUACCAAGUCUUGAAAUUCAUUCAUAGUCAGAAACAUAUCAGCAGGAUGCAUGCUCGGUGGGUAAAUUUCCUCUAGAAGUUUCCUUUUGUGAUCAAACAUAAAUCUAGAAGUACAAACAGAGUUGCAUAUGCAUGGAGUCGGAGAGCCUCUUUAUUGAUCACAUUGUCACGGGAAAAUGUUGGGUUUGAGUGAUUGAAAGAACUAUAUGUAGAUGAUCCUGACUUUAAGGAGAUUUGGAGUAAGUGUGUGAAUCGGGAAUCAAUGGUGGAUUUCUAUAUUAGUGAAGGGUAUUUGUUCAAAGGCACCCAACUUUGUAUUCCUGUUUCAUCUCUACCUGAAAAUUUGAUUUGAAAUCUGCAUGGUGGAGGUCUAAGUAGAUACUUGGGACGUGACAAGACAAUAGACAAUUUGGAGGCUUGGUAUUAUUGGCCACAGUUAGCGAGAUAUUGGAAUUAUAGUUAAAAAGUGUUAUACUUGUCAGGUGUCAAAGGGUCAAGUGUAGAAUACUAGGUUGUACAUGCCACUUCCUAUCCCUCAGGGUAUAUGGCAAGAUCUGGCUAUGGGUUUUUUUUUUUUUUUUUUUUUUUUUUUUUUUUUUUUUUAUUUUUUUUGGAUUACCUCAUACUCAAUAGAUCGUAUAUUCUAUUUUUGUGAUGGUUGACAGUUUCUCCAAAAUGGUGCACUUCAUAGCUUGUCGAAAGACUUCAGAUGCAUCAAAUAUUGCCAAACUAUUUUUUAGGGAGAUUGUUAGAUUGCACGGAGUUCCCAAGUCUAUUACAUCAGACCGGGAUACGAAAUUUGUGGGGCACUUUUAGAUUACUUUGUGAAAGUUGUUUGGAACCAAUUUGAAUCGAAGCAGCACUAUCCAUCCCCAAACUGAUGGACAGAUCGAGGUUACUAACCGUACCCUUGGAAACAUGGUUCGAAGUGUUUGUGGAGAUAAACCUAAAUAGUGGGAUCUUGCACUACCUCAAGUGGCAUACGACAGCGCAGUUCAUACUGUUACAAGCAGGUCUCCAUUUGCUACUAUGUAUACGGAGGUGCCUUACCAUGUGGUGGACUUGAUGAAAUUACCUAAAGGUGAUAGGGUUGGGUAAAUCUCCCGAACCCGAACCGAACCCAACGGUUCUUGUCAAAUUAAAUACCUGAACGGGUAUCUAAAUUGAGAAUCGACGGAUACUGUUUGGUUCUCGAUUGUAGACCAAGAACCGAAGAACCGAAUAAGAACCGAAUCUUUCUAAUUUUUUUUAUAUUGAGUAAAUCAAAUUAUUUUAAUUUUAAUUUUUUCUAAACAAAUUAACAAAUUAGCAAUUUCCAAAUCCAAUUUUUUGCCCAAUAAUUUGUUUCAUUUCUAAUUUUUUAAUUUUUGACUCCAUUAGCCAUUUUAUUGUUUCAUUUCUUAGCCCAACAAGAUCCAAUCCACUAAAUAACUAUAAAUACCUACACUAAAGUGGAUUACAUUGUCUCGACUCUCGCACUCACUCUCACAGCCUCGCUAACAUUUCAAAACCUAUACAAUCGUCGGUCGAUGCUGUGACCUCCACCAACCGAAGCUUUGACCGUAGCGAUAAUUUGAACAAGGUAGUCUACUGGUCUAUGGCAUUCCAAAACCAUUGAAUGUAUCACUAGUAUUUAUAUAAUGUUGUUGUAAAUUAUAAAAAAUUUAAUUAUAGUACAGAACCAAACGGAACCGAACCGAACUGAACUGAACCGAAUGGAAUCGAACCCGAACGGUUCCAUAAUUAUAUUUGGACCCGACGGUUCCAUUUACUAGAUACCCAAAAAUUUUGGUUCGGUUCGGUUAUCCUAAAAGGCGAUAAUAAAAGUGUUGUUGCUGAACAUCUGGUAGAGGAGGUGUUAGCAGUUCGUGAUGAGGUAAAAUAGAAGUUAGAAAAAGCUAAUGCAAAGCAUAAGGCAUCAGUAGAUUCACAUUGACGGGAUAAACUAUUUUAAAAAGGAGACUCGGUGAUGGUGUUUUUGAGGAAGGAGAGAUUUUCCAUUGGUUUUUACAAUAAGCUGAAACCAAGAAAAAAUGGACCUUUCAAAGUUCUUAAACGAAUUAACAACGAUGCCUACAUUAUUGAUUUACUAGAUUCUAUGGGUAUUUCUCGAACGUUCAAUGUGGCAGAUUUGUGUGAGUUCCAUAAAGAUGAUAAGUCUUUGUAUCCAGAUUAUAAAUCGGGGUCGAGUUUUUCGGAGGUAGAAGGGACUGAUGUAGAACAUAAUGGGUAUAUUGAAAAAAUAGUACUAGUACAAAUAGAACAUUUUAAUUUUGGAUCGGGCCCAUAAGACCAUUUUAGAAAGAGAAAACGAGAGGAACAAUAUUCACCGCUAUGUCGUGACGUACGAUGAAUUUCAGCCAUUUGAGUUCGUUUAGGACUCGAAAGCCGAUUUUAAAGUUUUAGCGCUAUUUUAAUCAAUUCAUUUAUUUUGGAUUUUUUGCAAUUCUAGUUUAUUUAGACUUUGUUUUCAUUACUUUUAGUUGUUUUAAACUACGUUUUCAUGUAAACCCUUAUAAAUAAGGAGUUAGUUUUUUUCAUUAUCAUUCAUCAAUAAAAUUCGUUUGAUUUUCUUCUUAAUUUGGUGGAUUCCAAAUUUUCAUAUUCUUUAGGUUUUCGCUUGAAUUCUAGUUUCUUGCUACGUCAGAUUUACUCAAAUAAACACAUCCCGAUUUAAUUUCGUCGUAAACACCACUAGAAUGACCUUCAAUUUGCAAUGAUUUUUUUUGGUCGGACGAAACAUCUAUGCACUUGAAAUACCCCAUUACUACAACAAAAGAAUAACUAUCCUAUAUUUUCCGUCUUCUUUUGCUCAUCUAUCCAUUUCACAAAGCCCUUGCCACCACUUGGGCAUUGCUGUUUUAUUGGGCAUUGACUGUCUAAAUCUAUGUCAAAUCUCUUUGUUCUUUCCUAUCAUUGAAAAAAUCUAUUGCGGCCAUGAAAAUUCAGUACACAUAAAGUGUGAGAAAUUAAGCAAACACACUAUUGGCAAAUUUUUAGCGUUAAUCCAUCACCGACAAAACAUUACAACACAAGCUAUUGCCAAACCUUGAAAAGAUGAAUAUGAACAUGAACUGUACAUUUAUAAAUCAGGUAACCCGCUUUUUCAAACAGAAAAAUGAACAAUGAUUAUGAGUGCUGGCACCCAAAAGUCAAUUUUGUACACUUUAAGGAAUCACUAAAAAAAUUGGCGGCCGCGAAACCUUCAUCCAAGGUUGCCUUCAAUCAAAGAGGUCAUCAUUACCAAAAAAUUUGCCACAAUCACUACAAAAAAAAAAAAAAAAACUUGCAUCCAGCGACCAAUAAGAUUGGUCGCUAAAAGGUCUUUCCUAGUCGUUGGAGCCCUUUUGCGACCAUGUAUCUGUGGUCGCUUAAUGGUCGCAAAUUCGCCGUUGGUAAAUCUCUUCAACGACCAUACAUACCGGUCGCUGUACAUGUCAUCUCAAACGACCACAUAUUGGUCGCGGUAGGGUUUGAUUUUCGUUAGCUGAUAAGUUAAUUAAUUUGUUGAUUUGCUGUCUUCAAAUCUCUUUUACGACCAAGAUAGAUGGUCGCUGAGUGUUAGAUAUUUAGCGACCAACGUGGUCGGGAAAAGGAGUAUGUUUUGGUCGCUCAUAAUUGUUAGAAGUUUGUUGCUUAUACUCUUUUGUGAUCACACGUUGGUAGGUAAAUGUAAUAGAACGAAAUAUUUUCACACUAACAACAACCAACGAUUGGUUGGUGAAGAUAAUGAAAUAGCGACCAACCUAUGGUUGGUGAAUAAUGCUACCUUUCGUGGACCAAUUGUUGGUCGGUAAACAUUGAUAACUAUAGUGACCAAUCAUUGGUCGAUGAAGGACAACAAUUUUUUCAUUAUUUUUCAGUGACCAUAAUUUGGUUGCAGAAUGAUAUUAUCAACUAAUAUGUGGUCACUAGACAUAUGUAUUAAUGCUUUUAUAUUAAAUAUUUUUUUUAUUCCUGCUAAUAAUUUGUCCAAUAUUUCAAUUUUCAACCAUCAUAAUUACUAAUUUAGCAAUAUCGAAAGCUAUAGAAUAUUAAAUUAAAAAAAUAUGUUCUACAAAAGAAAAUUGUAUUGCGUAGAUAACUACUAAUAGUCAAUGUAUAAUCAUAAAUGUCUAUUAUUUAACCACAAAAAGAUAAAUUGUAACUUUAAUAAUGUAAUCAUAGUACUAUAGCACCAACAGAUGGUUGUGGUGGAGGUGGUGGAGGUGGAUCAUUGGUUGGUUCUAUUGGAGGAUGCUCACUCAUAUCCAUUCAUGCAACAAGGCUCUGGAUAAGUAAUGCUUGUUGUUCGAGACUUUGUGUAAGCUCACUAAUAGCUUUAUCCUUCUCUUUAUCUCGUUUUGUAAGAAUUUCCAACUGUUGCAUCAAUUUAGGAGGAGCCGUAACUACGUUGUUAUAUGAUUUGCGUGGAGCGGAUCCAAUCCUAGAAAUAGUCCCAGCACUCUUACCAAGAACUCGAGCACAUAUUUCUGCUUCAUCCAUUAUAAGUGCUUCAUCUUCAAGCUCUGUUUGUGAUUGUUGUAACUCCACUAUUUCUUUCUGUCAUACAAUAGAAAAAGGUUGUUAAAAUAAAUAAUAUUAAUGUUAAGAUCUUUGUGUAAUAAAUGAAAUAUCUUACAUAUCGAGACUCGGCUAGUUGGUUGUCCCAUCCUUUUGAUGUGGUCCUCCUAAACAAUUCAAUAUGUCGAACUAAUUCUUCAUUUGUAGACUGAAAAAGGUGGAGAAAAUGUCAUAAUAUAGUCAAAUUAGGAAAUAAUUGAUAACCUCAACAUGUUGCCAAAGUAGUGAAGAGUAUAAAACUUGUCGAAGUUUAAAUUCAACUAAACAUAUCCCACAAAACUAUGGCCUUAUGGACUGAAAAACAUAUCUAGCAACAUUUCAACAAUAUUUAAUGACAGUCAAGGGAUAAAAAACAUGUUAAUACUCCUUCUAGAAGUCAGCCAACAUUCUAAUGACAACCUUUUUUUAAAACUAAUUUCAUCAUUUUCAGAAAUCAAUUCUUCUUUUUCAAUAUGUAUUCUAUGAAGCACGCUUAGAAGUUGAAAUAGUUUCGUAAAACUAAACAUGAGAUAAUUACGUCGGAUCAACUAAAAGAUAGUUAAUUAUUCAUAUUUCAACUAAAGGAAGCAAAUUUAAAAUAUUAAGCCUCAUACUCGAGCCUAAACUAGGGGAAAAAUACCUAAUUCAUCAUUUAAGUCCAAAGAGUUAUAAUUCUAACAUAGUGAGCAAUGAUAAGUAGAGUGAUAUAUAUUAACAACAAUUAAUAAAACAUUUCAACUUAAGAAAAUUGAAUGCUAUUUAACCAACCAACUUCAAUUGGUUAAUAAGCCAGACCAAUACUCACUCUAGAAGUCAACAUGUUUACCAAAAACUACUUAUUAAAAUUGCAAGAGAUUAAGUCUAUUGGAUUACCGGUGCUUCCCUAGUUGCGGUAAAUGAUCUAGUCCCUCCAUGGUGAUUAUAAAGAAGCUUCGAACGAUUGAGUUUCCCAGCUGCAGAUCGUUUCUUAAAACCAACAACAAUAUCUCAAAGUGAGUAAUUUGGCAUCUCAAUCAUUCCGCUUUAAUUAACAAUAUUAUAAAGUAGUAUAAUAACUUAACAUACCAAAAACUUAUCACUUUGAAAAUGUGCACACAUCCAUUCCCAAACCUCUUGUGAUUUAAUAGUUGAUGGCCUACAUUGUAGUGGAUCUUUUCCAUUCAAUUUUAACUAUUUAUAUUUUUUUAUUACAUGCACUUCUGUGUUCUUUAUAUCUCUCACGAUAAUGUUUUUCAACAAUUUCAACCAUCUGUUGAUCAUUUGAAUCAACAUCAAAUUUAACCUGAACAAAGAGAAAAUAAGACUUCAGUGAUUAUAGUAUUAAGCAUAAUCCAAAUGAAUUACAAAAUUUACUUACAAGAAGACGAUUAUAGGCUAAUUCUUUAUCAUGAGGAGUUGCCUGGCUCCAACCAGUCAAGCGUUAUGAAACAACAUUUCGCAUGAUGAUACCAAUCUCGUUAGCAAAUGGUGAGGAUAUCUCAACAAAGGUACACAAAUCUCCUUCCCUGGCUUGUACAACUAAUUUUUUCUUACUAGCAUCCAUUAAUCUCUGAGAUGCCAAACCACAACUAAUUCCUCGCUUUCUUUUAUGAUCAAAACCUAAAAGAUAAUUAAUAUUGUUGAAUAUGAAGAGUCAAUCCACAUUAUCUUAAAAAUCAUUAAAUAUAUACCAUUGGAUGACUCUUGCUCAGCAGUAUCCACAAAAUCAGUAGGAUCUACACUAGAUUGAGUAGUCCUAUUUAUACCUGAUUGAGCUGUAGAAGGUGUCGAAAUAGGAAUGUCUAAUUGAUUAGAGUGUUCUCCUUGUUGACAAGGAGAUGGGCUCCCAUUGCUAGAGCUUCGAGGAGUCGCAGAUGUUAUGGGUAACACGUGCUUUGACUUUCUUUUCAGUGGCGUCUAUAUUUGUAUUUAGAAAAUAGGCAAAGCAAACACGGUGAAGAAAUAAAUACAUAUUAUGAUUAAACUCUACAACAUUAAUUAAUUGUAUAUUAGCAAACAUACAACAAUUCCCACACCCAUGAUCAUAGCUUCUUUUCCUUCCCUUCUCAUAUAUAGCUCACUUUGCCAAUCAUACCAUAUGUGAUUAAGACAACCAAAUAGUAAGAAGCCAUACCAUAUCAAUGAAAGUUUCAAUUACAUUAGUCUAACUGUAGUUAGAAAUCUUCAAUUAAGAUGCAUUUCUUAUUUAUUCUAAUAAGAAUUAAUGAAAACAAAACUUAAUUAUCCAUGAAAAUUCGCAAGAAGUUCAUUGGAUAUGGCCUUGUUACACCUUCAUUUAAAAUGGAAAAUGAGUUAUUUAGUAAAUAGUUACAUAACGAACAACUAUUCAAAUGAGUCUGAAUCAUCAUUGUCUUCACUAUUCAACAAUGGUUCAUCUUCGAUUUCCAUAUCACUAAGACUACUGGCCAAUGUAUCUUCAUUCACUUCUUUAUCUUGCAAUAUUACUUGUGUUGGACAAACAUCUUCUCAAUUAAGUUGCUCAAUGUCAGUUAAUUCGAAUGUUAUCUCAACAUCUUUAGAACUUUUUCUUGAUAAGCUUCACUUUCACCAUGCUCAACAUUAUUGUCAUUACCAUCUCUUUCAUCCAAAUUGUCUGGAACAUCCAACACAUGACGAUGAUGGAACUUUUGAACCACCUUCCAAUUUUGACCCAGUUUAUAAUCAUCCACAUGGAACACUUGGCAAGCUUGUCUAGCUAGCACAUAAGGUUCAUUUUCAUAUCAAUGUGCACUUAUGUUGAUGCUCGUGAUGCCAAUAUCUGUGUGUAUAUUCUUUCUACUUACAUUUGUGUCAUACCACGUGCACUUAAAAAGUUCAACUUUCUGGUCAAAAAUAUAAUUCGGUUCAAGAAUCUCCUCGCUACAACAUGCAAAGACUAAAUGAAAAAAAAAACAAAAAAAGGAGGAUACAAUUGCGCCAAAUCUUUUAGCGACCAUGACAUCGAUGGUUGUAGAAGGCUAGGAUCUGGGACCAUUCAGUGGUCACUUUUGUGGUAUAGCGCCAGCAACCAUUGCCUUUGGUCGCUAAAACAUGCAAAGACCAAAUGAAAAAAAAGCGGGAUAAAAUUGCGCCAAAUCUUUUAGCAACUAUGACGUCGAUGGUUGUAGAAGGCUAGGAUCUGGGACCAUUCAGUGGUCACUUUUGUGGUAUAGUGUCAGCAACCAUUGCCUUUGGUCGUUAAAACAUGCAAAGACCAAAUGAAAAAAAAAAAAAAAAAAAAAGCAGGAUAAAAUUGCGCCAAAUCUUUUAGCGACCAUGAUAUCGAUGGUUGCAGAAGGCUAGGAUCUGGGACCAUUCAAUGGUCGCUAGAGUGGUUAUCAUUCGCAGAAAAUUUUUUGUUCUUUUUUUGCACUACCUUUACCAACCAAUCAAAUGUAUGAUCCCUAAUUCUCUGAAAUAGCUACCAUAAUUUGGUCGCAAUAGAGCAUAACAAAAUUUGUCCAACUUUUCUAGACCAAAACCUAUACCCACCAUUACUUGGUCACUGAACGUGUUUUAUAGCAAUCAUGUUUUAUUGGUCUCUAAACCUUUGGUCGGUGGAGCCCUUUUUUUUGUAGUGAGUGGUACAAUCUUCAAUCCUCGAACUGCUCGAAUUGGAUGGCAUUUUCAAAGGAAAAAUACUGACAAGAAGAAAAAAAAAGGUUUGGGAAUUAUCUCAAUGUGGUGUGCACGGCUUCAACAAUCCAAGUUUUGUGGUCGGUUGCUGUGGACCUUCAAUUGUGGGGUAGAAUUGAUUUGGGGGUUAGGGUUUAGAAGGAUUUGGGUUUAGGAUAAUGAUGGCACGUUUUCAUUACAAUUGGCUAAGGCAUGAUUGGGAUUUGCAAUUUAAUGCACAGGAAUUUGAUAUUAAAUUUUGGUUAAAAGUUAACUACCAAAUAGAAAUUCCACCAUCCACAUAGGCUGAAAGAGAAACAGAAUAUGUCCAAUGAGUGAUGAAGUGAAAUAUCCUAUAGUUGAGUGAUCAAUAAAAAGUAUUCUAAAUCGGUGAGUAACCCGUGGCCAUAUCCAAAACUAGGGGUGUUAAAACAUUGAACUUGAGACUUUAAUAAUUACAUCAUUUUUUAAGUACGAAAAAAAUAAUAAAUAAAAGGAAAAAAAUUUGAAGACCACAAUAUGUGUUGACACGUGGCAACAUGAAUAGUGUCGAUACAAAUUAAGCUUCAUUUAGUCCUUGAUUUUAAUUUGUGGGAAUCACUCUUCUUCCACAUUUAUUUUGAACGACAUAUUUUCUUUAAAAAAAAAUUAUUUUUCACAUUUCCUCAUCAUAUUUGCUUAAUUUUAACCAUUUUACAUUCACAAAUAUAAAAAAAUAAAAAUAAAAUAAAAUAAAAUAAUUAUCAAACAAGUGCUUAAUAUUGGUAAAAUCUAAAAGACAAAAUUGAUGCAAAGUAGGAGAAAAAUUCAAGAAACAACUUUAUUACAAGAACACACCUCUCUCUCUCUCUCUCUCUCUCUCUCUCUCUCUCUCUAUAUAUAUAUAUAUAUAACUACAUUUAAAUAGGACCUACCUCGAAAGACAUCAUUGAUUCACGAGCUUGAAUUAUAAUAUCGUAUAUUAUUAUUGUUAUUAGGCGGCCACGGUUGUCACAUUACGUGGUCUCUAAAACAAUAACUAUGCUACAUGAGCAACAGCACAAGUAACAAAACAACAGAGAUUUAGAACUAAUGUGAUUGUGUGUACAUUUCGAUUUAAACUUCAAACUCAUAUUCACAUAUUUUGAAGAUGAGAGUGGUUAUACUUUAUGAAAUUGAUUUUGGUGAGGAAUUUGCACACGAGAAUUUAUUUAUAUAUUUGUUUUUUAAUAAUACUAAUCACUAUAUCUUCAUAUUGGUGCAGGUGAAAAAAAUUUAGAUACAAUACUUGAAAGAUUAAAGUCGACAAAAUUUAAUUUCUUCUUUUUAAGAUUUUUCAGUAAUGUUUUUAUUCGCAUUGUCAAAUCGACAAACAUUUUGAAUUAGGGGUACAAUCAAAUUAAACAAAAAAUUGAAAAACCAUGAAAGCAUUCAAUGUUUUCUCACAAUUGUUCUCUACGCAUUUUGAUUCCUAACAUCCUCAGCAUUAGUUUCAACCAGAAUGCUUCCAAGAUUAGUUUAAUCAACUUCAUUAGUUUCAUCCUCAACAUCCAUUCCAUGAUCAAUCUAUCAUCCAUUGAAUCUCCAACGUCAUUUCAUAUCUUGAACCUUACUUUCAUUAAUAUUUUGCUCAUAAGAAAAAAAAAACAUAUUUACGGUUAAAAAAUUUGUUCAUAAGUGAUACAAACAAUCAAUUAAAAUAAUUCAAAUAAACGAUUCACGUAAUCGAAAGGAAAAACAUUCAACCAAUAAUUAAUACUAAAUUAUUAAUAAUCAAUUCAAAUAAAUACAAUUCAAUAAAUGUUAGUCAAAUUGAACACAAUCAUUCCAAACCCAUUCUAUACACAAUUUAAAAAUCAUUCCAUAUAACAUAAAUCAUUCCAAACCCAUUCCAAAUCAAUUUGACACAAUUCAAUAUACAAAAAUUUAAAAAUAAUUCCUCAACAAAAAUCGGAUAGAAUGAAAAUAAACUAUAAUUUUUCUCUAUCACUUUGAUUUUAAAAAAAAUAAAAAUAAAAACUGAAAAUUUGAAACUAUAAGUUAAUGUUGCCUGUCCAGUGAUUGCGUUUCGAUUUUCAAAUGCAAAAUUAAGGGUAAUUAGCACAAAACAUCCCUACCUUUUGAUAUUUUUGUGGAAAACGUCCCUACCUUUCAUUUUUUGGCGGAUUACACCCUUACCUUUACCUUUUUUUGCGCAAAACGUCCUUCUGUCAACCCUCCGUUAAAAUGUUCCGUCAAAUCAAAAAGGUAAUUAGCACAAAAGGUCCCUACCUUUCAGAGUUAUUGUGCAAAACGUCCCUACCUUUUAUUUUUUAGCAUAAUUAGCAGAAAAGGUCCCUACCUUUCAAUAUUAUUGUACAAAACGUCCCUACCUUUCAUUUUUAGCAUUUUUACCCCUACAUUUCACCUUUCAUUGUGCAAAAGGUCAUUUUCAUCCAUUUUUUUCAAUAAAAUGACGAUUUUACCCUCCUAUUGAAAUAAAAUAAAAAGAAAAGAAAAAAAUAAUUAAUUAAUUGCAAUCAUAGUUCUAAAUCUUUCAAAACAUUACAGAUAAAUCAUAAAUUCUCAACCACCACCAUUUUCACAACCUAUCAAGCUGUCAACUAUAAAUCCACAUAAUACCACCUUUCGACCACCAUGCCCAUCGGACUCCACCACCGUAAAUGUGGUUGUUUCGGACAGAUUGGUGACCAAUACUAUGGAGGAGGAUAUUGGGGAGAGUGAGGCGACACUGGUGGUGGUGGAGUCCGAUAGGUGUUGUGGUCGAAAAGUGGUGCUAUAUGGAUCUAUAGGUGGUGGCUUGGUGGGGUUGUGAAAGUGGCGGUAGUGGAGAAUUUAGGAUUUAUCUGUAAUGUUUUGAAAAAUUUAGAACUAUGAUUGCAAUUAAUUAAUUAAUUUUUUUCUUUUCUUUUUGUUUUAUUUCAAUCGGAGGGUAAAAUCGUCAUUUUAUUGAAAAAAUGGAUGAAAAUGACCUUUUGCGCAAUGAAAGGUGAAAUGUAGGGGUAAAAAUGCUAAAAAUGAAAGGUAGGGACGUUUUGUACAAUAAUAUUGAAAGGUAGGGACCUUUUCUGCUAAUUAUGCUAAAAAAUAAAAGGUAGGGACGUUUUGCACAAUAAUUUUGAAAGGUAGGGACCUUUUGUGCUAAUUACCUUUUUUAUUUAACGGAGCAUUUUAACGGAGAGUUGACAGAAGGACGUUUUACACAAAAAAAGGGAAAGGUAAGGGUGUAAUCCGUCAAAAAAUGAAAGGUAAGGACGUUUUCCACAAAAACAUUGAAAGGUAGGGAUGUUUUGUGCUAAUUACCCAAAAAAAUAUUCCAUAACUUACUUUCUCAGAAAAAAAAAAGGAAGAAAGAAAGAAAAGCCUCUUUUUGGCGGGCAACAAACGGAGCUAAUUGUACAAGGAAAAUGCAACCAUAAAUGAUAUUUAGUUCCUAUUUGACCCCCAUUUUUUAAAAUGUAUUUUUUCUCAAACUAAUUUUCAAUCAUACAUUUCAUGAGACCUACAAUUCUUAUUAACUUUUCACCCAAAUAUUUCAUCAACUUUGUAUAAAAUUUAUUAAAAAUGUGAUGUUUAGUUAAACCAAACAUAGGCUUAGUAACAAGCGAAUCAGUUAAGCCUUCAUUUGGCAAUUAAUUUCUCAAUCGUUUAUAAAUUCAGUCAAAUAUUGAUUAAUUUCAUUCACGCAUUCACAACUAUUUCAUUUAUUUUUUACACAAUUCGUUGAAUCCACUACUAUUUCUCUUUGUAAACUAUAUAUAGAUUCGCCAAAUGGAGGCUGAAUUAAUACCUAUAAUUUCGUACCAUAACAAAUUUUAUUGUUAAUCAUAUAUUUCAAUAAAAUCGUAAGUGCUAUUGACUUAUCUACAACUCAUUUUUAUCGUUUAUAAAUAUUUUCCAAAUGGAAAUCUUCAACUCGUGUUGACGAUGAUGUGUGAAUAAGCAUCCCAUAGGAUAAUUCCCUCAAAAUGCCCAACAGUCUGCUAUAAAUUUGGAAGACAUGGCAUGUAAGUGCACAAAAGAACUUAAAUUUUGGGCUUAAAACGAAGAAGUUAUGAGGUUUUGAAAUUUGUAUGAAAAUCUGAAUUUUUACAUGAAAAUUGGUAAAAUCUGAAACUUCAUCACUUGAUAACUUCCUGUAUGUUUUAUAUCAUUCUUCUCCUUUGGUAUGGUUGGAUAGAUCUUCCAGAGAUCUUUCUAACAGCAUAAAGAUCAUUAAUUUUGGCAUUGAAAUGAAGAACUUAUGUCAUCUCGAAAUUUAGAUAAAAAUCUGAUUUUAUUUUAUUUUUUGGUGUGAAAAUUGGUAAAAUUCGAAAUUUCAUCACAUGAUAACUUUUUCUACACUACAUUUCAUGAUUCUCAUUUAGUAUGGUUGGAUAGAUCUCGAGACCUUUUCAAAGGCAUAGAUAUCAUUAAUUUUGGCCUUGAAAUGAAGAAAUUAUGACUUCUUUGAUCGAAAAUCUAAAAAUUUAAACAAAUUGGUCCCUGAAUUAUUCUUGAUUUUUCAGUACAAUUAAAUUAAUUUUUGUACAGUUAAAAAUAUUAUUUUUUUUGUAUUUAAUGCUUAAAAUUAAUUUUUUAAAUAAUAUUAAAAAAUAUACUUUUCAAACUUGAUUAAAUUGUAAUUUUUUUUUAUAAAAUCAAGAAUACUUAUUAAGUGGCAUUUUGCUAGUGGAAUUUAUUCUUUGAAGUGCUCCCAUUUUUUGGAAAAUGAAAAAUAUUCCGAAAAUAUUUAAAAUAUCACGUUUUAUAUAAGUGUAUGAGUUGUGUGGGUCUUUUAUUAGGUUAUGUGAUCUAUCAUAACUUUUUAUAAUUUUUGUAUCUAAUCAAAUAUGAUUGGAUCGAUGCACAUUUAAAGCAUUCAUAAAAGGAAGGCUAGAAAAGCAAAGGCUAUAGAACUUGUUGAAAAGCUACAUGCUUAUUGAAAUUAAUAAAUGGAUCUAGAAUAUGACCUAAUUGGACACGUAAUAUUUAGGAUAUGUUUGGUGAUAAUGAGAAUAUAAAAAUUCUUAUAUCACUUCUCAUUUGUUGGGAUUGUGUUGUAGUAGAUAUUAAAGUGGGUUUGAGAAUCUAUUUAAUAAAACUUAAAUAGAUUGUCCAUUAUGGUUUGUGAAAUAUUGAUUGUCUACUAUGGUUAGCAACAACUCAACACCAGUAACAAACUUCACCAUUCCUUCACGACAAUUUUCUUUUGAAUAGAUUUAUGUGCUAAGUGUAGUAAAAUUAGUGCCAGAAGAAGAACUACCAAAUUGGAAUUUUUUUUUUUUUUUUUUUUUUUUUGCCAACAAGUUCAUGUUUGUCGAAGAUUUCACGUAAUGACGAUUGAGGUGAGUAGUUUCAAUUCCCUUUUACCAUGCCAUCAUUUGGAAAUAUUUACAAACUAUUGUACAUUCUUGGACUCCGUUGACUACACAACCCGUUGAAAUCAAUUUGAAGUGUUCCCAACACUUUGCAGUUUUUUUAGACUUUCGCUUACCUCUUACAUUCAGUAUUUUAAGUUUCGGCUCUGCUUCUUCAUCAAUAUCAUCCAAAUUAAUUGGAUGACUACACCCAUGAACAUCGUCAAUGUCUAAAUCAUCAGGAAUGGGGAUGUCAUUUAGACUGAAAAAUUCAUUAUGUAAUUGAGAUUGUGGCAUCAUAAGUGUGUUGCCACCGAACAAGCCCCGGACAUAAGAAUUGUGAUCCAUUUGUAUGAAAUAAAAUUGGAAUGUAUAAAGAUGAAAUCAAAUUAUAGUAGUAUUAGAUAACGGAAUGUAAUGGAUGAAUUGUAAAAUUGAGUUAAAGUGAGAAAAUAUGAAGAACAAGAAAUGUAAUAGAUGAAUUAAAUAGGUUGAUAAUUGAAUAAUGUAACAACUAAUGAGGAAUUGAAUUGAGAUUUGAGAGUGAAUAAUUAAAUUGUGAAAUGUAGAAGAUAGAUGUUGAGAAUUGGUGUGGAAAAUGGAUUGAAAUGAGGAGUAUUUAUAGAGUUUAAAAAAAAUUGUGAACUUUGCAAAAUGGUUUCAAAACUUUAUGAAAGUUUAUUACUUUUGGGUGAGCCCACAAGCGGCUCUACUCAUCGUUUCAAACGAUUGCUAGGCUCAAGCCCUGGCUUGUCACCAAAUGAGACCGAGCCAUCAGUGGGCCUAGCUGCUCGGGUCAUUCACCACCCUUAAAGACUUUUCACGGAUUCCUAGAUAAUUGUUUUUUGACUUCUCCUUCAACAAUUGACAUGAGGGUGAAAAAAGUUGCAUGGAAUCCCAUCUAAAUUUCAUUCUUUCCUUCAAUUGAGAUUUCUUGUGGGAACUAGAAAUGAAAAAUAAGCAUCUUUAGUUGAUAUAUUAUCACUUUGUCUUAAGAACAUAACGAAUUCAUUCUAUAAUUCAAACCUAUUAUAUCACUUGUCUUUUGAUUUCAUUAAUAUUUUUUAAUAAUUGUCUUAAUAUGGAUGGUCAUCAUGUUCUAUAAAAAUAAAUAAUCUUAAUAUGGAUGGUAAUCAUUUUUCUUUAAAAAUGCCAACCCGAUGGUAAAUUUCUAACUUCAACAAACUUGUCCUUAAAAUAAAAUGAAUUAGUUGUCCAUAACUACAAUUUCAGCAAACCACGUCUGUGAAUACGUUCACUCUCAUCAGUCACUGGUUAGUAAACACCUCCACCGUACUAGACUCGUGGCUCCACUACCACCGUCGACUAGAAUUAAUGUAAAGUAUCAUGGGCAGGUGAAAAAAGUGUCAUGAAUUUCUUUCUUCCCUUCAGUUGAGAUUUCUCUAGUGAGAAAUGGAAUCCUAGCAUCUUUGGUUGAUAUAUUUUCUGCUUGACCCUUAAGAACAAAACAAAAUAAUAGGAUAUGCAAUAAUAAUAACUACAUGUCUAAUUGUGUAUCUCUGAUUGACGACUUGAGAUUAGCAGUUGAAUGUUUUCAUUAAUAACUUUCAAUUUUAAUUGUGUAUCUCUUGCUCAAAACUGCGUACAUGUCUGAAAAAUAUAUUUUUACCGAACAAUGUCUCAUUUCUAACUCCAUGAUCUUCUAUGUCUUCAAUUAUUCUUCAUCGUAAUUCCACCUCUUUUUCUUUAGCUCUUCCAUGUCCAUGUUGAUUACAAGUUUAUUGUUUUGGGUAAUAAAAUAGUGUUUCAUUCAAACUUGAUAUUUUGUGAAUUUUUUGUUAUAAAAACUUCAUGAUAUUUACUAUUUUACAUGUAAUAGUUGCUUUUUCAUGAAUAUUUGAAAAUAAUUAAGAAAAUAGAAAAUAGAAUUGAUCUUCGAUCCACGGUUGAACCAUUGACCACACAACCCAUUUCCCAUGUCCGUGGAGAAAACUAUCAAUAGAGGUUGGGGGCUUUUCAUUUGAAGGGUUCUCAAAUUAUCUCGGGCUGGAAAAUUCAUUUAUAUAGCAUUUUUAAUUGGUUUUCGAUAUUAAUUAUUUUCUUUCUUUAAUUUAAAUUUCUAAAUCUAGUUACAUUUAAAGUUAAGGGUGGCAAUGGACCCUAGGCAUUCACAUUAUAUGGCUGACUCAUUUGGGCUUGACCCAUGAGCAAAUUGAGCUCGUUGAACAUUGGUCGUGUGCCAAGUAUGGAUCCAUUUUUGAGAAUUAGUCAGCUAGUGAAUGCUCAGGAGCUCGUCUUUUUGGGCUAGCUCAUGGGUAGGCCUAAAAUAGCCGAUCUAUGAUGCUCAUGAGCAUGCCCAUGAUUUAACAAGUUGUUAAAUUUUUUUGCUACCUUUUUAAUUAUACGCUACUGUUGCAUAGUACGAUUGAAUUAAUCAUACAACAUAUGAAUGGCCCAUUAAAAUUGAAAUUUUUGAUUUUGUAAUUAAUUUUAAAAAAAAAAUUUACUUCUUUUUAAACUAUUUUUCUACUUCAAAUGGUUUCAGAAAUCAUCUAAACAACAUUCCAGAAUUUUUGGUGAUAUAAUUUGAACUUUUGGAAGCGAUCGUCCUCUUCGUCCCUAGUCUCUUGUUUGCUUAUUUUGCUUGGUUUGUUCAAGAAUGUGAUGGCUCAGUUUUGCAUUCAAAAAAAAAUUCUGAAAAUUCGAUUUUUUCUUGCGCAGCAAUGAACAAAUUAAGAAACUUAGUUUUUACCCAGUACAAUGCAUGUUAAAUUUAUUUGCAAUUAAUAUACAUAACCAUAUUAGUUUUAUAGAUAUUUAGUUGCAAAAGCCAACCAGUCUAAGGAAAGACGAGUUAUUAAUAAAGUGAACUUUGGAAGCUGGAUAGGUGGAUCGAAGUCUUACUCAAAAUCAAAAUAAAAAAUAUAAAUAACUAACGUUACAUUACUAAUAAAUAAGUGUGUUAUAAUUGAAUAUAGUAUAUGUAGAACAAAGUUGUUCAGAUUUAAUUUUAUGAUCACUCAAUAUAUUAUAGAGUCUUAAUAUCCAAACAUUUGCUCAUGCAAAUUUAUUCAUCAUUCAUGUCAAGAACGUGUAGAAUAUAUGCAAAUGCGAUUAGAUAGUGUUAAUUAUCGUCAAAUGAAAAUACAUAUUGGAAUUUGUGGACCCGUAGAAUGUAUGGCUAAAAAUUAUAUUUGACUAAUUUAUAUUAUAAUUUAAACUUUGCCAAAUAUGAAUUUAGGGUGAGAACAAGAAAUGAACAGCAAACAUCUUGCUUUUGAGGUCCACACCCAGGAGCAACUGAAUAUGUUUUUAGAAGUUUAGUUAGCAAUCAAAGGCAUUUUUCAAAGUUUAGUGAACAAUUGAAAACAUUAUUCAAAAUUUGGUGAGCAACUGAAGACUUAACAAUUUGUUAAUAGCGUGACGAGAUGUCAUAUGUAUAUUUCGUUAGCUACGUAACUAAUUCCGUUAAAGAAUUAGAAUAGAAGUUAAGGUAGUGAGCAAUGUCCAACGUAAUUUUAAUGAGCAAUCGAAGACUAGACAUACGUUCAAUGACCAUUGGGAGAAAUAACUCCUAAAAUCUUAAAAGAGAUAAAAAUGUAGGAAUUAGAUUACACGUCCCAGGAGGGGGUAUACUAUCCUCACUUGACAAUUUUGAGUCACUCAAAUAAUGAUGGUCGAAUGGUAUAAAAAGUAUAGUUUAUCCUCACCCGAUAUAUAUUCUUUUUUUUUUUUUUUAAUGAGAUUAUUGAAACCCGAUAUUAACAAGGGCUACUAGAGAUAAGGUCGUAGGAUCAAAUUUUAAUUUAAAUCAAAGUCAAAAUUUAAUUUUAAUCAUAUAUGUGGGAUCAAUAACUUUUCAAUCGUACAUUUCAUCGAUCUUUAUAAAAAUUUACUGAAAUUUUGAUUUUAAUCAUCACCAAACAAAGGCUAAGUGAUUUUUCACGAAUCCAGCAAAAUAUAAUAAACUUGUAGAAAUCCUUGUUGAAUAGCAAGAGGGUCGUUUUGCCCGGGAUUUAGUAGAUUUUUGCCUUUAUUUACAUCUUCGGAUAAGAAUUGGGAUUUCCAAAGUGGGAAUAUCAUAAUCACCUUUUUGAACUUUUGCUGAAUUUUCUACAUUUGCUUUGUUGACGCAAAAAGCAUACGAAAUUAUAAGACAGAGGGAGAGUAUGAACCUUUGCUUUGUGUUUUUUUUUCGAAAAAUUGAAACAUUCACGCUUAUUAAUCUCUCUCUCUCUCUCUCUCUCUCUCUGCGCUUCGCUCAAACCAACAAUACUUGAUGGAUUUCUCUUACAAAAUAGAAAAGCUGUCAUAUCUAAUCAAAAGCCCAGAUCUCCUUUCCCAUAUGCAAGAUUUAAAGCUUGAUGGGGGAAAAAUUGUUAGCUUUCAGUGGCUCGGGCCACAUUUUUUAGCUUUUCUCAAACACGUAGAAUACUCGAUUUCUGAGUUCAGGAGAAUUAAGGAUCUGUUGGAGGAUCUUGAUGAGUCAGCCUUAAAUUGCAUCAUAUAUGGAGAGAAUGAACAUUACAAUGAUUUUUUAGAAAUCAUUAUCUCUUUCAUGCCACAGACUAGAGAGUUCUUCACAAGUUCACUCCUGGUGCUUAAACGUGAUAUAUUCUUCCGUUCCCGCAGAAUCUUCUUCCUUCUUGACUUUAUUGGUUCAUUGCUUAAUUGUGGAACGGAUUCCAAUCUUCUUGUGAGUAAUCAAGUCAAAGUUCUUCUGAAGGAGCUGAAAUUUCUGUUCUUUUUGUAUGUAGAUAUAAAGCGAUGCAGGGAGGGAGAACAUGAAGAGUUAGGUGAAGUAAUUAGUGCAAUGGGAAAACAGGUGUACAACAUUUUCAUAGAAUUUGAAGAUGUAUGUAAAGAUGCGGGACUUUUCUUGCAUUCAUUCUUUUUCACCACAGACCUUGUUACGAUGACCAAAAUGGAUCUGACAAUUUCUGCUCUGUUAGAAAGAAUUGAGAUUGUGAAAGUGAAGUUCAAAUAUUUCUGCAUUAGAGUCUCCAUGAAGAUGAAUUGUGGUAUUGGAAGCCUUCAAAUUGCAGAAAGUCCCAGUGAAGUAUCAUCAUCCCAAGAUAAAAACAUUCCCACGGUAGAUGAGAUGAUUGUGGGCUUAGAGGACAUGGCAACAGAAGUUACAAGCAAGCUUCUUGGAGGACCGAGCUACCGCCAGAUUAUUUCCAUAGUUGGAAUGGGUGGACUUGGCAAGACCACCUUAGCAAAGAAAAUAUACAAUGAUUCCAAUGUUCGGGAAUACUUUGAUAAUCUUUCUUGGUGUGUUGUUUCUCAAACUUACCAAAAGAGAAAGCUGUUGGUUGACAUUUUGAGAUCCUUGGGUAACCUAAAGAGCCACGAAGACAAGAAAGAUGAAGAGUUGGCCGAACGUAUUUACAAAUCUUUAAUCGGUACAAGAUACCUCAUUGUUAUAGACGAUCUAUGGGAUAUCCGUGCAUGGGAUGAUUUGAGAAGGUACUUUCCAGAUGACAAGAUUAACGGAAGCAGAGUAUUGUUCACUAGUCGGUUGAAAAAUGUAGCAUUAGAAAUUUCACAUGUUAUCAUUGAACCUCUUCCCUUGUCACCAAGUGAAAGUUGGAAGUUACUAGAGCAGAACGUGUUCAAGAACGAACUUUACCCUCAGGAACUACAAGACAUUGGAAAGAAAAUUGCAACAUGUUGUCGUGGACUCCCGCUCUCAAUCGUCAUGAUCGCUGGAGUUCUUUCAAAUAUGGAGAAAAGUGAAAGCUUAUGGCAAAAAGUUGCAGAAAGUUUAAGUUCUUACAUUUCCCAAAAAGCCGAUGAAUACAUUCCCAUAUUGAAACUUAGUUACAUGCAUUUACCAAAUCACUUGAAGCCAUGUUUCCAGUAUCUUAGUGUAUACAAGGAAGACGAGGAAAUUCGAGUUCGGAAGUUGUUAUUACUAUGGAUUGCUGAAGGAUUCAUAGAGAAAAAGGAGCACAAGAGCUUAGAAGAUGUAGCAGAGGAGUAUCUAAUGGAACUUAUUAACAGGAGUCUGCUACAAGUUUCCCAAAGAAGCUUUGACAAUGGAGUAAAAGCAUGUAGACUUCAUGAUCUAGUACUUGAUAUGUGCAGGAAAAUCGUUGAAGAAGAAAAAUUUCUGUUUCAACAGUAAGUUAACCUCCUCUCUUUCUAAUUCUUUCUCAUUUUACUUAUUUUUUUUUAUUAUUUUUUUUUCAAAUUUAGCCCACUAAUUUGUGGUAUCAUGUCAAUGAUGUUGCUGAUGCUGAUGGCGGUGCUGAUGCUGGUUGAUGCGUUUGUAAAUGAUGAUGAUCCUCCAUGUUCUUACUAUGCUAAUUCUUUAGUCAAUUCUUGGUAUCUAAGCAUUGUCAUCGAUUGUUUAUGGAUUGGUCUCAUCAUCUCUCAGAGGACUUACCCACUUUUUACAAUUCGGAAAUUAAGAUCUUUGAUGGACUGUUUAAAGAGGAAAACAGUAUUACUAUUAUGCCUGACUUGAGGUAUUUGAAUAUUUACACAUUAUAUUUUAUUUCAUAUAGCAGUCUCCAGAACCUAGAAUUUCUUCGUGCGAGGAAAGUGGUUUCUAUUGACGCAUACCUUCUCAAUAUGCCUAAGUUGAGACAUUUACAUGUUGGAUGGUCAGAUCACUAUCAUCAUCUCCCGACGAAGUAUUAUAGCUCAGAUACCUCCCGAAUAAGUAGCCUACAAACCCUUCGUUAUGUUUAUAUUGACGAUUCGGAAAGUGAAGAAAUCUUGAGAAGUUUACCAAAUCUUCGUGAGCUUAAAUGUACAUCUCCAAACAAUUUUUUUCCAAAUCUCAGCUCUCUUACUCAGCUUGAAUCACUCACAAUGGCUUUUAAUAGUAGUUUCGAAGGUGAUUACUCACUGAUUAACUUCCCCAUGAAUAUAAAAAAGCUUGCUCUUUCUAAAUUGGCUUUGCCUUUGGAAAAGAUGUCAUUAAUUGGGACAUUGCCCGACCUGGAGAUUUUGAAAUUAGAUGAAGCCUUUGAAGGAGAAAUCUGGAACACAAAGGAGGAUGAGUUCCAAAAACUCAAAUUCCUUCAAUUAAAAAGGUUAGAUCUUGAACAAUGGAAUUCCUCAAAUGAUCACUUCCCUGUGCUCAAAAAACUGUUGUUGUUUGGAUGCAAAAAAUUGGACAUGAUUCCUUCUGAAUUUAGCAACAUUCUAACACUACAGAAGAUUGAGGCAUAUCGUUGUGGCAAAAAUGUUGGAAGUUCAGCUUUGCAAAUUCGAGAAGUACAACUGGAGUAUGGUAACGAAGACUUUGAGGUGACCAUCAGUAAUUGAUCAUUAUACUAACUUUUUUUUUUUCUUUUUUUUUUUUUUUUGGGAAAUAUCACGGCAGGAGAUUCCUUGACAUCUAGCACCCAUGUGGUGAGAAAAAUGAUACAACUCCCUGCUCCAUGUCAAUUGUUAGUUGUUGUUCUUAUUCAUAGUAUUUUCUUUGUAAUGAACAUGAAGUUUCGA